UGAGAAGAAAAGGUGCAACAUAAUUUGAUGAGAUGACAUUGUGAGAUUCUCAGAAAUGAUCUAUGGAAGUGAGCUCUGAAACAAGAGUUCAUCAGUAAACCAAGGAGAGGAUGAGGAGGUGGCUGAUAGGCUCAGCAACAAAUCAUCGAGAUUUCCAAAGGAUGGAUUUCCACAAUUAUGUGAACAAGGAAAUAUCAUUUGUCGGAUCAAAUGAUAUAAUGAUGUAUGCUCGAGGGAAACAUACACAACUGAACAAUGANNNNNNNNNNNNNNNNNNNNNNNNNNNNNNNNNNNNNNNNNNNNNNNNNNNNNNNNNNNNNNNNNNNNNNNNNNNNNNNNNNNNNNNNNNNNNNNNNNNNUGCGACGUGUUGAUCUUCCGAGGCCGGGCAUGACCCAGGAAAGUGUGUCCGGCCAAAUGGGAUCGAGCGUGUUGGGCUAUGUGGUGCACCCCUGCAGGGAAGUUAAUCUAUUCGAAUAGCCGUGAUCUUCGGUAACAGGACGACUUGGAGUUGUACCUUGACCUUAUGACAACUAGAACCGGAUACUUAAUAAAACACACCCUUCCAAGUUCCACAGACAACCCGGUGAUCGCUUUUCCGCAGGGCGACAAGGAGAGGAUCGCCGGGUAGGAUUAUGCUAUGCGACGCUACUGGAGAGGUUACUUGGAGAUGCUAUUGAAGAUGCUACUUGGAGGACUUUAAUCUACUCUCUCCUACAUGCUGCAAGAUGGAGGCUGCAGAAGCGUAGUCUUCGAUAAGACUAGCUAUCCCCCUCUUAUUCUGGCAUUCUGCAGUUCAGUCCACUGAUAUGGCCCUUUACACAUAUACCCAUGCAUAUGUAGUGUAGCUCCUUGCUUGCGAGUACUUUGGAUGAGUACUCACGGUUGCUUUCUCCCCCCUUUUCCCCCUUUCCUUUCUUUCUGGUUGUCGCAACCAGAUGCUGGAGUCCAGGAGCCAGACGCCACCGUCGACGACGACCCCUACUACACCGGAGGUGCCUACUACUACGUGCAGCCCGCUGACGACGACCAGGAGUAGUUUAGGAGGAUCCCGGGCAGGAGGCCUGCGCCUCUUUCGAUCUGUAUCCCAGUUUGUGCUAGCCUUCUUAAGGCAAACUUGUUUAACUUAUGUCUGUACUCAGAUGUUGUUGCUUCCGCUGACUCGUCUAUGAUCGAGCACUUGUAUUCGAGCCCUCGAGGCCCCUGGCUUGUAUUAUGAUGCUUGUAUGACUUAUUUUAUUUGUAGAGUUGUGUUGUGAUAUCUUCCCGUGAGUCCCUGAUCUUGAUCGUACACAUUUGCGUGCAUGUUUAGUGUACGAUUGAAUCGGGGGCGUCACAAGUUGGUAUCAGAGCCGACUGCCUGUAGGAAUCCCCCUUUCCAACUCCUUGGCCGAAGUUGAGUCUAGACUUUACAAAAACUUUUACUAACAUGGCUGUGCGGCCCAUGGGCCCACGUCGCCAUUGGGUGGUAUAAGGAUCUUUUAUUCCUCGACCUUUACUCUGGGACUCUGAUCUCUCCUCUAUUCGGGUUAAAUGAAGUUUAUUAAAUCUAACAUUAGGAUCUCGUUAUCACUUUCACCCGGAGAGCCCCUUAUUACUAAUGAUCGUCUGCUGCACCAGAAGACCCUGAAGAUACUCUCCACUGUUAACCCGAGAACUUGUGUUCAUCGCGUUUGCAAUUCACCUUCCACCGCAAACCCUUAUGGAUAACUACUUGCAUUUGUUAUUCUUACAUUCAUCCCCAGUGGUCUUGUUAUUACAAGAUACCCUGAAAAACUCGUCGUUGUUUCGAAAAUCCCUUGAGCUUACUGCCUUGCUGUUCUUUGUCACUUGAAUACCCCUACGGUUAAUUCUCGCACUUAUCGAGUAUCCGCUCAUCCCCCAGUUGUUCAUGUGUUACACAAAAGUCUUCGAAAUACCACCCGAUAUUCCGAAAAUCCUCAGCAACCUAUUGCUCUGGAAUUUCUUGUUUGCUUUCAUUAUGAUUAAUCCCAUAAGUAUAGAAAUCUUAUUGACAUUCCUUGUCAUUAUCAUUUUGAGUCUGUUGACUCAAUAUGCUGCGAAUACACGCAAUCAUCAUUGAUCCUUAUAAAUUACUUUUCCGGCUGAGCUUCCAUCCUUUUAACUGGAAAUGGUUCUCGACCAAUCCAAUUGUCGUUGAUUGUACCCUAAGGCUAUUCAACUUAUCCAUCCCUAAUCAGAGCAUUGAUUCUGUUCCCUUAAUUUGGAAAUCAUAAUUACUUUGCAUUUGAGCUCUGGAUUAGUCAGUUGUUUCUAUAAUCCAAUGCCCUUGCAUUGUUACUUCCUCUGAUGGUGUGCCGAUGCUCACAUCAGCUCUGUUAUGGACCGACAGAUCCUUUAAUGGAUUUUAUCCGACAUUGUCCUUCAUAUUCAAUAACCUUGUGAGCCUUCCCUUGGAUACAUAAUGCCUUUGGUAAAUUGUAUCAUCUACUUUCUCAACCUUGCUCUACUUUUGAGCUUGUGAUAUUUACUAUUGAAGUUUGUGGUAUAUGUUCGUAAGAUGCCCGGAUGGGUUGAACCUAUGCCUUCCUUAAUAUGUGUGAACUCGAAAGAUUUCACGAGUCAUACUCAUCUGGUAUUUCACCAGGUAAAACUUUCAACACUAAUGCCUUUAUCAAAGCGAGAAGUGAAUGGAAGAUUAUACAUUAAAGAAGUGGGAGUCGACCUUGAACUUUGUGUUCAUGCCCAUAGACACGAUGUAGAUCUUCUCAUCGAAGCUUCUUUUAAAAUUAAUUAUUCCCUUGGUAUAAGUUCAUCUUAUAUCUGGGAUCUGGCCUUUUUCAAUCGUGGUUCCGACCAUGUUCUCCUUUAAAUACCAAUUCUCGUGCAAGUUUAAGCACUUGUCUUCUGCAGAGCAAUACCCCAGUCCAACCUCUAUUUUGAUCUGUCGUCGAGUAUUACCCCCUGGUAUCUCGAGAUUAUCAUGGAACUGCAUAACUUCUUAUGAGUUCUUCAUCAAGUGCUACGUUCCCACUGAUUACAAUUUUUCAUGGGCUCUGAGUUAUUAAACACUCAAAGACACCGAUAACUGAACCGAGUCCGCUCUACGGUUCAGCAACUCUUCAGUAAGCUUCUAUAAGUACGAGUUUGUACCCGAUCACGCCAUUCCUAGCCUGUUUGGCUAUAUCAUUGUCGUGACGAUUCUAACGGUGCUACCUGGUCCUUAUUCUCGGAGCACCAAUUUUCGACGAUGAACUAACCUUACGUCGAUUUUUCCUCGUCAUACCCUUUCACCUUAAACAACAAGCUUGAGUUCGAGUUUGUGUCGUAACUGUGGUUCCAAUAACCUCUUGCUUCAUCAUUCCUUUGACUUGAUGUCGUCGCUGAUUGACUACAUCUNNNNNNNNNNNNNNNNNNNNNNNNNNNNNNNNNNNNNNNNNNNNNNNNNNNNNNNNNNNNNNNNNNNNNNNNNNNNNNNNNNNNNNNNNNNNNNNNNNNNGGUAACAAAAAUCUGAUAAUUAUGUAUAUCAGUAGCCCCUGAGACUUGAAACAGUUGGUACAACUAAUUUAAGGAUCAUUGUAUGAAUAGGUUCUUACAGAGAAGAAUACCCAUUUGUAUCAAGAGCUGGAAGAGUGUAAAGCCCAACUAAGGGCCGCAACUGCCGAAAUGGAGGAAUCCAAGAAGGGCUCAUCUGGUAAUAUUUCUCUCGAUCGAGAAGAAACAUAAUAUCGUGUUCCAUUUACUGUUCGGCACAUUGCAGAUCUAACAAUAGAUUCCGCACGUAAUCCCGAAGUGAAUCCGGAGAUCCUACAAGAGGAUGAACAAAGAGCUCAACGACAACUAGAGGCUAGCGAGCGUGUACUUACACGGGUCAGGCGAGAGAAAAAUGAUCUCCAGGAUGCCAAUACCCAGCUGGGCGUAGAAUUGAAAGAUGUUCGGGCCCAGCUAGCUGACUCCGUGAAGGAGAAUAGAAGGCUUCAAUGCGGCAUUUUUAGUAUGUGCUCAAACGAACCUUUAUAUAGUUCGGCGAAGAAACGGGCUAACAGAGUUAUGUCUGUACGUAUACUGACUGGUCGUCCCGAAGAGGAGAUGCACGAAUCCUCAUGCGAUCUUCUGCAAGAGCUUUCGCAACUGCACGAACAAGUUCGGCAGGUGAUGCAGGGAGUCGCCAAGGCCUUGUGGCCAUCCGCCUCCCUGCUAGGAAGCAUGGGGGAGCUUGUACAGCUGCUCAAGGGAGCGCGGCACCACUUCCGAUUAUGGAAGAUAUUUGCAUGUCGACAAGGUGCGAGGAAAGCUUGGGCCAUGGUAAAAACACGGUAUACCAAGCUGGAUCCGAAUAACAUGGCCCGGGUCGGACUUGUAGGGUCAGAUGGGAAAGAGAUUAGCUUGGUAUAUGACCAGGUAGGAUUAGCUGCAAAGUAUUCCCAACAGGAUUGUAGGCUGGACAGCCUAUUGGAUGGCAUAGAAGAAGAAGUAAGUGAGUCUAAGUGACUAUGUACUUCGAUUGACAUAUUUUGUCCCUAGCCGGAUUGUAAAUCAUUUGUCAUGGCGGACCUUUUCGCUUCAACCUCCGGACCCGACAGUCCGGAGUGUUUCCGAAUACCCGCUCAGUUAUAUAAACUGGGGUACGCGUGGAAACCAGGCAUAGGGGUCAUAAUUGCUUGAACAGACAAGUACCCAACUAGCUAUGUUAUAUUACAUGGAUAGUAAGAAACAUCUUCCAGGGAGAAUAGUUCCGUUAAGGGUUCCUUUCCCUGGGUACGCAUGCAUUAAUGUGCUUGUCCGAACUGCGAGCAGAAAUGCAGUAUAUGCAACAUCUGGGGGUUUGUAUUGUAAUAGGUAAAAACAUCUUUAGUUCACCGACCGAAUAUUCCAUUAAGAACGCUAGCUUUCGGCUUCACCUAGUCUGAGGUACACGUCCGGAGUACCCGGCAGUAACAAUCGCAGAGGUGCUCCCCUUAUGCCCUAGCCGAACUAAGGGGAACGUAGGGCCUAAACACAAGAGCCAGGCAACCCAGCUUGGCCAAAACCUAAGUCAUAUCGAUGCAUAUAAUGGUGAAGAAAAGGUACAUAUGGGAAAGCAACACACAUGCAGUGGGCGUGAUGCCCGAAAGAUAAUUAUAUUAAGCUUCUAUAUAAGAAGCCCCCAGGUAUAGUGAGUGCGCAUACUUGAGGAUUUAGCGCGUCAAGUGUGUGUAGUUGAGUCACACUUAAAGCCUUAGAGCCAUAAAAAGAAAAGGAGAGGAUAUAACUAAAAAAGGCGGACGAAAGGAAACGAACACAGAGUUCGGCGCUAGGCGUAGAAUCUUCGGAGUCUGGCCGCGUUCCAUGGGUUCGGCUCGAGUCGAUUAUCUGAUGCAUCACGCAGGCGGUACGCUCCUCCGGUGAGAACUUUAUCGAUGAUGAAGGUACCCUCCCACUUGGGCUUGAGCUUGUCAUUUCUCUUCUCACGUAGGCAUAGAAUGAGUUUGCCAAUGUUAUAAGUUUUGGCCCGUACUUCUCUAUUUUGAUACCUGCGAGCCUGUUGCUGAUAGAAUGCGGAACGGGCUUUUGUGACGUUGCGCUCCUCCUCCAAGGCAUCUAAGCUGUCCUGCUGAUCAAGCUUGGCUUCUCUCUCUUCAUACAUGCGCACUCGAGGUGAGUCAUGAAUGAUAUCGCAGGGCAACACCGCCUCUGCGCCGUACACCAUGAAGAAGGGUGUGUAUCCGGUAGUGUGAUUUGGCAUGGUCCAGAGCGCCCAUAGUACAGAGUCGAGCUCCUCGACCCAGUGCGUGUCUGAUUCCUUCAGAGAUCGCACUAGUCAAGAUUUUAAGCACAUAGAGAGGAAACUUGACAUUAUUGCAAUUCCUACAAGCAUAUGUUCCUCCCUCAUAAUAAUUUUCAGUAGCAUCAUGAAUGAAUUCAACAAUAUAACCAGCACAUAAAGCAUUCUUUUCAUGAUCUACAAGCAUAGAAAAUUUACUACUCUCAACAUAAGCAAAUUUCUUCUUUAUAGCAUACGUAUCAUCACAAUAAUCAUCAUAGAUAGGAGGCAUGCUUUCAUCAUAGUAAAUUUGCUCAUCAAAACUUGGGGGACAAAAUAUAUCAUAUUCAUCAAACAUAGCUUCCCCAAGCUUGUGGCUUUGCAUAUCAUCAGCGUCAUGGAUAUUCAAGGAAUUCAUACUAACAACAUUGCAAUCAUGCUCAUCAUAUAAAAACAUUCUAUAGAUUUCUUCUUCUAGCACUUGAGCACAAUUUUCCUUUCCAUCAUACUCACGAAAGAUAUUAAAAAGGUGAAGCGUAUGAGACAAACUCAACUCCAUUUUGUUUUGUAGUUUUCUUUUAUAAACUAGACUAGUGCUAAAACAAGAAACAAAAAGAUUCGAUUGCAAGAUCUAAAGAUAUACCUUCACUUACCUAGCCUCCCCGGCAACGGCGCCAGAAAAGAGCUUGAUGUCUACUACACAACCUUCUUCUUGUAGACGUUGUUGGGCCUGCAAGUGCACAUGUUUGUAGGANNNNNNNNNNNNNNNNNNNNNNNNNNNNNNNNNNNNNNNNNNNNNNNNNNNNNNNNNNNNNNNNNNNNNNNNNNNNNNNNNNNNNNNNNNNNNNNNNNNNUGAAGGGAUUGACAACCCCUUACCGCGUUGGGUGCAAGUUUGUUAAUUGUUUUUGCAGGUAUUCGGUGACUUGUGGGUAGUCUCCUACUGAAUUGAUACCCCGGUUCUCAAACUGAGGGAAAUACUUACUCUACUUUGCUGCAUCAUCCUUUGCUCUUCAAGGGAAAAACCAAUGCAAGCUCAAGAGGUAGCAGGAAGAAUUUCUGGCGCCGUUACCGAGGACAUCUACACCAAGUCAAGACAUACCAAGUACCCAUCAUAAACUCUCAUCUCUUGCAUUACAUUAUUUUCCAUUCAUCUCUCGUUUUCCUCUCCACCACCUCUAAUUUUUUUUUCGAAAAGAUGUUCCUUUUCUUCCCGUCUUUUCCGUUCAUCUUCUUUCGUUUGCUUCUUGUGUGCUUGUGUGUUGGGUGUCUGUUUUCAUUGAUCGCGCAACCAAAAAGCGUUGAUCCUCACCUUAGGAGCUUGGAAGAAAUUGAGAAUAAUGUUAUAAGCUUUAUGUCUUUAAAAUUUGAGCAUAAUAAUUUCUUUAGAAACGAGCUUAAAGAACAAAAAAGUUUUAUGGAGUAUUUGAAUAAAGAGCUCGAUGAUAUGUCUAAAGAAUUUUAUGGUUUGAAUUCUCAGUUUGCUCAUCUUGAAAAUUUUGUAGGUCAAAUUUCUAAUAAACAAGCCACCUUAGUUAAUAAGAUGGCCGCUAAACCCGAGGCUCUAAAUAAUAAUGAUGAAGAUCUAAAGGUUAUUGAUGUGACUCCAAUUGAAUCUUUGUUUUCCAAUGUUAAUCUUGAUAAAUAUGGGACUGGAGAUGAGUCAACUUUAGUUAAAAGGCGUCCCAAUGAUUUGGAGUUUUUAGAUCUAGAGGCAAAAAUUGAUAAAAGUGGGAUUGGAGAGGUCAAAACUUUACAUAGCAAUGAACCCACUAUUUUGGAUUUCAAGGAAUUUAAUUGUGAUAAUUGUUCUUUAAUAGAUUGCAUUUCCUUGUUGCAAUCCGUAUUGAAUUCUCCUCAUGCUUAUAAUCAAAACAAAGCUUUUACAAAACAUAUCGUUGAUGCUAUGAUGCAAUCUUUUGAAGAAAGCUUGAAUUAGAAGUUUCUAUCCCUAAAAAACUUUAUGACGAGUGAGAACCUACUAUUAAGAUUAAUAUCAAAGAUUAUGAAUGCCAUGCUUUGUGUGAUUUGGAUGCUAGUGUUUCCACGAUUCCAAAAAUGUGUGUGAUGUGUUAGGGUUUCAUGAAGUUGAUGAUUGUUCUUUAAAUUUGCAUAUUGCGGAUUCCACUAUUAAGAAACCUAUGGGAAGGAUUAAUGAUGUUCUUAUUGUUGCAAAUAGGAAUUAUGUGCCCGUAGAUUUCAUUGUCCUUGAUACAGAUUGCAAUCAUACAUGUCCUAUUAUUCUUGGUAGUCCUUUCCUUAGAAUGAUUGGUGCAAUUAUUGAUAUCAAAGAAGGAAACAUUAGAUUCCAAUUUCCGUUAAGGAAAGGCGUGGAACACUUUCCUAGAAUAAAAUAAAAUUGCCAUAUGAAUCUAUUAUGAGAGCCACUUAUGGAUUGCAUGUCAAAGAUGACAAUACCUAGAUCUAUUCGUGUUUUUAUGCCUAGCUAAGGGCGUUAAACAAUAGCACUUAUUUGGAGGCAACCCAAUUUUAUAUUUGUUCUUUGCUUUUUGUUCCUAUUUAGUAAUAAAUAAUUCAUCUAGCCUCUGGUUAGAUGUGGUUUUAUGUUUUAGUUAGUGUUUGUGCCAAGUUAAAUCUUUAGGAUAGCUUACGGUGCUAGUUGUGUUGAUCCUGCUGAAAAUCAGAAACUUUUGCGCCCAGGAAAAUAAUUUUCAUAAUUCACAGAGACGUGCUUUUGAUCUGAUUCUUUUUGCUCUGGAUCGGUACACAAAUUGCUCAGGUUUUUAUAACUUUUCAGAAUGUUUUGGAGUUACAGAAGUAUUCAAGAGUUACAGAUUGCUACAGACUGUUCUAUUUUUGAUAGAUUUUGUUUUUUGCAUGUUGUUUGCUUAUUUUGAUGAAUCUAUGGGUAGUAUCGAGGGGUAUGAACCAUGGAAAAGUUGGAAUACAGUAGAUAUUACACCAAUAUAAAUAAAUAAUGAGUUUGCAAUAGUACCUUAAAUUGGUGAUUUAUUUUCUUAUACUAUUGGAGCUCAUGAGAUUUUCUGUUGAGUUUUGUGUUGUGAAGUUUUCAAGUUUUGGGUAAGGAUUUGAUGGACUAUGGAAUAAGGAGUGGCAAGAGCCUAAGCUUGGGGAUGCCCAAGGCACCCCAAGGUAAUAUUCAUAUUCGUCUAUCGGUAACUUUACUUUAGGCUAUAUUUUAUUCACCACAUAAUAUGUGUUUUGCUUGGAGCGUCUUGUAUGAUUUGAGUCUUUGCUUUUUAGUUUUUCACAAUCAUCCUUGAUGUACACACCUUUUGAGAGAGACACACAUGAAUUGUGAUUUAUUAGAAUACUCUAUGAGCUUCACUUAUAUCUUUUGAGCUAAACAAUAUUGCUCUAGUACUUCACUUAUAUUUUUUUAGAGCGCGGUGGUGGCUUUAUUUUAUAGAAAUUAAUGAACUCGCAUGCUUAACUUAUAUUAUUUUGAGAGUCUUUUAGAACAGCAUGGUAAUUUUCUUUGGUUAUAAAUUUAGUCCUAAUAUGAUAGACAUCCAAGAUGGAUAUAAUAAAAACUUUCAUAUAAAGUGCAUUGAAUACUAUGAGAAGUUCCAUUCUUUAUGAUUGUUUUGAGAUAUGAAGAUGGUGAUAUUAGAGUCAUGCUUGUGAGUAGUUGUGAAUUUGAGAGAUACUUGUGUUAAAGUUUGUGAUUCCCGUAGCAUGCACAUAUGGUGAACCGUUAUGUGAUGAACUCGGAGCAUGAUUUAUUUUUUGAUUGUCUUUCUUAUGAGUGGCGGUCGGUGAUGAGUGAUGGUCUUUUUCUACCAAUCUAUCCCCCUAGGAGCAUGCACGUAGUACUUCGUUUUGAUAACUAAUAGAUUUUUACAAUAAGUAUGUGAAUUCUUUAUGACUAAUNNNNNNNNNNNNNNNNNNNNNNNNNNNNNNNNNNNNNNNNNNNNNNNNNNNNNNNNNNNNNNNNNNNNNNNNNNNNNNNNNNNNNNNNNNNNNNNNNNNNGGGGGGGGGAUUUCGUGGCCCUUGGUGGAGGGGUCCGAAAUCAACCCUAUCUCUUGUUUCCCUGCACAUACGGACUCUAAAAAUAGCCUAUACUUAUGUAUUUCGAAAUUACAUGGGCCUGGCCCAAUAAUAAGGUGACGCAGCACCUAGAAUAGCCUCGGGACGAAAUUUAUGAAGUGGUAUCUUGUAUAUUUCGUCCAAGGCUUCAUGCACCCAUUAUGGUGGCUUCAAAGUCCUGAAAUCAUCACUUGUAACUCCGUUCUUGUUUCCCUUGCGCAUGCCAUCAUCUCCAUGCUUGUUCUUGCUCCAAUGUUUAUCCUUCUCCAUGCUAGGCCCUUCAUUUGUAAGCAAAACAAAUGUAUCCAAUUUAGGCAACAUCAUAUUCUCAUGAACAUUAGAAUCAUUACCAAGAAAUGAAAGUACCUGGUAAUUUAGUUGGCGUGCGCGAGCUCUAGUAAUUGGUCCAGUAUGUAUAGCAGCAGGGGCUGUGGGUGUAACAAAGGUAUUGAUGUCCUCAUCAUCCUCCCCUUCUUGAAAUGAAGUCGUCCUCGACGGAAGUUCAUCUUCCUCACCCAAGUAAGGCUUCAAAUCUGCAAUGUUAAAAGUGGGACUAACCCCAAAAUCUGCAGGCAGCUCAAGUUUAUAUGCAUUAUCAUUUAUUUUCUCCAACGCCUUAAAGGGACCAUCAGCAUGUGGCAUUAGCUUUGAUUUGCGCAAAUCAGGAAAUCUAUCCUUACGCAAAUGUAACUAAACAAGAUCUCCAGGUGCAAACACAACAUGUUUUCUAGCCUUAUCUCCAGCAAGUUUAUAUUUAGCAUUCAUACGCUCAAUGUUUUCCUUAGUUAACUCAUGCAUUUUUAAAAUCAAUUCAGCACGUUGUUUAGCACUAAAAUUAACCUUCUCCGAAGAUGGAAGAGGCAACAAAUCAAUAGGUGCACGAGGUAGGAAACCAUACACAACUUCAAAAGGGCACAUCUUAGUAGUAGAAUGCAAUGAAUGAUUAUAAGCAAAUUCAAUAUGAGGCAAGCAUUCCUCCCACAUUUUCUUAUUAUUCUUCAAAACAGCCCUAAGCAUAGUAGACAAUGUUCUAUUGAUUACUUCAGUUUGUCCAUCAGUUUGGGGGUGACAACUAGUACUAAAAAGCAGUGUAGUCCCCCACUUAGCCCAUAAACAUCUCCAAAAGUGGCUAAGAAAUUUAGUAUCACAAUCUGAAACAAUAGUAUUUGGCACACCAUGCAAGCGAAUAAUUUCACGAAAGAACAAAUUAGCAACAUUAACAACAUCAUCGCUUUUAUGACACGGUAUAAAGUGUGCCAUUUUCGAGAAUCUAUCCACGACAACAAAUAUGCUAUCCCUCCCCUUCUUUGUUCUAGGUAAACCUAAAACAAAGUCCAUAGAUAUAUCCUCCCAAGGAACACUAGGUACAGGCAAAGGCAUAUAUAAACCAUGAGGAUUGAGUCAUGACUUAGCUUUUUGACAUGUAGUGCAACGAGCAAUUAAACGCUCAAAAUCCCGUCUCAUCUUUGGCCAAAAGAAAUGUGUAGCAAGUACGUCCUCCGUCUUCUUCACGCCAAAGUGUCCCAUUAGUCCUCCUCCAUGCGCCUCCUGCAACAACAAAAGACGAACGGAGCUAGCUGGAAUGCAUAGCUUGUUAGCACGGAACACAAAUCCAUCAUUAACGACGAACUUGUUCCAUGUUCUUCCUUCUUUACAAUUCUGCAAUAUAUCUUUAAAAUCAGCAUCAUGCACAUAUUGAUCUUUGAUGGUCUCCAAACCAAAUAUUUUGAAGUCAAGUUGUGAAAGCAUAGUAUAGCGACGAGACAAUGCAUCAGCAAUAACAUUUUCUUUACCCUUCUUUUGUUUAAUGACAUAAGAGAAAGUCUCAAUGAAUUCAACCCAUUUAGCAUGUCUACGAUUCAGUUUAGCUUGAGUUUUAAUAUGUUUCAAAAAUUCAUGAUCAGAAUGUAUAACAAAAUCUUUGGGCCAUAAAUAAUGUUGCCAUGUUUAUGAAGUCCGAACAAGAGCAUAUAAUUCUUUAUCAUAAGUAGAAUAAUUCAGACUAGGCCCACUCAAUUUUUCAGAAAAGUAUGCAAUAGGUUUGUCAUCUUGUAAUAAGAUACCUCCUAAUCCAAUUCCACUAGCAUCACAUUCAAGCUCAAAAGUCUUAUUAAAAUCAGGAAGUUGGAGUAAAGGAGCAUGUGUCAACUUAUCUUUCAAUACCGUGCAGGCUUCUUCCUGUGCGGUACCCCAAACAAAAGGCACAUCCAUCUUUGUAAGCUUGUUGAGAGGUGCAGCAAUGGUGCUGAAAUCUCUCACAAAACGCCUAUAGAAUCCAGCGAGGCCAAGAAAACUCCUCACUUGUGUGACCGUUUUGGGCUGCGGCCAACUCUCAAUAGCUUCAAUCUUGGCUUUGUCAACUUUAAUUCCCUGUGGAGUAACAACAUAGCCAAGAAAAGAUACUCGGUCGGUGCAAAAGGUGCACUUCCCAAGGUUACCAAACAAACGUGCAUCACGUAGAGCAAUAAAAACAACACGUAAAUGUACCAUCCUUUUUCGGCACUAGAAUAAUAGGAACAACACAAGGACUAAGGGAUUCGCGUAUAUAACCUUUGUCGAGCAGCUCCUGUACUUGACACAUAAUCUCCUUCGUCUCCUCUGGAUUGGUACGGUAUGGUGCACGGUUGGGUAAUGAUGCAUCAGGAAUUAAGUCAAUCUGAUGCUCAAUCCCUCGAAUGGGAGGUAAUCCCGGUGGCACGUCUUGUGGAAAGACGUCAGCGAACUCCUGCAAAAUGUUAGUGACAGCAGGAGGCAAAGAGGAAGGCACGUCCUCGAAUGAAAAUAAUGCCUCUUUGCACACAAAAGCAUAGCAAACAGAUUUGCUGAAAUCUAGCUCAUCAAUAUCAAAUUUAGUGGCAAGUAGACAUGCGCUUUUCAAUUUAAUUUCAGAAGCAACACUAGAUCGUUUACUAUUAGGCUUCAUUUGCUGCUCAAAUUCUUUCNNNNNNNNNNNNNNNNNNNNNNNNNNNNNNNNNNNNNNNNNNNNNNNNNNNNNNNNNNNNNNNNNNNNNNNNNNNNNNNNNNNNNNNNNNNNNNNNNNNNGGGGGGGGGAUUUCGUGGCCCUUGGUGGAGGGGUCCGAAAUCAACCCUAUCUCUUGUUUCCCUGCACAUACGGACUCUAAAAAUAGCCUAUACUUAUGUAUUUCGAAAUUACAUGGGCCUGGCCCAAUAAUAAGGUGACGCAGCACCUAGAAUAGCCUCGGGACGAAAUUUAUGAAGUGGUAUCUUGUAUAUUUCGUCCAAGGCUUCAUGCACCCAUUAUGGUGGCUUCAAAGUCCUGAAAUCAUCACUUGUAACUCCGUUCUUGUUUCCCUUGCGCAUGCCAUCAUCUCCAUGCUUGUUCUUGCUCCAAUGUUUAUCCUUCUCCAUGCUAGGCCCUUCAUUUGUAAGCAAAACAAAUGUAUCCAAUUUAGGCAACAUCAUAUUCUCAUGAACAUUAGAAUCAUUACCAAGAAAUGAAAGUACCUGGUAAUUUAGUUGGCGUGCGCGAGCUCUAGUAAUUGGUCCAGUAUGUAUAGCAGCAGGGGCUGUGGGUGUAACAAAGGUAUUGAUGUCCUCAUCAUCCUCCCCUUCUUGAAAUGAAGUCGUCCUCGACGGAAGUUCAUCUUCCUCACCCAAGUAAGGCUUCAAAUCUGCAAUGUUAAAAGUGGGACUAACCCCAAAAUCUGCAGGCAGCUCAAGUUUAUAUGCAUUAUCAUUUAUUUUCUCCAACGCCUUAAAGGGACCAUCAGCAUGUGGCAUUAGCUUUGAUUUGCGCAAAUCAGGAAAUCUAUCCUUACGCAAAUGUAACUAAACAAGAUCUCCAGGUGCAAACACAACAUGUUUUCUAGCCUUAUCUCCAGCAAGUUUAUAUUUAGCAUUCAUACGCUCAAUGUUUUCCUUAGUUAACUCAUGCAUUUUUAAAAUCAAUUCAGCACGUUGUUUAGCACUAAAAUUAACCUUCUCCGAAGAUGGAAGAGGCAACAAAUCAAUAGGUGCACGAGGUAGGAAACCAUACACAACUUCAAAAGGGCACAUCUUAGUAGUAGAAUGCAAUGAAUGAUUAUAAGCAAAUUCAAUAUGAGGCAAGCAUUCCUCCCACAUUUUCUUAUUAUUCUUCAAAACAGCCCUAAGCAUAGUAGACAAUGUUCUAUUGAUUACUUCAGUUUGUCCAUCAGUUUGGGGGUGACAACUAGUACUAAAAAGCAGUGUAGUCCCCCACUUAGCCCAUAAACAUCUCCAAAAGUGGCUAAGAAAUUUAGUAUCACAAUCUGAAACAAUAGUAUUUGGCACACCAUGCAAGCGAAUAAUUUCACGAAAGAACAAAUUAGCAACAUUAACAACAUCAUCGCUUUUAUGACACGGUAUAAAGUGUGCCAUUUUCGAGAAUCUAUCCACGACAACAAAUAUGCUAUCCCUCCCCUUCUUUGUUCUAGGUAAACCUAAAACAAAGUCCAUAGAUAUAUCCUCCCAAGGAACACUAGGUACAGGCAAAGGCAUAUAUAAACCAUGAGGAUUGAGUCAUGACUUAGCUUUUUGACAUGUAGUGCAACGAGCAAUUAAACGCUCAAAAUCCCGUCUCAUCUUUGGCCAAAAGAAAUGUGUAGCAAGUACGUCCUCCGUCUUCUUCACGCCAAAGUGUCCCAUUAGUCCUCCUCCAUGCGCCUCCUGCAACAACAAAAGACGAACGGAGCUAGCUGGAAUGCAUAGCUUGUUAGCACGGAACACAAAUCCAUCAUUAACGACGAACUUGUUCCAUGUUCUUCCUUCUUUACAAUUCUGCAAUAUAUCUUUAAAAUCAGCAUCAUGCACAUAUUGAUCUUUGAUGGUCUCCAAACCAAAUAUUUUGAAGUCAAGUUGUGAAAGCAUAGUAUAGCGACGAGACAAUGCAUCAGCAAUAACAUUUUCUUUACCCUUCUUUUGUUUAAUGACAUAAGAGAAAGUCUCAAUGAAUUCAACCCAUUUAGCAUGUCUACGAUUCAGUUUAGCUUGAGUUUUAAUAUGUUUCAAAAAUUCAUGAUCAGAAUGUAUAACAAAAUCUUUGGGCCAUAAAUAAUGUUGCCAUGUUUAUGAAGUCCGAACAAGAGCAUAUAAUUCUUUAUCAUAAGUAGAAUAAUUCAGACUAGGCCCACUCAAUUUUUCAGAAAAGUAUGCAAUAGGUUUGUCAUCUUGUAAUAAGAUACCUCCUAAUCCAAUUCCACUAGCAUCACAUUCAAGCUCAAAAGUCUUAUUAAAAUCAGGAAGUUGGAGUAAAGGAGCAUGUGUCAACUUAUCUUUCAAUACCGUGAAGGCUUCUUCCUGUGCGGUACCCCAAACAAAAGGCACAUCCAUCUUUGUAAGCUUGUUGAGAGGUGCAGCAAUGGUGCUGAAAUCUCUCACAAAACGCCUAUAGAAUCCAGCGAGGCCAAGAAAACUCCUCACUUGUGUGACCGUUUUGGGCUGCGGCCAACUCUCAAUAGCUUCAAUCUUGGCUUUGUCAACUUCAAUUCCCUGUGGAGUAACAACAUAGCCAAGAAAAGAUACUCGGUCGGUGCAAAAGGUGCACUUCCCAAGGUUACCAAACAAACGUGCAUCACGUAGAGCAAUAAAAACAACACGUAAAUGUACCAUCCUUUUUCGGCACUAGAAUAAUAGGAACAACACAAGGACUAAGGGAUUCGCGUAUAUAACCUUUGUCGAGCAGCUCCUGUACUUGACACAUAAUCUCCUUCGUCUCCUCUGGAUUGGUACGGUAUGGUGCACGGUUGGGUAAUGAUGCAUCAGGAAUUAAGUCAAUCUGAUGCUCAAUCCCUCGAAUGGGAGGUAAUCCCGGUGGCACGUCUUGUGGAAAGACGUCAGCGAACUCCUGCAAAAUGUUAGUGACAGCAGGAGGCAAAGAGGAAGGCACGUCCUCGAAUGAAAAUAAUGCCUCUUUGCACACAAAAGCAUAGCAAACAGAUUUGCUGAAAUCUAGCUCAUCAAUAUCAAAUUUAGUGGCAAGUAGACAUGCGCUUUUCAAUUUAAUUUCAGAAGCAACACUAGAUCGUUUACUAUUAGGCUUCAUUUGCUGCUCAAAUUCUUUCNNNNNNNNNNNNNNNNNNNNNNNNNNNNNNNNNNNNNNNNNNNNNNNNNNNNNNNNNNNNNNNNNNNNNNNNNNNNNNNNNNNNNNNNNNNNNNNNNNNNUCUGAAAUUCAUGAAACUUGGCAUGCUAUCAUGGAGCGGAAUCAACAUGUCGUGGUACAAAUUUUGUCCCAUUUGGGGCAGGUUUGGGUAUAUGCUUCUUCCAAACCGGAGCUUCUCACGACAAGCAUGAUGGUUUUCGGUAGGGAACGUCCCACCUUUGGGGACGAAACGAUAUCCAUUGCCUCUUAUUGCUUUCAAAUUUUUUUCUCGUGUCAACAUAGAACAACAUGAGUGUUGUUUGAAUUUUUGUGAUCUUUUGGGGUUCGUUUGGACAUUUUUUAUGCAUUAACUGAGUUUUCAAUGCAUUUAUGUGCGUAAUUCAAAUUUAAACUAAAUGCACAUGUUCCAGUGCAUAUAAAUUGGUCGAAAAAUCAAAUAUGUGUACUUGGGUGCAUGCUUAGGUCCCAUGCAAGAAAUGGGAAUGAAUUUCAAACACCAGGGCACCGUUGAUUGUCGGAAAAACAUUGGGAUGCCUGGUUUUUAAAUUCUAGUAAAUCCAAAACCCGUCUGAAAUUCAUGAAACUUGGCAUGCUAUCAUGGAGCGGCAUCAACAUGCCAUGGUACAAAUUUUGUCCCAUUUGGGGCAGGUUUGGGUAUAUGCUUCUCACAAACCGGAGCUUCUCACAACGAGCAUGACGGUUUUCGGUAAGUAACGUCCCACCUUUGGGGACGAAACGAUAUCCAUUGCCUCUUAUUGCUUUCAAAUUUUUUUCUCGUGUCAAGAUAGAAGAACAGGAGUGUUGUGUGAAUUUUUUGUAAUUUUUCGGGGUUCGUUUGGACAUUUCUAUGCAUUAACUGAGCUUUCAAUGCAUUUAUGUGCAUAAUUCAAAUUGAACUACAUGCACAUGCUCCAGUGCAUAUAAAUUGGAUGAAAAAACAAAUUUGUGUCCUUGGGUGCAUGCUUAGGUCCCACACAAGAAAUGGGAAUGAAUUUCAAACACCAGGGCACCAUUGAUUGCUGAAAAAACAUUGAGAUGCCUGGUUUUUAAAUUCUAGUAAAUCCAAAACUCGUCUGAAAUUCAUGAAACUUGGCAUGCUAUCAUGGAGCGGCAUCAACAUGUCGUGGUACAAAUUUUGUCCCAUUUGGGGCAGGAUUGGGUAUAUGCUUCUCACAAACCGGAGCUUCUCACAACAAGCAUGAUGGUUUUCGGUAGGGAACUUCCCACCUUUGGGGACGAAAAGAUAUCCAUUGCCUCUUGUUGCUUUCAAAUUUUUUUUCUUGUGUCAACAUAGAACAACAUGAGUGUUUUGUGAAUUUUUGUGAUUUUUCGGGGUCUAUUUGGACAUUUUUAUGCAUUAACUGAGUUUAUGUGCAUAAUUCAAAUUUGAACUACAUGCACAUGCUCCAGUGCAUAUAAAUUGGUCGAAAAAUCAAAUCUGUGUCCUUGGGUGCAUGCAUAGGUCCCAUGCACGAAAUGGGAAUGAAUUUAAAAUACCAGGGCACUGUUGAUUGCCGCAAAACAUUGAGAUGUCUGGUUUAUAAUUCUAGUAAAUCUAAAACAAGUCCGAAAUUCAUGAAACUUGGCAUGCUAUCAUGGAGCGGCAUCAACAUGUCAUCGUACAAAUUUUGUCCCAUUUGGGGCAGGUUUGGGUAUAUGCUUCUCACAAACUGGAGCUUCUCACAACAAGCAUGAUGGUUUUCGGUAGGGAACGCCCCACCUUUGGGGACGAAACGAUAUCCAUUGCCUCUUAAUGCUUUCAAUUUUUUUUCUCGUGUCAACAUAGACCAACAGGAGUGUUGUGUGAUUUUUUGUGAUUUUUUGGGGUUCGUUUGGACAUUUUUUUGCAUUAACUGAGUUUUCAAUGCAUUUAUGUGCAUAAUUCAAAUUCUAACUACAUGCAUAUGCUCCAGUGUAUAUAAAUUGGUCGAAAAAUCAAAUAUGUGUCCUUGGGUGCAUGCUUAGGUCCCAUUCGAGAAAUGGGAAUGAAUUUUAAACACCAGGGCACCGUUGAUUGCCGGCAAAACAUUGAGUUGCCCGGUUUUUAAAUUCUAGUAAAUCCAAAACUCGUAUGAAAUUCAUGAAACUUGGCAUGCUAUCAUGGAGCGGCAUCAACAUGCCGUGGUACAAAUUUUGUCCCAUUUGGCGCAGGUUUGGGUAUAUGCUUCUCACAAACCGGAGCUUCUCACAAUAAGCAUGAUGGUUUUCGGUAGGGCACGUCCCACCUUUGGGGACGAAACGAUAUCCAUUGCCUCUUAUUGCUUUCAAAUUAUUUUCUCAUGUCAACAUAGAAUGAUAGGAGUGUUCUGUGAAUUUUUGUGAUUUUUGGGCUUCGUUUGGACAUUUUUAUGCAUUAAUAGAGUUUUAAUUGCAUUUAUGUGCGUAAUUCAAAUUUGAACUAAAUGCACAUGCUCCAGUGCAUAUAAAUUGGUCGAAAAAUCAAAUAUGUGUCCUUGGGUGCAUGCUUAGGUCCCAUGCAAGAAAUGGGAAUGAAUUUCAAACACCAGGGCACCGUUGAUUGCCCGCAAAACAUUGAGAUGCCUGGUUUUUAAAUUCUAGUAAAUCCAAAACUUGUCUGAAAUUCAUGAAACUUGGCAUCCUAUCAUGGAGCGGCAUCAACAUGCCGUGGUACAAAUUUUGUCCCAUUUGGGGCAGGUUUGGGUAUAUGUUCUCACAAACCGGAGCUUCUCACAACAAGCAUGACAGUUUUCGGUAGGGAACGUCCCACCUUUGGGGACGAAACGAUAUCCAUUGCCUCUUAUUGCUUUAAUAAAUUUUUCUCGUGUCUACGUAGAACAACAGGAGUGUUGUGUGAAUUUUUGUGAUUUUUCGGGGUUCGUUUGGACAUUUUUAUGCAUUAACUGAGUUUUCAAUGCAUUUAUGUGCAUAAUUCAAGUUUGAACUACAUGCACAUGCUCCAGUGCAUAUAAAUUGGUUGAAAAAUCAAAUCUGUGUCCUUGGGUGCAUGCUUAGGUCCCAUGCAAGAAAUGGGAAUGAAUUUCAAACACCAGGGCAUCGUUGAUUGCCGACAAAACAUUGAGAUGCCUGGUUUUUAAAUUCNNNNNNNNNNNNNNNNNNNNNNNNNNNNNNNNNNNNNNNNNNNNNNNNNNNNNNNNNNNNNNNNNNNNNNNNNNNNNNNNNNNNNNNNNNNNNNNNNNNNCAUCCUUCUCCAAGCUAGGCCCUUCAUUUGUAAGCAAAACAAAUGUAUCCAAUUUAGGCAGCAUCAUAUUCUCAUGAACAUUAGAAUCAUUACCAAGAAACGAAAGUACCUGAUAAUUUAAUUGGCGUGCGCGAGCUCUAGUAAUUGGUCCCGUAUAUGUAGCAGUAGGGGCUGUGGGUGUAACAAUGGUAUUGAUGUCCUCAUCAUCCUCCCCUUCUUGAAAUGAAGUCGUCCUCGACGGAAACUCAUCUUCCUCACCCAAAUAAGGCUUCAAAUCUGCAAUGUUAAAAGUGGGACUAACCCCAAAAUCUGCAGGCAGCUCAAGUUUAUAUGCAUUAUCAUUUAUUUUCUCUAACACCUUAAAGGGACCAUCAGCACGUGGCAUUAGCUUUGAUUUGCGCAAAUCAGGAAAUCUAUCCUUACGCAAGUGUAACCAAACAAGAUCUCCAGGUGCAAACACAACAUGUUUUCUACCCUUAUCUCCAGCAAGUUUAUAUUUCGCAUUCAUACGCUCAAUGUUUUCCUUAGUUAACUCAUGCAUUUUUAAAAUCAAUUCAGCACGUUGUUUAGCAUCAAAAUUAACCUUCGCCGAAGAUGGAAGAGGCAACAAAUCAAUAGGUGCACGAGGUAGGAAACCAUACACAACUUCAAAAGGGCACAUCUUAGUAGUAGAAUGCAAUGAACGAUUAUAAGCAAAUUCAAUAUGAGGCAAGCAUUCCUCCCACAUUUUCUUAUUAUUCUUCAAAACAGCCCUAAGCAUAGUAGACAACGUUCUAUUGACUACUUCAGUUUGUCCAUCAGUUUGGGGGUGACAAGUAGUACUAAAAAGCAUUUUAGUCCCCAACUUAGCCCAUAAACAUCUCCAAAAGUGGCUAAGAAAUUUAGUAUCACGAUCUGAAACAAUAGUAUUUGGCACACCAUGCAAGCGAAUAAUUUCACGAAAAAACAAAUCAGCAACAUUAACAGCAUCAUCGCUUUUAUGACAUGGUAUAAAGUGUGCCAUUUUCGAGAAUCUAUCCACGACAACAAAUAUGCUAUCCCUCCCCUUCUUUGUUCGAGGUAAACCUAAAACAAAGUCCAUAGAUAUAUCCUCCCAAGGAACACUAGGUACAGGCAAAGGCAUAUAUAAACCAUGAGGAUUGAGUCGUGACUUAGCUUUUUGACAUGUAGUGCAUCGAGCAAUAAAACGCUCAACAUCAUGUCUCAUCUUUGGCCAAAAGAAAUGUGUAGCAAGUACGUCCUCCGUCUUCUUCACGCCAAAGUGUCCCAUUAAUCCUCCUCCAUGCGCCUCCUGCAACAACAAAAGACGAACGGAGCUAGCUGGAAUGCAUAGCUUGUUAGCACAAAACACAAAUCCAUCAUUAACGACGAACUUGUUCCACAUUCUUCCUUCUUUACAAUUCUGCAUUACAUCUUUAAAAUCAGCAUCAUGCACAUAUUGAUCUUUGAUGGUCUCCAAACCAAAUAUUUUGAAGUCAAGUUGUGAAAGCAUAGUAUAGCGGCGAGACAAUGCAUCAGCAAUAACAUUUUCUUUUCCCUUCUUGUGUUUAAUGACAUAAGGAAAAGUCUCAAUGAAUUCAACCCAUUUAGCAUGUCUACGAUUCAGUUUAGCUUGACUUUUAAUAUAUUUCAAAGAUUCAUGAUCAGAAUGUAUAACAAAUUCUUUGGGCCAUAAAUAAUGUUGCCAUGUUUCUAAAGUCCGAACAAGAGCAUAUAAUUCUUUAUCAUAAGUAGAAUAAUUCAGACUAGGCCCACUCAAUAUUUCUGAAAAGUAUGCAACAGGUUUGCCAUCUUGUAAUAACACACCGCCUAAUCCAAUUCCACUAGCAUCACAUUCAAGCUCAAAAGUCUUAUUAAAAUCAGGAAGUUGGACUAAAGGAGCAUGUGUCAACUUAUCUUUCAAUACCGAGAAGGCUUCUUCCUGUGCGGUACCCCAAAGAAAAGGCACAUCUUUCUUUGUAAGCUCAUUGAGAGGUGCAGCAAUGGUGCUGAAAUCUCUCACAAAACGCCUAUAGAAUCCAGCGAGGCCAAGAAAACUCCUCACUUGUGUGACCGUUUUGGGUUGCGGCCAACUCUCAAUAGCUUCAAUCUUGGCUUUAUCAACUUCAAUUCCCUGUGGAGUAACUGAUAGAGGCAAAGGUGUCCCGUCUUUCGAUGAGAUGAUGGAUAUCGCUUUGGUGGCAGUCGACUUUGACGAUCCGACUACGAACGUGCGUGGACGUCGCGCCUUAGCAAUCGCUAAACCAACUCCGAGAGGUUAUUGACCACGCCGGAGCACGAUCAACCUGACCACGAGGGUCUGUUUCCUGCGAGCAAACGAAGAACAAGCAAGAAACUGAGAUUGCAAUCUGGAUAUUGCGAAUAUAAGAUGAAAGCUUUAUUGAUCAAGGUGGGGUUCUGUGACGUCUUUGUCUGGUCGUUGAACACAAACGAAGUACGCGAAGUUGCAGCUAUGGCGAACUUUUAAUCUAAACAAAACCCAAAGUCUAAACGAUGCCCUAAGGGAUGUAUAUAUGGAGGAAGAGGGGGGGAAUUUCGUAGCCCUUGGUGGAGGGGUCCGAAAUCAACCCUAUCUCUUGUUUCCCCACACAUACGGACUCUAAAAAUAGCCUAUACUUAUGUAUUUCGAAAUUACAUGGGCCUGGCCCAAUAAUAAGGUGACGCAACACCUAAAAUAGCCUCGGGACGAAAUUUAUGAAGUGGCAUCUUGUAUAUUUCGUCCAAGGCUUCAUGCACCCAUUAUGGUGGCUUCAAAGUCCUGAAAUCAUCACUUGUAACUCCGUUCUUGUUUCCCUUGCGCAUGCCAUCAUCUCCAUGCUUGUUCUUGCUCCAAUGUUCAUCCUUCUCCAAGCUAGGCCCUUCAUUUGUAAGCAAAACAAAUGUAUCCAAUUUAGGCAGCAUCAUAUUCUCAUGAACAUUAGAAUCAUUACCAAGAAACGAAAGUACCUGGUAAUUUAGUUGGCGUGCACGAGCUCUAGUAAUUGGUCCAGUAUGUAUAGNNNNNNNNNNNNNNNNNNNNNNNNNNNNNNNNNNNNNNNNNNNNNNNNNNNNNNNNNNNNNNNNNNNNNNNNNNNNNNNNNNNNNNNNNNNNNNNNNNNNGACUACGUUAGUUUUUUCUGGGUUCUCACUUUUCCAUUCAUUUAAUUUCUUUUCUUUAAAAAAAUGUCUAAUUUUUUCAAUACAAGUUGUACAUUUUUCAUAUGCACAUGUGAUAAUUUAUCGACACAGAUUGACAGAUUUUCAAGUAUAUGAUGAAUAUAUUUUAAAAUAUAUGUUUGAAUAAUUGUCAAACAUUUUCAAAUACACGUUGUUUUUCUUUUUUUGCGUUACGUAAUUUUUCUGAUAUUAUACUAACAUUUCUAAAGAUAUCACAAACAAUUUUCUUGAAAUGUCACGAAUACAUUUUUUGAAACAUGUGAACAUUUUUUUAAAUGCCACGGACAAGUUUUUCUGAAUGGCAUAAUUUUUUCGAAAUUAUCUGUACAUUUUUUACAUUGUAUGGCCUAUAAAAAAUUGCCACAUGAAAAUAGCAGGCAGAUAUUUUCAAAAUCCCUUUCGUAGUAAAAAGGGUUCACAAUAUUUCUUAUAGAGCAGAAACAAUAAAAGCAAGCAGGGAAUCUUGGGACUGAUUUGUGAAGUUUCAGAACAGCUAUUUUUGAAAAGUAUCACAAAUAUAUAUGUUUGAAAUAACCGAACAUUUUUAAAAUGUCACGAACAUUAUUUUUAAUGUUAUGAACAUUUUCUUAAAUUUGCACCAAUAUUUUGUUAACACUGCAUCAUCUUAUUUUAUAUGUGUGACGAACACUCUUAAAUUUUGAAGUAAAUUAGAAUAUUUCAAAAACGUAAUCAAAAUAAGAAAACGAAAAAUGAAACCAAGAAACGAACGAAUCCGAGCUGGCGCCUACAGCCGCUGAAUCAUGGGCCGGCCCAUGUGGCGACAGACGCCCAGUCUCUCGCUAAACUCGCCCCGCCUGGUCCCUCCUCGAUCGAGAGCCCAGUUGACUUUAGAAAAAAAGAUGAAAACUUAAAACGAAAGAAUCACAAAAAAAGAGAAAAAAAUCGAGAUUUGAAAAAAGUUCACAGAUUUGGAAACCUUCAUCCAUUUUUGAAAUAAGUUCAUGAAAUUGGGAAAGAGUUCAUCAAUUUUGAAAUAAGUUCACCGAAUUUAAAAAAAGUUCAUCCAUUUUGAAAAAGAGUUCAUCGAUUUUGAAAAAGAGUUCAUCGAUUGUGAACAGAGUUCAUCGGUUUUGAAAAAGAAUUCAUCAAUUUAGAAAAAAAGUUCAUCGAUUUAGAAAAAGUUCAUCGAUCUUGAAAAAGAGUUCAUCGAUUGUGAAAGAAAGUUCACCGAUUUUGAAAAAUAGUUCUUUCAAAUUAGCAAAAGAAAUAUAAAACCAUUCCGAAAAGAAGAAAAAAGAAAAAGAACAAAAAACAUAAAAAAACCAUUUCGAAUAAAAAGGAAAAAGAAAUGGGAAAAAAGAAUGGUUGUAAAGAAAAGGUGAAGAAGCAGUAAUUUGGGCAACUAGUGCGUGUUAGUGCGGUGGUUAGUGCUGAGGCGAAUGACCGUGAGGUCGCGCGAUCGAUUCCCAUCCAAAGCGCGCCUUUUCUGUCCUCACGACAGGAAGGAAAGGAAAAAGAUGGGCCAGGCCCAGUUAAUGCGGCUGCAGGCGCCGGUUUGCGAAAACAACUAUAACCGGCACAUGCAGCGUUAAAUAGGAAAUGCCGAAGCGCACUUAAUCAUGGUGGUAGCUAGUUUAAUUUAAUGAUGUGGCCUGCCUGUAGCGUCAUUUUUUCUUCCUAAGUAAGGUACUUUAAUAAAUCUCCAUGCUUAUGAACAACACACAGUUAAGUUUUGGACAGAUACAACAGAAAAUGCUCAAAGUUCAUUAAUGUUGUAAAGCCAUUCUCCUAGGUAGUACUAGUAGAAAGAAAGUAAGCUUUUCGCCUAGGGUUGCAGCAAAUACUACUGUAUUAUUCUCUAGUUGUAGGGAAAAAUGAUUGAUUUCCCUACUUUCUUUCUUGAACAACAAAUUGCUACUAGUACUAACUAAUUUGCAUAUAUGCUCUGGUUUUCUUGUUAUUAAUUAGCUAGGUGCCUCCAAAUAAGUUGUUGGUUCAAAUUCUGCACGUUUCUUUGCAUUCUAUUUCUUAGUUCAUUAUUCAGGCUCUGCUUGCUACUUAUGGUGGUAGCUAGUUUAAUUUAAUGAUGUGGCCCGCCUGUAGUGCCAUUAUUCCCGAUGUUGUGUUAUAUUCUUUUAUGAGGUGAUUUUAAGAACAACAAAUAAUGGUGACAAAUGCAAAAAGUGAAAUAUGACCCAAAAAAGCCCGCCUACUAGCUGCAUACUACAUAAUUCAACGGCCAGCAUACUACUGACAGACCAAUCAUUUAUUGGGCCAGGAUGCAGGCCCGCCAGAUUGUGAUAGUAGGCAGCUAGUAGGCCCCACUAGGCAGGGACAGACGGGGUUAGGCAUGUGCUGCCCGCUUUAGAAAGGAACUCGAAAGGGGAAGCUGAUCAGCCUGGUAUAUAAACCGGUGCGAACUCCCCUCGCUUGGCGAGGUGGGACUAAACUCCCAGCACCGCUGGGAUGUGCCCGGCGCGACGCUCGCUUGGGCCUAAUUCGGGUGGGCCGUCGCAGGCCAGCGUCACCCGCAUGCAGAUUAUUACCACAUUUAAAACCGAGUUGCUUCAAUGUGUUAUAUUUCACUUAUUCAAUGUGUACGAAAAAUUAAUGUCUUAUAUUUCACUUAUUCACUUAAAUAUUUAUUUAUUUUUAUCUAUACAAUAAUUUAAAAUCUAAUAUAUUUUUACUCCUUCAGUUAUUCUCGCACUAUUAAAAUUCAAAAAAUGCAAUAUAAUAUGUUUCAUCUUUAUUAUAAUAUAUCUUUUCUGUUUUCUAUUUCAAAAAAGGUAUAUCAAAUAUACUUUUUCUUUGUCAUUUCUUCUUAGAGUUUUAAAAUUGAAUUAUAUGUUUUGUAUUUUAUUUCUUAUUAUGGUUGUAAAAAUGAAAAUUCCAUGAAUGUAUGUUGUGUUCUAUUUCACUUCUUAAAUAUAAUUUUCAUUCUAUUUUCAAAAUUCCAUUUGGUUGAGUCCAGAAAAACNNNNNNNNNNNNNNNNNNNNNNNNNNNNNNNNNNNNNNNNNNNNNNNNNNNNNNNNNNNNNNNNNNNNNNNNNNNNNNNNNNNNNNNNNNNNNNNNNNNNGUAGUAGUUGUAUUUGUGAGCAUACGACCGAUGAUAAAAGCACCUGCCUGCUUGGAUUGUCAAGUUGAACAAUUAUAAACGUGAAGAAUAAUAACUAAAUAAAAGAAGUGUUAGUUUGCUAGACAAUGAGUUACUUAAUUGUCUGAGUUUAAUAUUAGGAAAACAUACCAGUACAAGCGGGAAAAAGAAAUACCUUUAGACCAAACAUUUUAACAAAAAGCUCGCUAAUCAUACACGUGAAGAUAACUUCAAGUGAGCUCUUUUUUCUAUCCAGGGUCUUCUUUGCCAUCCGAACAUAUGCAAGUGGAUCAUCGUGUACCGCUAAAUGAAAUGGUAGGAGGAUGUAGCCUAUUUGAUUUCCCCAUGCCACGUCAUUACUUUUACCCGAUUCUAUCAUAUUAACAUAGGCCUGCACAUAGUUGUAAGAAAACAUUAGAUUAAAGUUAUGAUACACUACAGGUUUUAAUAAUAUAUUCUCAAGCUUGCAUUUGGAAACAAAUUAUGCAUCAGCAAAUGAGUAAUGAAACUAGCUACUCCAAGAGUGACCAGUAAUAUACAAAUUUUCUUUUUGCCUGAUCAUGUGAACAUAUGUAAAAUCAUUAGUUUGUCAUAUUUUCAUAGAUCCCAUGAUUUAUAUUCUUUUACUAAUCGUGUGGAUUUUAUGACCAAAUUUGGAAACGUCAUCUAAUUACAUAAGGAAGAGGAGUGAUAUUUUGGUGACAGAGAUAUAUAAAUGAAAAAAAAUCAAUAACUAAUGACAUGCAUUUGAAAUUUCAUGCAUAUUUCCAUAAAGAAACUUACUUGUAGGCUAGCUGUUGGCCUUGUAUUUACAGGGAGGACACAUCGCAAACAUAGCUUGCGUGUCUUAGGGUAACCUAACAUAAUUUGCAGAUAAGUUGCAGAAACAUGUACAGUAAAAAACAACAGAUUGUCACAAUGUACAUCUCUUACCAGACUUACGAAAGUAAUAUUGUGAUAGAGCAGCAGAAGUGACUCCGACUAGCACAUCAUUAACAGUCUGUGGAAAGAAAAUAAAAAUACAGAAAAUGACGCUUCAACAACUAGUUUAAUCUGGCUCGAAAGAGAUGAGCUUGCUGAUAGCUAUAGGUCAUAUUAUCAUAUACUCCCUCCAUUCCAUAAUAUAUAAAAUUUUCAAACACAGUGUCAAAAAACGUCACAGAGGUGGUAUAUACUUACGCAGUUCAUGGCAUUCUUGAUGAACUUGACGUCGUCCAAGCUAAAGCUCCGGUGCACGAAGCGCCUGCGGGGGUUCAACGUAACUUGACUGUCCCCGCGUCUGAAGAGUGUGUUCGGGUCUCUCAGAAACACAAUCGUCGCAGCAAAGAAGAUGACGUCCACCACGGUGUUCCAUGCAAGCGCAAGAUACGGCCAAACCCAUGCGACGAACGCCGCCAGGGCGCCCGAGGGCAGCGGCUGCCGGUGCCGCGGCUCGUAGAUGGCGCCCGUGCGCGCCGGCUGCUCCGGCAUGGCCGGCAGGCGUGUCGGGUCCGCGGCGCUGCGGGCAGACGCCAGGAGGAGCGUGAUCAGCGACAUCCCGUCACCGAGGGAGUGGUGGACGCGGAACACCACGGUGGAGGUGGCCUCUGAGGUCGGGAAGUCGAGGAAGUGGAACUCCCAGAGCGGGCGGGAGCAAUCCAUGGGGAGUGCCUGCAGCGAGGCCACGUAGUCCUCCACGGCCCGGUCCGGGUCAGCCUCCACGGCGGCGGGGUCCAGCGUCGGGACGAUCAUGUGGUCGUCGACGUUCACCUCCGUGCACGCCCACCGCGGGCUCUUGCACCCGUCUGUCACCUGACGUGCAUGCUCACGGAUUAAAUUGAAACUAGUGACAGAAUAUCUAGGCAGUACUUAAAUUGAACUGUGUCCCGUACUUGAAUGCUACGGAAGCGUGGGUAACGAGCAAGUUGGGCUGCGAUGCCGGCGCUGAAGAUGGCUAGGUUGACGGGCGAGCCAAGGCCGACCAUAACCACGAUGUAUAUAGCUUCGAAGAGUCUUGCACUAGGGGUCACUGGCUCCUCCUCCGCUGCCGCCACCGCGGAAUCGUCGUCCGUCUUCCAUUCGGCCGGCGCUGACCUUGGCGUGCGUAUCGGGGGUAGCAGGCCGCUUGUUGGUAGAGCGGCUACCGAGGGGCUACCAGUACUACCCAUGGCUACUUUAGUUUCAAGGGUCGUUGGCUACUCGAUCGAUCGACACUCCAUGCUAGGUGUAAUAUAUAGGAUGACAAAAAGUUUUUUGCUAAUAAAAGCGGCAAGGAUGACAAUCAAUGGCACUACUAUACACACAGUUGAAGAUCAUCAUCAUAAGGGAUCUGGUAUAGUCCCUACCGGCUUGCUGCUGAUGUGGUCCCACAUUGCACACUGUUGUUCAAGAAUAAACAUGUGCGAUGUGUUUCACAUCACAAGAAGAUGAGCACACUGAAGCGUGCAUUGAGUACCUCACUGAAGAUGCUCUGCCUAGUUGAACCCAUACAACUACAAUUUUGUGGUGUGCAAUAUCGAGAAGGCUUGAGCCCCGCUUUAUAGAUAAAACAGCAACCGAGCAUUACAACCUGACACUGCACCACACAACAAGGAAAACGGAAAGAUACAACGGUGCCGAGGAUAGCAACAAAGCCCAAGAAAACAACAAGCACACAACGAAAGAAAGAAUCGAGCACUGCUUGGAGUCCCUGGAGCCCUCGUCCAUGCUCAGGUAACCAGAGUAGAGAACAUAAUCAACUUGAAGGGGAGACUAGCCAGCAGAGGAGGACAUGCCGUUGCCAACACUUGGAAGACAAGCACCACCACGCCAAUAAGCUCCAUCGCCAAAAGAAGGCCCCUGCCCGCUCACCCUGGAUCAAAGGGCGCCGCACCGUCGAACGAUGAAGGCAUGCACCCAAGUGCCUGGCCAGGAACGGAUGACGAGGUCCCAAGGUGAGGCCUUCGGACACAAUUCUUCACUUGAAAGCAUCACCAUCACAACCACAGAACCAUCAACGCUANNNNNNNNNNNNNNNNNNNNNNNNNNNNNNNNNNNNNNNNNNNNNNNNNNNNNNNNNNNNNNNNNNNNNNNNNNNNNNNNNNNNNNNNNNNNNNNNNNNNACAAAAGGAGAGAUUUUUAUCUUUUUUUCCAGAAAUACAAUGUCUUUCUUCAUAUUUGUAUUUCCAGGGAAAAAAUUAUAUAUGCCUAUUUUCUUUGGAUUUGGAAGCUUUCUCACCAGGAAACAGUGAUAAUUAUCUUCCCCCAUCAAUACCAGGGUUUCUAAAGACCAAUGUCUUAUAAAAGCUACAACUCCUAUAUCUCUAUCUCCUUUACAUACAUACACAGUACAUCCAUAUAAUGUAUCAGCAAACAAAAAGCACAAAAGAGGAUGAUUUUCUUUUGCUUCCCAAUUCAAGCAAAUAUAAGAAUGAUCUGUUCAAAAAUUCAUUCAUGCAUAGUAUUCGGACUCAUAAAUUAUCUCAUUCGUGUACAAAAUUUUGGCUCGAUGGCCAUGGACACACAUAGCAUUAGAGAGAGCAGAGGAGGAACCAGUGGCUUACAUAUGCCGGAGGCGUCGGGGUGGGUGACAGAUAAGGAGAGAUCCAAUACAUUAAUAAAUCCAGUCGGGGUUGUAGAUAUGGCAGUAGAAACCAUUAAGGAUGGGCUGCUUCACAUCUCUAGGGAUGCUGAUGUCAUCCUCUGCAAUUAGACUAGUCGCAGUAAACAAGCAGUGGUACUAACAAGGAAAGCAAUGACAAACUUGACCGCAACAAUAAAAGGGCGAAAAAUCAAUCAAAAUUGUCCCUAUUCUACCAAGUGAGGAAAAACGAAUUCAAACAAACACGGAGAGCAGCGUGAGAGAGAACAUGUUGUUCAAGUUUAACCCACUCAUCCAACUUCCUAUUGACUGCAGUUUCUAAAUAAGGUGUUUGAUACUCAUUCGGUGAUUGCUUUGCCAUUUCAUAACACUGAAUAUAAUAGAACAAAAACAAAUUAAACCAUGAGUCCAUCAUGAACCCAGAUAAGCCAGGCCAAGACCAAGCAUAAAUCUGUUCUGAUCUUUAGGAUGACUGGGGAUAGAUAGAUAGUAACCUUACAAAGGGUAGACAAAUGAAUCAGCCAUAUGAAAGUCACAAAGGAGAGAUUUUUAUUGUAUUUCCAGAAAAAGUUCAAUAGCUCCUCCUAUUUUCUUCGUAUAUAGACACUUUCUAACGAGGAAACAGUGAUCAUUAUCUUUCCCCCAUUAAUACCAGGAUUUCUAAAAGCCAAUGUCUUCCUAACAGCUACAACUCCUAUCUUUCUCUAUCUCCUUUACAUACAUACACAAUACACCCAUACGAUGGAUCGGCAAACAAAAAGCACAAAGGAGAUGAUUUUAUUUGGAUUCCUAAUUCAAGCAAAUAUAAGGAAGAUCUGUUCAGAAAACCAUUUAUGCAUGCUGUUUGGAACUCAAAAAUUAUCUCAAAUGUACAAAAAUUGGCUCGAUGGUUGUGGGCACACAAAGCAUGGGAGAGAACAGAGGAGGAAUCAGUGGCUUACCUAUGCCGGAGGCGUUAGAGUGAGCACCAGAUAAGGUGAUAUCCCAUACAUUGAUAAAUCCAGUCAGGGUUGUAGAUAUGGCAGUAGAAACCAUUAAGGAUGGGCAGCUUCACAUCUGUAGGGAUGCUGAUGUCGCCCUCUGCAAUUAGACUAGUCACAGUAAACAAGCGGUGGUACUAACAAGAAAAGCAGUGAUGAACUUGACCGCACCAAAAAAUAGGCGAAUAGCUCAAUCAAAAGUUGUCAUGAUCCUACCAAAUGAGGCAAAAAAAAUCAAACAAACGUGGAGAGCAGCAUGAGAGAGAACAGAUUGUUCAAAUUUAACCCACUCAUCCAACCUCCUAUUGAGUGCGAAUGCAGAACAAUUUAAUACGGAUCAAUAAGCACGAAUAAGUCGAUGAACUAAAACAAGCUGUACAGGCACCAUUCUACAAGCCCUCCAAAGAAUAGGCCAGAAAAAUGGUUUCAUGGAUCUGCCUAUUUUUUCGUAUUUGGACGGUUUGUAAAAAGGACACAUUGAAAAAAAAACUCGCAUUUGUAUUUCAUCAUUUGCAGUUUAGAUUGCUUCAAAAAUCAUAUGCAAUUAGAGGACAAUCACUGAUAUUUAGAUAUGUGUAACAAAUUUAAAAAAAAUCAUCAGCAUGAAAAGAAAGACAAUGCAACUGAAAAUCCCAUCUACAGGUAGUGUAUGCCCUACAAAAUGACAAGUGCAAACAUAUACGGUGUAGUUGUUCCUUUAAAACACGACUAUGUUGUUCUCCUGAUUGCCAGCAUUACAUAUAAGGCUAUCAUAUAGAUAAACUCCAUACCAGAAAUAUAAGAAAAUAUUGUCACUUUACAGGUGUGAGCAGACUAAUUAGUACUCCCUCCGUCCCAUAAUAUAAGAUGUUUUUUGACACUAGUGUAGUGUCAAAAAACGUCUUACAUUAUGGGACGGAGGGAGUAAUUACUACAUUACAUAUCUUUUUUUCCCUCUAUGUGUCAAAGCCUAUAUUUUAUCUGUUGCUCAAUUUAAUUCAUUCUCAACAUUUGGGAACUCAAAACAGUUAGCCAAAGUAGAUACAUCAUAGUUUGUGUUUCCACAGGAAAAUGAUAUUGACCUUAGUUUAACAAAGAAAAUAAAAACAUAAAAAAUCAAAGCAUUCCAAGCAGUAUUAUCAUGAAUGAUUCUUUAAAGUAGUAGGGGAACAAUAUGAAAUCCACUCACAUCAAAACAUAAGUCCAAGGAAGGCGUGACUGGAUGAAUUACCCUGAACGGUGUCAGGCAUGCCAACGUCCAUCUUGACGUCCUCCAGGAGUUACAGAUAGACAGGUAGCAUGCCAAGGUCACCAGUAGCAUGGAGGGUGUUCCUGACCAUGUAGGUGGUGUUGGCCACUGUUAACCAAAAAGGGGACACUUUUAGUUACCAAUCAUGAAAAGAAUGUUGAAGUAUCAGAGGAACAGAAAUAUAAUAAGUUACUCGUGACUUUAAUCUUCAAAAGAAAGAUUAAUAGCUUUGCCUAUCUUCUUCAUAUUUGGAAGCUUUCUAACUAGGGAACGGUGAUUAUUAUCUCUCCCCAAUAUGAGGAUACUAAAAGNNNNNNNNNNNNNNNNNNNNNNNNNNNNNNNNNNNNNNNNNNNNNNNNNNNNNNNNNNNNNNNNNNNNNNNNNNNNNNNNNNNNNNNNNNNNNNNNNNNNAGUUCUACGCCAAGUUCUCCAAGUGUGAAUUUUGGCUCGAUGAGGUUCUUUAUCUUGGUCAUAUCAUCUCUGCCAAGGGCAUUGCCGUGAAUCCUGAGAAGGUGUCUACAAUUGUGAAUUGGGAACCUCCUCAGAACGUGAAGCAACUCCGUAGCUUCCUCGGUCUCGCAAGCUAUUGCCGAAGAUUCGUUGAAAACUUCUCUAAGAUCGCGAAGCCUCUCUCAAAUCUUCUCCAGAAGCACGUCAAGUACAUUUGGUCUCCGGAGUGUGAUAUUGCUUUCAACACUUUGAAAGAGAAAUUGAUCACUGCUCCAGUUCUGACUCCGCCUGAUGAAUCCAAGCCAUACGAGGUCUUUUGUGAUGCCUCUCUCCAAGGUCUUGGCGCAGUAUUGAUGCAAGAGAAGAAAGUUGUUGCUUAUACCUAUCGCUAGUUGAAGCCUAAUGAGAAGAACUACCCCACUCAUGAUCUCGAGUUGGCGGCAGUUGUGCUUGCUCUUUUGACUUGGAGACAUCUUCUAUUGGGAAGAAAAGUGGACAUUUUCACUGAUCACAAGAGUCUCAAGUACAUCUUCACUCAGCCUAAUCUCAACCUCAGGCAAACUCGAUGGGUCGAAAUGAUUCAAGAGUAUAAUCCGAGUAUCGAGUAUACUCCAGGCAAGGCCAAUGUGAUUGCUGACGCAUUGAGCAGAAAGCUUACUGCAACAGUCUGAUUCUUAAGCCUUAUCAACCCAAGCUUUGUGAAGCUUUCCGCAAACUUAACCUGCAAGUUGUUCCUCAAGGUUUCCUUGCCAACCUUCAAGUCUCUCCUACAUUGGAAGACCGGAUUCGCCAAGCCCAGCUUCUUGAUGCUAUGGUGAAAAAGGUGAAGAUUGGGAUUGCCAAGAGUCAACCCAAGUACAAGUGCUACCGCCUUGAUGACAAGGAUACUCUCUUCUUUGAGGAUCGUAUUGUUGUACCCAAAGGUGACCUUCAUAAAGUGAUCAUGAACGAGGCUCACAAUUCUCUCCUCUCCAUCCACCCUGGGAGCACGAAGAUGUAUCAGGACCUCAAGCAAGCUUAUUGGUGGACUCGAAUGAAGCGCGAGAUCGCUCAAUUCGUGAAUGAAUGUGAUGUCUGCAGAAGAGUGAAGGCAGAACACCAAAGGCCAGCUGGUCUCCUCCAACCUCUUGCCAUUCCAGAAUGGAAGUUUGACCACACUGAAAUGUACUUCGUGACUGGGUUUCCAAAGUCCAAGCGUGGCAAUGAUGCUAUAUUCAUUGUCAUCGACAAACUCACCAAAGUGGCUCAUUUUCUGCCUAUCAAAGAGUCGAUCACUGCAGCUCAAUUGGCGGAACUCUAUACCUCUUGUAUUGUCUCUUUGCACGGUAUUCCACAAGUGAUCUCUUCAGACCGUGGCAACAUAUUUACCUCAAAGUUUUGGGAUUCUUUUCAGAAGGCCAUGGGCACCAACAUCCACUUCAGCACUGCUUUCCGUCCUCAAACUAGCGGUCAAGUCGAGCGUGUCAACCAGAUUCUUGAAGAUAUGCUCAGGGCUUGUGUGAUCUCCUUCGGCAUGAAAUGGGAGGAUUGUCUUCCUUAUGCUGAAUUCUCCUACAACAAUAGUUUUCAAGCAAGUUCGGGCAAGGCCCCAUUUGAAAUUCUGUAUGGCAGGAAGUGCCGUACCCCUCUCAACUGGUCUUAAACCGGUGAACGUCAGCUUUUGGGUAAUGACUUAAUCACAGAGGCAGAAGAAAUGUGCAAAGUCAUUCAUGAUAAUCUCAAAGCAGCCCAAUCCCGCCAGAAGAGCUACUAUGAUAGUAAGCACCGUGAUUUGGCUUUCGAGAUCGGAGAUCAUAUUUACCUCCGCGUCUCUCCUAUGAAAGGUACUCGUCGCUUCGGUAUCAAAGGGAAGCUUGCCCCUAGAUAUGUGGGACCUUUCAAGAUUGUCAGCAAGAGAGGCGACCUCGCCUAUCAACUCGAGCUUCCUUCAAACUUUGCAAAUGUUCAUGACGUGUUCCAUGUCUCUCAGCUUCGAAAGUGCUUCAAGACUCCUGACCGCACCGUCAACUUUGAGGACAUUGAGCUCCAAGAAGAUCUCUCUUAUCGUGAGCAUCCAGUUGCUAUUCUUGAAGAGACUGAACGCAAGACUCGCAACAAGUCAAUCAAAUUUGUCAAAGUCAAGUGGUCACACCAUUCCGACCUGGAAGCUACCUGGGAACGCGAGGAUCACCUCCGUUCUGAGUACCCGGUGUUCUUUCAGUCCUAGAUCUCGGGACGAGAUCCUUUCGUAGUGGUGGAGUGUUGUAACACCCCGGAUGUAACUUUCCCAAUUUGUACUUCCAACUCUUGCCGUUUUCGGCGUUAAGUUAAUUUAUUUUCUCGGGUUCGGGUUUUUGUCUCCGUGUGUUGUUGUCGUUGUCAUGCAUCUCAUAUCAUGUCAUCAUGUGCAUUGCAUUUGCAUACAUGUUCGUCUCAUGCAUUCGAGCAUUUUCCCCGUUCUCCGUUUUGCAUUCCGGCGCUUUGUUCUCCUCCGGUGGUCAUUUAUAGCUUUCUUUUGUGUGUGGGGAUUAAACGUUUCUCUAUUGGACCGAGACUUGCCAAGCGGCCUUGGUUUACUACCGGUAGACCGCCUGUCAAGUUUCGUAUCAUUUGGACUUCGUUUGAUACUCCAACGGUUAACAGAGGGACCGAAAAGGACUCGUGUGUGUUGUAGCCCAACACCCCUCCAAUUUGGCCCAAAACCCACCUAAACCUGCUCCAUCAUCUAGAUCGUUCGAUCACGAUCGCGUGGCCGAAAACCGCACCUCAUUUGGACUCUCCUAGCUCCUCCUAUGCCUAUUUAAACACCCCACUCCAAAUUCGCGGAUCUCCUCUCCCCGAAACCCUAAAUUUCCACCCCGCCACCAACGGACAUUGUCCGCCCUGCGCCGGACAUCCGCCGCCGCCAACCGGGAGCCGCCACAUGGCGCCCCCGGACCACAUCGCCGCCGCACCCCGCGCGGGCCCGCUCGGCCCGUGGNNNNNNNNNNNNNNNNNNNNNNNNNNNNNNNNNNNNNNNNNNNNNNNNNNNNNNNNNNNNNNNNNNNNNNNNNNNNNNNNNNNNNNNNNNNNNNNNNNNNGGGGGCACCUCUAGGAACAACAAUUGAUCUCUUAAUCUCUUAGCCGUGUGUGGUGCCCCCCUCCACCAUAGUCCUCGAUAAUAUUGUAGCGGUGCUUAGGAGAAGCCCUGCAACGAUAGAAUAUCAAGAUCAUCACCACGCCGUCGUGCUGACGGAACUCUUCCCCGACAUUCUGCUGGAUCGGAGUACGGGGAACGUCAUCGAGUUGAACGUGUGCUAGAACUCGGAGGUGCCGUAGUUUCGGUGCUUGAUCGGUCGGGCCGUGAAGACAUACGACUACAUCAACCGCGUUGUUCUAACGCUUCCGCUUUCGGUCUACGAGGGUACGUGGACUACACUCUCCCAUCUCGUUGCUAUGCAUCACCAUGAUCUUGCGUGUGCGUAGGAAUUUUUUUGAAAUUACUACGUUCCCCAACAGUGGCAUCCGAGCCUGGUUUUAUGCGUAGAUGUUAUAUGCACAAGUAGAACACAAGUGAGUUAUGGGCGAUACAAGUCAUACUGCUUACCAGCAUGUCAUACUUUGGUUCGGCGGUAUUGUUGGAUGAAGCGGCCCGGACCGACAUUACGCGUAUGCUUACGCGAGACUAGUUCUACCGACGUGCUUUGCACACAGGUGGCUGGCAGGUGUCAGUUUCUCCAACUUUAGUUGAACCGAGUGUGGCUACGCCCGGUCCUUGCGAAGGUUAAAACAACACUAACUUGACGAACUAUCGUUUUAGUUUUGAUGCGUAGGUAAGAGCGGUUCUUGCUCAGCCCGUAGCAGCCACGUAAAAUUUGCAACAACAAAGUAGAGGACGUCUAACUUGUUUUUGCAAGGCAUGUUGUGAUGUGAUAUGGUCAAGACGUGAUGCUAUAUUUUAUUGUAUGAGAUGAUCAUGUUUUGUAACCGAAGUUAUUACCAACUGGCAGGAGCCAUAUGGUUGUCGCUUUGUUGUAUGAAAUGCAAACGCCCUGUAAUUGCUUUACUUUAUCACUAAGCGGUAGCGAUAGUCGUAGAAGCAAUAGAUGGCGUAAACGACAACGAUGCUACGAUGGAGAUCAAGGUGUCGCACCGGUGACGAUGGUGAUCACGACGGUGCUUCGGAGAUGGAGAUCACAAGCACAAGAUGAUGAUGGCCAUAUCAUAUCACUUAUAUUGAUUGCAUGUGAUGUUUAUCCUUUAUGCAUCUUAUCUUGCUUUGAUUGACGGUAGCAUUUUAAGAUGAUCACUCACUAAUUAUCAAGAAGUGUUCUCCCUGAGUAUGCACCGUUGCGAAAGUUCUUCAUGCUGAGACACCACUUGAUGAUCGGGUGUGAUAGGCUCUACGUUCAAAUACAAUGGAUGCAAAAUAGAUGCACAAGCGGAAUACUCAGGUUAAACUUGACGAGCCUAGCAUAUACAGAUAUGGCCUUGGAACACGGAGACCGAAAGGUCGAACGUGAAUCAUAUAGUAGAUAUGAUCAACAUAGUGAUAUUCACCAUUGAAAACUACUCCAUCUCACGUGAUGAUCGGACAUGGUUUAGUUGAUUUGGAUCACGUGAUCACUUAGAUGACUAGAGAGAUGUCUGUCUAAGUGGCAGUUCUUUAGUAAUAUGAUUAAUUGAACUUAAAUUUAUCAUGAACUUAGUACCUGAUAGUAUUUUGCUUGUCUAUGUUUGUUGUAGAUAGAUGGCUCGUGCUGUUGUUCCGUUGAAUUUUAAUGUGUUCCUUGAGAAACCUAAGUUGAAAGAUGAUGGUAACAAUUACACGGACUGGGUCCGUAACUUGAGGAUUAUCCUCAUUGCUGCACAGAAGAAUUACGUCCUGGAAGCACCGCUGGGUGCCAGGCCUGCUGCAGAUGCAACAGACGACGUUAAGAACGUCUGGCAGAGCAAAGCUGAUGACUACUUGAUAGUUCAAUGUGCCAUGCUUUACGGCUUAGAACCGGGACUUCAACGACGUUUAGAACGUCAUGGAGCAUAUGAGAUGUUCCAGGAGUUGAAGUUAAUAUUUCAAGCAAAUGCCCGGAUUGAGAGAUAUGAAGUCUCCAAUAAGUUCUAUAGAUGUAAGAUGGAGGAAAUAGUUCUGUCAGUGAACAUAUACUCAAAAUGUCUGGGUAUAAUAAUCACUUGAUUCAACUAGGAGUUAAUCUUCCUGAUGAUAGUGUCAUUGACAGAAUUCUUCAAUCACUGCCACCAAGCUACAAGAGCUUCGUGAUGAACUAUAAUAUGCAAGGGAUGGACUAGACUAUUUCCGAGCUCUUCGCAAUGCUAAAGGCUGCAGAGGUAGAAAUCAAGAAGGAGCAUCAAAUGUUGAUGGUCAAUAAGACCACCAGUUUCAAGAAAAAGGGUAAAGGGAAGAAGAAGGGGAACUUCAAGAAGAACAGCAAGCAAGUUGCUGCUCAAGAGAAGAAACUCAAAUCUGGACCUAAGCCUAAGACUGAGUGCUUCUACUACAAGCAGACUGGACACUGGAAGCGGAACUGCCCCAAGUAUUUGGCGGAUAAGAAGGAUGGCAGGGUGAACAAAGGUAUAUGUGAUAUACAUGUUAUUGAUGUGUACCUUACUAAUGCUCGCAGUAGCACCUGGGUAUUUGAUACUAGUUCUGUUGCUAAUAUUUGCAACUUGAAACAGGGACUACGGAUUAAUCGAAGAUUGGCUAAGGACGAGCUGACGAUGCGCGUGGGAAAUGGUUCCAAAGUCGAUGUGAUCGCGAUGGGCACGCUACCUCUACAUCUACCAUCGGGAUUAGUUUUAGACCUGAAUAAUUGUUAUUUGGUGCCAGCGUUGAGCAUGAACAUUAUAUCUAGAUCUUGUUUGAUGCGAGACGGUUAUUCAUUUAAAUCAGAGAAUAAUGGUUGUUCUAUUUAUAUGAGUAAUAUCUUUUAUGGUCAUGCACCCUUGAAGAGUGGUCUAUUUUUAUUAAAUCUCGAUAGUAGUGAUACACAUAUUCAUAAUGUUGAAGCCAAAAGAUGCAGAGUUGAUAAUGAUAGUGCAACUUAUUUGUGGCACUGCCAUUUGGGUCAUAUUGGUGUAAAGNNNNNNNNNNNNNNNNNNNNNNNNNNNNNNNNNNNNNNNNNNNNNNNNNNNNNNNNNNNNNNNNNNNNNNNNNNNNNNNNNNNNNNNNNNNNNNNNNNNNCGAUGACAAAGGGAACAACGUAUGUUGUUAUGCGGUCUGACCGAUAAAGAUCUUCGUAGAAUAUGUAGGAGCCAAUAUGGGCAUCCAGGUCCCGCUAUUGGUUAUUGACCAGAGACAUGUCUCGGUCAUGUCUACAUUGUUCUCGAACCCGUAGGGUCCGCACGCUUAAGGUUACGAUGACAGUUAUAUUAUGAGUUUAUGCAUUUUGAUGUACCGAAGGUUGUUCGGAGUCCCGGAUGUGAUCACGGACAUGACGAGGAGUCUCGAAAUGGUCGAGACGUAAAGAUUGAUAUAUUGGAAGCCUAUAUUUGGAUAUCGGAAGUGUUCCGGGUGAAAUCGGGAUUUUACCGGAAUACCGGGAGGGUUACCGAAACCCCCCGGGAGCUAUUUGGGCCAUAGUGGGCCUUAGUGGAAAAGAGAAGGGGCUGCCCUAGAUGGGCUGCGCGCCCCCCCUUCCCCUAGUCCUAUUAGGACUAGGAGAGGUGGCCGGCCCCCUCCUCCUCUUUUCCCCUCCGAGGAAUCCUAGUUGGACUAGGAUUGGAGGGGGAAUCCUACUCCCAGUGGGAGUAGGACUCUCCUGCGCCUCCCCCCCUUGGCCGGCCAGCCUCCCCUCCUCUCCUCCUUUAUAUACGGAGGCAGGGGCACCUCUAAACACACAAGUUGACACAAGUUGAUCCACGUGAUCGAUUCCUUAGCCGUGUGCGGUGCCCCCUGCCACCAUAUACCUCGAUAAUACUGUAGCGGAGUUUAGGCGAAGCCCUGCUGCUGUAGUUCAUCAAGAUCGUCACCACGCCGUCGUGCUGACGAAACUCUUCCCCGACACUUUGCUGGAUCGGAGUCCGGGGAUCGUCAUCGGGCUGAACGUGUGCUCGAACUCGGAGGUGCCGUAGUUUCGGUGCUUGAUCGGUUGGAUCGUGAAGACGUACGACUACUUCCUCUACGUCGUGUCAUCGCUUCCGCAGUCGGUCUGCGUUAGGUACGUAGACAACACUCUCCCCUCGUUGCUAUGCAUCACAUGAUCCUGUGUGCGCGUAGGAAAUUUUUUGAAAUUACUACGAAACCCAACAGUGGCAUCCGAGCCUAGGUUAUUGAUGUUGAUGUUAUAUGCACGAGUAGAACACAAGUAAGUUGUGGACGAUACAAGUCAUACUGCCUACCAGCAUGUCAUACUUUGGUUCGGCGGUAUUGUUGGACGAGACGACCCGGACCAACCUUACGCGUACGCUUACGCGAGACCGGUUCCCUCGACGUGCUUUGCACAGAGAUGGCUUGCGGGCGACUGUCUCUCCAACUUUAGUUGAACCAAGUAUGGCUACGCCCGGUCCUUGCGAAGGUUAAAACGGAGUCUAUUUGACAAACUAUCGUUGUGGUUUUGAUGCGUAGGUGAGAUUGGUUCUUACUUAAGCCCGUAGCAGCCACGUAAAACAUGCAACAACAAAGUAGAGGACGUCUAACUUGUUUUUGCAGGGCAUGUUGUGAUGUGAUAUGGUCAAGGCAUGAUGCUGAAUUUUAUUGUAUGAGAUGAUCAUGUUUUGUAACCGAGUUAUCGGCAACUGGCUGGAGCCAUAUGGUUGUCGCUUUAUUGUAUGCAAUGCAAUCGCGAUGUAAUGCUUUACUUUAUUACUAAACGUUAGUGAUAGUCGUGGAAGCAUAAGAUUGGCGAGACGACAACGAUGCUACGAUGGAGAUCAAGGUGUCGCGCCGGUGACGAUGGUGAUCAUGACGGUGCUUCGGAGAUGGAGAUCACAGGCACAAGAUGAUGAUGGCCAUAUCAUAUCACUUAUAUUGAUUGCAUGUGAUGUUUAUCUUUUAUGCAUCUUAUCUUGCUUUGAUUGACGGUAGCAUUAUAAGAUGAUCUCUCACUAAAUUAUCAAGAAGUGUUCUCCCUGAGUAUGCACCGUUGCCAAAGUUCGUCGUGCCCAGACACCACGUGAUGGUCGGGUGUGAUAAGCUCUACGUCCAUCUACAACGGGUGCAAGCCAGUUUUUGCACACGCAGAAUACUCAGGUUAAACUUGACGAGCCUAGCAUAUGCAGAUAUGGCCUCGGAACACGGAGACCGAAAGGUCGAGCGUGAAUCAUAUAGUAGAUAUGAUCAACAUAACGAUGUUCACCAUUGAAAACUACUCCAUCUCACGUGAUGAUCGGUUAUGGUUUAGUUGAUUUGGAUCACGUAAUCACUUAGAGGAUUAGAGGGAUGUCUAUCUAAGUGGGAGUUCUUAAGUAAUAUGAUUAAUUGAACUUAAAUUUAUCAUGAACUUAGUACCUGAUAGUAUCUUGCUUGUUUAUGUUAAUUGUAGAUAGAUGGCUCGUGCUGUUGUUCCGUUGAAUUUUAAUGCGUUCCUUGAGAAAGCAAAGUUGAAAGAUGAUGGUAGCAAUUACACGGACUGGGUCCGUAACUUGAGGAUUAUCCUCAUUGCUGCACAGAAGAAUUACGUCCUGGAAGCACCGCUGGGUGCCAGGCCUGCUGCUGGAGCAACGCCAGAUGUUAUGAACGUCUGGCAGAGCAAAGCUGAUGACUACUCGUUAGUUGAGUGUGCCAUGCUUUACGGCUUAGAAUCGGGACUUCAACGACGUUUUGAACGUCAUGGAGCAUAUGAGAUGUUCCAGGAGUUGAAGUUAAUAUUUCAAGCAAAUGCCCGGAUUGAGAGAUAUGAAGUCUCCAAUAAGUUCUAUAGCUGCAAGAUGGAGGAGAACAGUUCUGUCAGUGAGCAUAUACUCAAAAUGUCUGGGUAUAAUAAUCACUUGAUUCAAUUGGGAGUUAAUCUUCCGGAUGAUUGCGUCAUCGACAGAAUUCUCCAAUCACUGCCACCAAGCUACAAGAGCUUCGUAAUGAACUAUAAUAUGCAAGGGAUGAACAAGACUAUUCCCGAGCUCUUCGCAAUGCUGAAAGCUGCGGAGGUAGAAAUCAAGAAGGAGCAUCAAGUGUUGAUGGUUAACAAGACCACUAGUUUCAAGAAAAAGGGCAAAGGGAAGAAAAAGGGGAACUUCAAAAAGAANNNNNNNNNNNNNNNNNNNNNNNNNNNNNNNNNNNNNNNNNNNNNNNNNNNNNNNNNNNNNNNNNNNNNNNNNNNNNNNNNNNNNNNNNNNNNNNNNNNNCAUCUGAAUAGUUGCAAAAGCUAGUUCAAUAUUUGGCGUCUCAAAAUCAGCUUCUAAAUAGGUCUUUUUGCCCUCCAAAGUUCGCGUAUACACUUUGUUCCAAUUUUUCAGGCGAGUUUUAAAAUUGACUCCUCAUAUCAAUUCGGAAUUGAAUGAUUCUUUUUGCAUUGGAAAACUUGAGUUAGUAGCAAACUUUUCAAGAGGAAAGUUGAAGAGAGAGUUGUUAUAUAUCCUGCUUGGCAGUUGUUAUUCAUCAUUAUCUUUAUUGCCGUUGUGAUCUUCACUUAUAUCUUGCUGUCCAGAGCUACUUAUCCUUCAUUGAUGCUAGUUGUGCUAUGCCGUGACCUCAUUAGUGUUCUAGGCUCGCGUCUCUAAUUCGGUCUAGCCUAGGACCAGCACAGUACCGUCGUUGAGCGUUUAUUCAACAUUGCAUCUUUGAAUUGAUUAUUGCUAAUCUUUUGCUACCAUAUAUAGCCAACCCAGCUCCACAUAUUUCUACACCGUGUAUACGUACGUUCCCCUGGCAAUCGCUCUACACAAUCAUCAGAGUUAUUUGACACCGCUGGUUGCCUGUCACCACCUGUCGCAUGGUAAGAACUUGUAAGAUAUUGAUAUUUGCUUUACUGUGAGCACGUUACAACCACAUCCUAGUUGUUCAUAGGAACAUUAUUCUCGAAUUUUGUUUCUUGUUUCUACUAAUCAUGACAGGUUCCGGAGAAAGAAGUUCUUGGACGACGAACACAUCCUCACCAUCACGAGAGUUGGGACAACACACACAAGCACAUGGUCAGCUUAUCUCUUUACCAUCAUUUGAGGGUAGAUUUAAUCCUGCUAUUUAUCUAGAUUUGGAGCUUGAAGUAGAACAAGUUUUUAGUUACCAUGACUUUUUUGAACUUGAGCGAGUACGAGCUGCCACUAGAGCAUUUACUAGUUUUGCUUCUGUUUGGUGGAGUGUGCAUUGUAAGAAAAACAUUGAUAACCAACCCACAACUUGGAAAUAUUUGAAACAUGUAAUGAGACAACAAUUUUUCCCUCCUUACUAUCGUCGUGAAUUGCUUCGCAAAUUUGAACAAUUUAAACAAGGCAAUAACACUGUUCAUGCUUACUACCAAGAGUUCAAAUCUUAUAUGCAUCAUUGUGACAUAGAAGAAUCUGAGGAUGAUACAAUGAAUAGAUUUUUUGGUGGUUUGAACCAUGAUAUCCAGGCAAGAUUUAGGUAUAUUCCUCGUUGCAUUACUGGUAUGUAUGUUCGUGCUUGUACCUUUGAGAGACAGUUACAGGAGGAUGCAUCGGGUGACUACAACAACUACUAUUCCAAUUCAUGCUCACUAUCAUCGGUUGAUUCCUCCACCGUUGCACCUACUAGAGCAGCCACACCUUAGAUUGUGAGUGCGACAUCAUCUCAAGUGUAUGGUACAUUGUCAUUGUCCAUACCGACAUCAGCUACAUCUUUGCGAGAAGGUAAUAGUAAAGGUAUUGAUUAUAUAACUUCAUAUGAGAAUGAUGCAUCCCUAAUUAACUUAAAUACAUCAUGUGUUGAGUUACCUGUUGAUUUGAGCACGCCAUCUAUUUUAGAGAAUCGUGUUACUAUCAUGAAUGAAUCAUGUGAUCAAACAACUGAAAUACCAACAAUUUUGAGUGCACCCAUUGAAUUAACUAUUGAUGCAAAAGAACCAAUGUUUAAUCAUUUUGAUGUGACCUCUAAUCUUGGUGAUGAUUCUAUGUCCAAUGACUUACUGCAUGUUUGCUUAUUUAAGCAUGUUGUAGCAUGUAAAUUUGAUGCAAGUAAGGUUUAUUCACCAAUGUUGGGAUGGUUUAAUGAUGAAUAUUGUCAAUCUUUUGAUAUGAAUAAGAGCUUCACUUAUAUGUGCAAACUGAGUUGCAAUAUUUUCAUGCCUUCUACUUAUGAUAAUAUUUUAGCUUUAUAUUUUAUGAUCUAUGAAAGUUACUCAUGUAUACAUGUGUCAUAUGUGCAAAAACCAAGGGAAGUAAAAAUGGAUGGCAUAUACAUAUACAACAUGUAUACUUUGUCUCUUUUGUUAGCCACAUUUCAGAUUAAGCAACGCCGAGGACGGCUUUGUUUUCAAAAAGGGGAGGAUGAUGAGGACAUGACUACCUUGGACACGACCAAAAAUAUUGCAUACAUGCAUAUUUGUCAGGUGAUUUCUAGUGCAAACUAUUCAAUAAUCUAUUUAGGUUAUCCAGAACAAAAAUACUUCACACACUUUUGUGUUUUGUCUAAUUGCAGGUGUAUGGGAUAUUUGUACAAUUCACAUAUGAAGAUAAGGGAGAAAGAGAUGUUUAAGUGCUGUUCAAAAAGUUCUCUCACGUCACUUUUGGGCCAAGAGAAGAUAGAGUCCAAGUCUCUCACGUUCUGGAUUCAGAUUCGGACUGCACAGACAUACCUGACUCAAAACGCCAACAACUUUUUCAUACGGACUUCGAAUUGGGUGAUUCUUUUUUUGUUGGAUUCUAGAUUUUGUGCUCUUUCCAGCCCAAUUAGAUUCACAUUCAAAUUCGUCCAGAGCGUUGAGAUAUCGACGAAACAAUCAGACGCUGCAGCAAAAUCCGAGUCAAACAACAAGUCCAAAGGUGUUGCAUCACCUCCACUUGGGCCCAUUGGCCUUGUACGACCUAGGGUUGCUUUUAGGAUGCCUUGGGACGUUCUCCCACCUCCUUGGCCGCCACCCCUUCCUCCUAUAUAAGUAGAUCCAUCUAGUAGCUUUUUCCUUGGAAUUUAUUUAGUUAAAAGUUAGCCAACGCAACUUCGUGUACUUUGUUUGUGUCCAACGACCAGACCAAGACCGCUUUCGGAUCCCCACCUUUAUCAAUACUUCAUACAUAUUUGCAAUAUUCAGAUUGCUUUUAUCAUAUUCUUGCUCGUUCUUCGAUUGCUUGCAGGAAUAGACCUUCGUGGUCAGGUUGAUCGUGCACCGGCGUGGUCAAUAACCUCUGGAGAUUGGUUUAGCAAUUGCUAAGGCGCAACGUCGUGCACGUUNNNNNNNNNNNNNNNNNNNNNNNNNNNNNNNNNNNNNNNNNNNNNNNNNNNNNNNNNNNNNNNNNNNNNNNNNNNNNNNNNNNNNNNNNNNNNNNNNNNNGAGGCACAUUGAUUGUCCUCAUUAAGACGGUCCGAAAUAUUCUCCUGCACGGUCGGACUGAUCAUGCACAACGGCAAUGAGGAAGAACACGAGGCUUCAUCGCUGUUCUUGUCAUGAAAACUCAUGGAGGUUAUAGGAAUGAUAUUAAAUUUACCCAGCUCCUUAGUAGAGGCCUGAAUGAUUGACGUGUCCAGGAAGACCGGAUGGUUGUAACGAAUGGCCAUAGGGCUGCGCGCAGCAAUGGGCUCCAGAUGUUCAUCAACAUGCCAUUGAUGUUCAAAAUGUUUGUACCCAUUGAAAUGACCAUUGAAAAGAUGAAAAUGACAUAUAAAAUCCGGCCAAAUACAAUCUUUGAGCCCAUGAAUGAAAUGACCCACUUUGUUACCAAAUACAGAGAAGCGAAAAGAUCUGUCACUGAGCUUAACCACCUUGAACCCCUUGGGAUGACCCCCAAUACAACAUUGCAAAGCCACACUCACAGAAUCUUCAGUAAGGGGAAAGGAGGCCGAGGAGAAAGAAACCACCAAGAAGAAUUCCUUGGUAUUGCGAGAUGGAGAAAAGUGAACAGUUUCUCCAAAUCUUCAACGUACAUGUUCUGAGACUGCAAGACCAGGAUUGAAAUCCCAGUGUAGUAGGCCUUCCAUGGUGAGGAUUAGUGGUUAGAUCCAUGGUGGAGAGGAAGCAGGUUGGAGAGAGGAGAGGAGAGGAGCCAUUCUACCACGAGAAAUCUGUGGAGGGGGGCACCGUAGGAUUUACUGAGGGAAUAGUGGUACUGGGGGAGGCGAGUGAGGCGAGGGUACGCGGGGGCACAGUGAGAUGAUGAAUAGUGACCUUAGGAUCUCCGGCGACACGGAGAUGGAGAUGGAGUGGUGCUAGGGGAGAGGGUGACGAGGUGAGGCAUGCUAUACAGCGGCAGUGAUAGUGACUGCACAGUGCACAAGGUGAGGCUGACUUUGGUAACCCGAACACGCCGCCUGGACUGGUGUCACCUCGAGCGCAAGGGCCUGUCAGUUCACUGUGAGGACCGGAUGAAUAAUAUUUUGACCAUCAAGUGUACCACAGUUGUACUACUACUACUAGUAGGAGUAGUAGGAACAUGAGUAUUAUUGUAUAGCGGAAAUAGGUCUCCCACGCUAGCAUGCCUUUGGGUUCACUUCAUCCUCUAGGUAUCAUCCAUAAUGCGAGCAGAACCAAAUUCUCGUGCAUGCGGAAGCGCGAAGAAGGCCUUUUAUUUUUUGAGGAUAACUGCGUAUUCUUAACUAGAAAAAUGUUGUGUCUCCCAUGCACAUGCCAAUAUCCAUCCGAACCAGCUACGACACAUUUUUUAAAUCCGUUUGCAUAGGUCCCACCUGUCAGUGGCACAUGUAGCGCUCGAAGGAUGGGCACGUACAGGGAAAGGUACCACUCCUCAGAUUACCGACAUAUCCUUUUCGUUUAGUCUAUGUAGCCAUCUAAUCAACUGCCUGCAGGCCACUUCUCCCAUUUACUUCUCCAUCAGGAACCGACUUUCCUCGGCUUCUUCACUACUCCUUCAUCUUCAUUUGCAUCCAAACCACACUGCAUUCACAUUGUUUUAACAUCUUCACAUUCUCCUAGAGUAAUUCCGAAGCCCCUUUAAAUAAUAAUCUUCUUUAGCUAGACUAGCCAUCUAAUCCUAAUUCCUCAAACCAUAGCCCUCCGGUCCAGCGGUUCCAAAUAGCGAAAGAGAUCGAGACGCAGGUUUUUAGUGUCCAACAUGUCCUCGUCAAAGGCUCAUUGAGCAUAGUUGCCACAAUCACCGACCACCCAAGGGUUGUUCGGAAGUGGAUCAACAAUGUAUCCAACUCCCUCCAAAAGGUGGGGAUGAAGGUCAUCGGUCUCGACGCAGAGUACACGGAGCAUGCCACUUGGAAGAUCCAACGUGCCGCCGUCCUUCAGUUGUGCCUCGGAGAUGAUGUUUUGGUGUACCACAUCAUACACGCGCCCUUCAUACCAGGUGAGCUUCACGAUUUCUUGUCUCGGGAGGACAUAUACUUCUGUGGGGCAGCCAUCACAGGGGACAAACAGAAGUUGGAGCCGUACAACCUUGAUUUGAAAAGCAUCACUGGCAUUCAAACCAAAAUAAAAUUUCCUGUAGAACAUUGUGAUAAACCGACGCCAUCACUAUUCGACAUAGCAAAUUUUGUGGUCAGAACAAAUCUUCAGAAGGGUGACGAGAUGCUGGCAUUAAGGUCGUCUAGAUGGGAGAAAUUAUCCCUUGUCAUACGAGCGGAUAAAAUAUGCUGCCUCCAUGCCCGUGUGAGAUUCGAGAUAGAUGCAAGGUCCAAAGAGCUUGUUGCGAAGCUGUCUCCCACAUAAAAUGAGAAGAAGAAGCUGCACCAGCAGCAGGGCAUUAUGGAUGGAUGAACUAUUUCCUCUCUUGUAAAGAAAAUUAUUCCCUCUCUCUGUAUAUUGAUAUAGAUGGGACCUUUCCUAAAAAUAGGACAUAUGAGUUUGCUCGAAAUUCACCGAAACGGAAAUAAAUCGACAUUUCGGUAAAACAUAAGCAACUCGAGGGCAUGUCACUAGCACAAAUCUCUCCAUGUAUGUAUAUAUAUAUAUAUAUAUAUAUAUAUCCCAAACACACAUAUUCUCACUCACACACAUAUUCGCAUUCUUGAAAUGAACAACUUUUUACUCACCUAUAUAUAUCUCCCGGGAGGGACCGAGAGCAGGCGGUUAAUUAGAUGAUGAGAGAGAACGAUCGACAGACCACGUGUGGUUGGCUAAAUAGCUAGCUACAUCUAGUUGUUUGGAGGAGAGGUGAAUCUAGCUAGCUAACUAAUGGAGAGGGGUUACGGUGGAUGGGGGCAUUAAUGGGGGAGACAGGAGAGGUGUAGGAGAAAGAGAGAGGCCAUUUAUGGAGGAGUGUGCCAUUAAUGAGGAGAGAAGAGAGGUAGGAGGAAGAGAGAAGAAGAGAAACAACGGUGGAGCUAGAGUGGAGAGGGGAGAGGGGAAAGGAGGGCGAGAGAGGGCAAAGNNNNNNNNNNNNNNNNNNNNNNNNNNNNNNNNNNNNNNNNNNNNNNNNNNNNNNNNNNNNNNNNNNNNNNNNNNNNNNNNNNNNNNNNNNNNNNNNNNNNUUACAAAAGCUAACCCUUAAACCGCUCGCGACCAUCCGGACAUGUUUUGCCAUCCAAUACGGUCCUAUAUCGGCCCACAGGCCGGUCUGGAUGUGCAUUUUCCUGUAAACCAAAAACAAACUACGGGGCUUUGUGGGCGUCUGGACCGCUGCCACGGCCGCUUCUUACUCCCCUGGCCCACCAAAAACACCUGUCCCGCGCCCGCACCCCUUCACAUGAGAAGCAGUUAGGUACCAGUGCUCCAGAGCACCGGUACCUCAUUCAUGCCUAUUUGGAGUAGCCGCGAUGAAUAUACUCAUGUUGAGGAGAAGUACCAGCCACAAAAAUCAAUGUAAUUGAUUGAUGAAUUGGAUGCUUCUCUGGAAAUAAUUGAUCAAGGGCAAGCCAAGGAUGUGGAUAGUCCUUACUACUUUAAUAAUACUCCAUUUGAAAGUCCAAGGAAAUACUUCAAUUUAAUUCAAAUUUCAGACUCAUUUUGUUAUCUUUAGAUUAAUGCAACAUAAAUAUCUACUUAAUGCAUAAUAUAUAUAAUUAGGGGUGAACUUGUGAGUGGGCACAUGAGUGGAACUCAAACAAACAAUCAUAUGUAGACAAGAGAUGUGUUUGUCUUUUAUUCCCAUGUUUGAACUAGUAUAGUUCGGGUUCUUACAUGAUAGUGCAUGUCACUUUAUUUUUUCACCGCUACAACGACCAAACCAUGGACUAAGAAAACGGUGUAUCAUAUAUCUACUACUAGAGUUCUUCUAUUCUCAGUUAGUACCGAAGAUGCCAACUGGAGCAAUGGUGCAAUAUGGAGGGAUAUAGACAUUGCACAUUGCAGGUAGCGUCUCUAGCGCUAGGUUCCUUAUUUCCUCAAACUGGGGCAGUUGUUGAGGCUGGACAGAGCCCUGGGCCUGUGGGUUUUGCUGAGAUGGCUGGAAGGAGCCCUGGCCUGAUGGAUAUUGUUGUUGAGACUGUUGGAAGCAGACCUGGCUCAACGGUUGUUGUUGUUGUUGUUGUUGUUGUUGUUGUUGUUGUUGUUGUUGAUGCAGAAUAAUAGCAUGAACAACAUUGUGGAUGGCUUGGCACCGCGACUGCUCGGGGAUCUGCCAUAGCUGCUGACAACACAAUUGUUGCACCAGCUGGUAAGUACUUUGUUGCAAAACUUGUGAGCUUCCAUGCGCUAUGCUGUGUUGUUGCAAUACAACAUCCCUGCAUGGAAUCAGUUGUUGUUGCAAAAUUUGUUGAAGGAUCUGUUGUUGUUGUUGUUGUUGCUGCUGCUGCUGCUGCUGCUGCUGCGAAAUUGGUUGUUGUGGUUGCGAAUACUGUGGUUGCGGUUGUGGAUAUGAUUGUUGUGGUCGAAAUGGUUGCGGCUGCGGAUAUGGUAGUUGCGGCUGCGGAUAUGGUAGUUGCGGCUGCGGAAAUGGUUGCAGCUGCAUAUAUGGUUGUUGUGAUGGAAAUGGUUGCAGCUGCGGAUAUGGCUGUUGUGGUGGAAAUGGUUGUUGCUGCCCUGGAAAUUGUUGUUGUUGUACCAAUGGAACUUGCUUUUGUGGUUGUUGCUGAGAUGGAUUUUGUGGCUGCAAUUGUGGCACUGGAACUCUAACUGCAAUUGUGGCGGUGGUUGCUACAAUAGCACGGAGGGCAAGGAUGAGAAAGGUCUUCAUGGUGGAUUUGUAUUGAGCACUGCUUGCUUGGCUUAAAUGAUGCGCUCUACUUAUGAGAAUGAUGGAUGAGGAAGGAUGAUCAUCAUGCUACGGGCCUAUUUAUAGCUGCCAUGGAAUGAUCUCUUUCACAAUUGGCAUUUGCUUGUGUGGAAGUGCUUGGAUGCUUCUCAAAAUCAUAAUUUGGUAUGUUGUGUUCGGUGGCACUACUUACAAGUGUAUUCUUGAACUGGUCAUUAAAGUUCCUUGUUGUUGCACUAUCAUUCCACAACCAAAAAGGUGUGAUAACACGCAUGACUCAUUUUAUUCACUUUACAGCUCAAACACUAAUCUAGAUUGCCUAUUUUUCUGAAACUAAGUUUGUAAUUUUCUGCAAAUUGUUACGCAUAAACUAGAUAAGCAUGGCUGGCACAGAACUUGGUUUGUAAUCUUGUGUGGCCUGUUAAGGUAGAUAAGACUAGUAAUAUAACUUGCUUUAGUAGGCCAUGACUCAUCAAAUUCCCUUUACAUGUCAAGUGUUGUAGUGUUCUAGAAGUUAUUAGCAAACAUAAAUUUUGUAAUGUUCUACAAGUUGUUACAUGUAAACUAGAUAAGCUUGACUUGCACACAAACAAGAUUUUAAUCAUGUGUGACCUGUUAAGAUGGAUUAGACUAGUAAUGUGGCUUUGAUAGACCAUGACUCAUCAAAUUGCUUUUACUUGUCUUAAGUGUUGUAUAUGUUGUACAAGUUAUUAACACUUAUCAGCUUAGUAUGGCUUGCAAUGUGUGUGCAUGCCAAUGUACGUUCUAGCUUCUAUUCAUUUGUAGAUCUUAUUUUGUUUUACGCAAAUUGUAUAAAUUAUCAUCUACGCUAAGGCUUGCGAGUGCAACUGCAACAAUGUUGGCAGGGUGGGAGGGAGGUUGUGGCAUGGCAUGAGUUCUUAUGACAACCGUUCAUUAUGUGUGAAAAGAUACGUGUUAUGUUUUUCAUGCGUGCUAAGAAAUAGAUGUUUUUAAAUACAAUUUAUAUUUUGAUUAGCAAAGUUCUCGGAAAAGUUGACAUGACCUCUACUCAUUAUUUAUCUUUUGGAUCAAAUUCAAAUAAUAAUAAAAUAAAUGGAUGUGAUUCCAUCAUGGCCAUUUCAAAUAUAUUUGAAAGUAAAAUCCAAACAUUAUCCUCAGAUUACAAUACAAAUUACACGUCAACUGUUUCAGAUAAAAAAUAUAAAUGAUCUAUUAUAUUAUUAAAAGAAGAAAAAUGAGUUAAAAAGAAUGGAUGUGAUUUGCUUGAAAGAAUGUGUAUGCAUGUCUCCUUAUCCCGCGAGUUUCCAGAAAAACAACGCUAGGCUCGUCCUAUUGGAAUCAGUCGGAUGAAUAAANNNNNNNNNNNNNNNNNNNNNNNNNNNNNNNNNNNNNNNNNNNNNNNNNNNNNNNNNNNNNNNNNNNNNNNNNNNNNNNNNNNNNNNNNNNNNNNNNNNNGGGUUACGUCAAAAACUGGAUGCACUUCGCGUACAAAACGGACGAUCUCUUUCAAAGUAUCAGGAUUUCAUACGGAAACUCGUCUGUUACAAUGGAAUUUCAUUUUUAAAACUUAUUUGAACUCCUGACUUUUUGUGUGUUCAAAAUUAAACAUUCAAAUCCACAUCAUCAUUUUUCAAUCCUUUCUGACUUCAUUUGUUAUUUUUCAUGCAUUUACUAAUUAUUUUGAGCUAUAAGACCAUAAAAUUGAAAAGCAUUUCAAAUGAACUCUGAAAAGGUUGAAAGUUGGCAUGGUAUCAUCAUUUCAUCCACAUAGCAUGUGCAAGAUAGUUGAGAGGGUUACGGCAAAAACUGGAUGCACUUCGUGUACAAAAUGGACGUUCUCUUUCAAAGUAUCAGGAUUUCAUACGGAAACUCGUCUGUUAGAAAGGGAUUUCAUUUUUUUAAAACUUAUUUGAACUCCUGACUUCUUGUGUGUUCAAAAUGCACCAUUCAAAGACACAUCAUCAUUUUUCAAUCCUUUCUGACUUCAUUUGUUAUUUUUCAUGCAUUUACUAAUUAUUUUGAGCUAUAAGACCCUAAAAUUGAAAAGCAUUUCAAAUGAACUCUGAAAAGGUUGAAAGUUGGCAUGGUAUCAUCAUUUCAUCCACAUAUCAUGUGCAAGAUAGUUGAGAGGGUUACAAAUAACUGGAUGCACUUCGUGUACAAAACGGACAAUCUCUUUCAAAGUAUCAGGAUUUCGUACGGAAACUCGUCUGUUACAAAGGGAUUUCAUUUUUUUAAACUUAUUUGAACUCCAGACUUUUUGUGUGUUCAAAAUGCACCAUUCAAAGCCACACCAUCAUUUUUCAAUCCUUUCUGACUUCAUUUGUUAUUUUUCAUGCAUUUACUAAUUAUUUUGAGCUAUAAGACCAUAAAANNNNNNNNNNAUUUUUUUAAACUUAUUUGAACUCCUGACUUUUUGUGUCUUCAAAAUGCACCAUUCACAGCCACACCAUCAUUUUUCAGUCCUUUCUCACUUCAUUUGUUAUUUUUCAUGCAUUUACUAAUUAUUUUCACCUAUAAGACCCUAAAAUUGAAAAGCAUUUCAAAUGAACUCUGAAAAGGUUGAAAGUUGGCAUGGUAUCAUCAUUUCAUCCACAUAGCAUGUGCAAGAAAUUUGAGAGGGUUACGGUAAAAACUGGAUGCACUUCGUUUACAAAACGGACAAUCUCUUUCAAAGUAUCAGGAUUUCGUACGGAAACUCGUCUGUUACAAAGGGAUUUCAUUUUUUUAAACUUAUUUGAACUCCUGACUUUUUGUGUGUUCAAAAUGCACCAUUCAAAGCCACAUCAUCAUUUUUAAUCCUUUCUAACUUCAUUUGUUAUUUUUCAUGCAUUAACUAAUUAUUUUGAGCUAUAAGACCAUGAAAUUGAAAAGCAUUUCAAAUGAACUCUGAAAAGUUUGAAAGUUGGCAUGGUAUCAUCAUUUCAUCCACAUAGCAUGUGCAAGAAAGUUGAGAGGGUUACGGCAAANNNNNNNNNNGGAUUUCAUACGGAAACUCGUCUGUUACAAAGGGAUUUCAUUUUUUUAAACUUAUUUGAACUCCUGACUUUUUGUGUGUUCAAAAUGCACCAUUCAAAGCCACAUCAUCAUUUUUCAAUCCUUUCUGACUUCAUUUGUUAUUUUUCAUGCAUUUACUAAUUAUUUUGAGCUAUAAGACCCUAAAAUUGAAAAGCAUUUCAAUUGAACUAUGAAAAGGUUGAAAGUUGGCAUGGUAUCAUCAUUUCAUCCACAUAGCAUGUGCAAGAAAGUUCAGAGGGUUACGGCAAAAACUGGAUGCACUUCGAGUACAAAACGGACAAUCUCUUUCAAAGUAUCACGAUUUCAUACGGAAACUGGUCCGUUACAAAGGGAUUACAUUUUUUAAAACUUAUUUGAACUCCUGACUUUUUGUGUGUUCAAAAUGGACCAUUCAAAGCAACAUCAUCAUUUCUCAAUCCUUUCUGACUUCAUUUGUUAUUUUUCAUGCAUUUACUAAUUAUUUUGGGCUAUAAGACCCUAAAAUUGAAAAGCAUUUCAAAUGAACUCUGAAAAGGUUGAAAGUUGGCAUGGUAUCAUCAUUUCAUCCACAUAGCAUGUGCAGGAAAGUUGAGAGGGUUACGGCAAAAACUGGAUGCACUUCAUGUACAAAACGGACAAUCUCUUUCAAAGUAUCAGGAUGUCAUACGGAAACUCGUCUGUUACAAAGGGAUUUCAUUUUUUAAAACUUAUUUGAACUCCUGACUUUUUAUGUGUUCAAAAUGCACCAUUCAAAGCCACAUCAUCAUUUUUCAAUCCUUUGUGACUUCAUUUGUUAUUUUUCAUGCAUUUACUAAUUAUUUUGAGCUAUAAGACCCUAAAAUUGAAAAGCAUUUCAAUUGAAUUCUGAAAAGGUUGAAAUUGGCAUGGUAUCAUUAUUUCAUCCACAUAGCAUGUGCAAGAAAGUUGAGAGGGUUACGGCAAAAACUGGAUGCACUUCAUGUACAAAACGGACAAUCUCUUUCAAAGUAUCAGGAUUUCAUUCGGAAACUCGUCAGUUACAAAGGGAAUUCGUUUUUUAAAACUUAUUUGAACUCCUGACUUUUUGUGUGUUCAAAAUGCACCAUUCAAAGCCACAUCAUCAUUUUUCAAUCCUUUCUGACUUCAUUUGUUAUUUUUCAUGCAUUUACUAAUUAUUUUGAGCUAUAAGACCCUAAAAUUGAAAAGCGUUUCAAAUGAACUCUGAAAAGGUUGAAAGUUGGCAUGGUAUCAUCAUUUCAUCCACAUAGCAUGUGCAAGAAAGUUGAGAGGGUCACGGCAAAAACUGGAUGCACUUCAUGUACAAACCGGACAAUCUCUUUGAAAGUAUCAGGAUUGCAUACGGAAACUCGUCUGUUACAAAGGGAUUUCAUUUUUUAAAACUUAUUUGAACUCCUGACUUUUUGUGUGUUCAAAAGGACCAUUCAAAGCCACAUCAUCAUUUUUCAAUCCUUUCUGANNNNNNNNNNNNNNNNNNNNNNNNNNNNNNNNNNNNNNNNNNNNNNNNNNNNNNNNNNNNNNNNNNNNNNNNNNNNNNNNNNNNNNNNNNNNNNNNNNNNAUAUAUAUAUAUAUAUAUAUAUAUAUAUAUAUAUAUAUAUAUGGCAUAACUGAGUGCUGAUGAUGGAGAGAAAAGGACCACAGAUUAAAAAAAUAUGGUCAGUACACUUAUUAUCAUAUAAUUAGAUUUAUUUUCCAGUCCAAAUGACACCUCCAGUUUCCUUGAGGAGAUGUUAUAUAUUUUCGCAGUCUAUUUUCUUUGUUCUAAGCAACAUGGCCACUUAUAUAUCUUAUAUCUGCUCUGCAGUAGUUUUUGGGUCACAGAGAGUCUGAACUCUGAACACGCUAUAACACACGUGUUAACUGAGCCAUUAGUCUGGCCGCAUUGGAGCAAGUAGCUAAAAGAAUUUUUUUCCUAGAACUUGCACUGGCGUCAUGGGCAGAUGGCCUGACCGCAACACAACCCAUAACAGUUUUUACAUGGGAAGAAGUGAUGAAUGUUAACAUAUAAGGACGAACUUGUAAAUCUGCUGGUCUUGUUUCAAACGUGUGAUAAGCUUUGUUGGUUCUCCAAUGUGUUGGGCGGCCGGCACCUUUUCCUGCAAGCUGCGACUAAUUUCGUGACAUGGAAGACCACUAAACUGAAUUCCAAACAUCCUGAAUAUCCAAAAACCUAUUUGUAAAUCUUUGUCACAGGGUGCUAGACAAUGCUAGACUGAUCUUUAACACUUAAACUGUUUCCAAAUUUAGUAUAGAAAAAAUAGUCGGAAGGGCCGUGAACGAUCUGUGUCAGCAGCAGCUACAAUCAAACAUAAGCUAAUCGCAUUAGUGGAGUCAAAUCAUAACAACGCACUCACCUAGACCAUGUUGAGUCGUCUCUUAUUGAGAAUUGACCUUCAGUGGGCGUGAAGCAUCAGCCAAACCAUGUAGAAGCCCUGCGAUAGCAUGUACGCUAGCUAGCUCCAUGCCUCUAGCAACGUUUAUCGAAUAGGAUAUGGACCGCGCUCUUCAACUUCUGCUGCCCGAGGAUGCUGGUGAACAGUUUCGCUACUACUCCUGUCUAUAAAGAUACCACGGCAACCGCGGGCGCUGGCGCGGAGUACUGGAUCUCCCAAUAUGUACGUGCAGUUGUGCACCAUACUGCUCGUGUUUGGACCUGCAGCACAGGAGAUCGUGGAGGCUUCAACAGGAGAAGAACGCGCGUAGCCAAGAUCAUGCUGGUGGAUAUCCUCGUCACGUGAUGCGGACAUCACAUGCCGAGAUGUACUCACGGUAAUGGACUCGUGUCUGCGCUACUGGGUAACUGGAGGCCGGACGGUGCCACUGCUCAUGUAUGACUGGUCAAUGAGGAGGCUGGCGGAUGGAGAGGGCAACGGAUGGAGGCAGGCCGGAUGAUGGGACUCCCGCAUAGAGAAGGAAUCAACAAUUAGAAAUCUGCAUCCACCUUGCAAUAGCAUAGCAAGAACCAACCGGAGGUAGGCCCCGAUGAUAGGAGAUCUAUUCGAUUUCUUUUAGGAAAAGAAAAGAUGGAGGUCAAUAGAGGUAGGAGUGCUGCACGAUGGCUACUACGUGGUAUGCCUUUUUUUUUGCGUGGACAGAUUUUUUACCUAGAUUGAAUCUCAUCCCAUGAUUUUUCUGGACUCUUUAUUUCAUUCAGAUAGACGUGAGAGAUUAAAAGAGUUGGGUUCUGUGAUACACGAUUCAUGUACGUAUUUUUUUUAUGAAUCGAUCUGGACCGUAAUAAUUCGGUCCCACCAGAUUAACGGCUCGUAAAAUCUAAUUAACGUGAGAGUUUUAGGAAGUCAAGAAUUAGUAUAGGUAUAGAGGUAUUGAUAGAUAGAUAGAUAGAUAGAUAGAUAGAUAGAUAGAAGUGUUCUCCUUGAGUAUGCACCGUUGCGAAAGUUCUUCGUGCUGAGACACCACGUGAUGAUCGGGUGUGAUAGGCUCUACAUUCAAAUACAACGGGUGCAAAACAGUUGCACACGCAGAAUACUCAGGUUAAACUUGACGAGUCUAGCAUAUACAGAUAUGGCCUCGGAACACUGAGACCGAAAGGUCGAACGUGAAUCAUAUAGUAGAUAUGAUCAACAUAGUGAUGUUCACCAUUGAAACUACUCCAUCUCAUGUGAUGAUCGGACAUGGUUUAGUUGAUUUGGAUCACGUGAUCACUUAGAUGACUAGAGAGGUGUCUGUCUAAGUGGGAGUUCUUAAGUAAUAUGAUUGAUUGAACUUAAAUUUAUCAUGAACUUAGUCCUGGUAGUAUUUUGCAAAUUAUGUUGUAGAUCAAUAGCUUGCGUUGUUGCUUUCAUAUGUUUAUUUUGAUAUGUUCCUCGAGAAAAUUGUGUUGAAAGAUGUUAGUAGAAAUGAUGCGGAUUGGAUCCGUGAUCUGAGGUUUAUCCUCAUUGCUGCACAGAAGAAUUAUAUCCUUAAUGCACCGCUAGGUGACAAACCUAUUGCAGGAGCAGAUGCAGACGUUAUGAACGUUUGGCUAGCUCAAUAUGAUGACUACUUGAUAGUUUAGUGCACCAUGGUUAACUGCUUAGAAUCGGGACUUCAAAGACGUUUUGAACGUCAUGGACCAUAUGAGAUGUUUCAGGAGUUGAAGUCAAUAUUUCAAGCAAAUACCCGAGUUGAGAGAUAUGAAGUCUCCAACAAGUUCUAUAGCUAAAGGAUGGAGGAGAAUCGCUCAACUAGUGAGCAUGUGCUCAGAUUGUCUGGGCACUACAAUCGCUUGAAUCAAGUGGGAGUUAAUCUUCCAGAUAAGAUAGUGAUUGACAGAGUUCUCUAGUCACCAUCACCAAGUUAGUAGAACUUUGUGAUGAACUAUAGUAUGCAAGGGAUGACGAAAACGAUUCCUGAGCUCUUUGUGAUGUUGAAAUCAACAAAGAUAGAAAUCAAGAAAGAGCAUCAAGUGUUGAUGGUGGACAAGAUCAUUAGUUUCAAGAAAAGGGCAAAGGGAAAGAAAGGGGAACUUCAAGUAGAAUGACAAGCAAGUUGUCACUCCCACGAAGAAGCCCAAAGCUGAACCAAAGCCUGAAACUGAGUGCUUCAACUACAAANNNNNNNNNNNNNNNNNNNNNNNNNNNNNNNNNNNNNNNNNNNNNNNNNNNNNNNNNNNNNNNNNNNNNNNNNNNNNNNNNNNNNNNNNNNNNNNNNNNNGAUGUGGGCGCGGCCCACGUGGCGCGCGCGGACUGGACGGGUGGCGGCGGCGGAUGUUGUCCGGUCCGAUCCGGACACGUCCGUCGGUGGCGGGGGUUGAUCUGUUUUUUUUUCGGAGGAGGACGGGGAGGAAUCUGAGAUCCGAAAGGGGGGGUGUAUAUAUAGGCAUAAGUGGAGCUAGGAGAGUCCAAAUGAGGUGCGGUUUUCGCCCACGCGAUCGUGAUCGAACGAUCUAGGACAUGGAGCAGAGUUUGGUGGGUUUUGGAAGAAAUUUGGGGGUGUUGGGCUGCAACACACACGAGGCCUUUUCGGUCCCUCGGUUAACCGUUGGACUAUCAAACGAAGUCCAAAAGGUACGAAACUUGAUAGGUGGUCUACCGGUAGUAAACCAAGGCCGCUUGGCAAGUCUCGGUCCAAUCCGGAAAUGUUUAAUUCCCAGACACGAAACAAAGCUAGAAAUGACCACCGGAGGAGAACGAAGCGCCGGAAUGCAAAACGGACAACGGGGAAAAUGCUCGAAUGCAUGAGAUGAACACGUAUGCAAAUGCAAUGCACAUGAUGAAAUGGUAUGAGAUGCAUGAAAACGAAAACAACACACGGAGACAAAGACCCGAACCUGAGAAAUAAAUAUAACUUGACACCGGAAACGGCAAGAGUUGGAGUACAAAUAGGGAAAGUUACAUCUGGGGCGUUACAACACUCCACCACUACGAAAAGAUCUCGUCCCGAGAUCUAGGACUGAAAGAACUCCGGGUACUCAGAACGAAGGUGAUCCUCGCGUUCCCAGGUAGCUUCACGGUCGGAAUGGUGUGACCACUUAACUUUGAGAAAUUUGAUUGACUUGUUGCGAGUCUUGCGUUCAGUCUCUUCAAGAAUAGCAAAUGGGUGCUCACGAUAAGAGAGAUCUUCUUGGAGCUCAAUGUCCUCGAAGUUGACGGUGCGGUCAGGAGUCUUGAAGCACUUUCGAAGCUGAGAGACAUGGAACACAUCAUGAACAUUUGCAAAGUUUGAAGGAAGCUCGAGUUGAUAGGCGAGGUCGCCUCUCUUGCUGACAAUCUUGAAAGGUCCCACGUAUCUAGGGGCAAGCUUCCCUUUGAUACCGAAGCGACGAGUACCUUUCAUGGGAGAGACGCGGAGGUAAACAUGAUCUCCGAUCUCGAAAGCCAAUUCACGGUGCUUACUAUCAUAGUAGCACUUCUGGCGGGAUUGGGCUGCUUUGAGGUUAUCACGAAUGACUUUGCACAUUUCUUCUGCUUCUGUGAUUAAGUCAUUACCCAGCAGCUGACGUUCACUGGUUUCAGACCAGUUGAGAGGGGUACGGCACUUCCUGCCAUACAAAAUUUCAAAUGGGGCCUUGCCCGAACUUGCUUGAAAGCUGUUGUUGUAUGAGAAUUCAGCAUAAGGAAGACAGUCCUCCCACUUCAUGCCGAAGGAGAUCACACAAGCCCUGAGCAUAUCUUCAAGAAUUUGGUUGACACGCUCGACUUGACCGCUUGUUUGAGGAUGGAAGCUGUGCUGAAGCGGAUGUUGGUGCCCAUGGCCUUCUGAAAAGAAUCCCAAAACUUGGAGGUAAAGAUGCUGCCACGGUCUGAAGAUAUCACUUGAGGAAUACCGUGCAGAGAGACAAUGCGAGAGGUAUAGAGUUCCGCCAAUUGAGCUGCAGUGAUCGACUCUUUGAUAGGCAGAAAAUGAGCCACUUUGGUGAGCUUGUCGAUGACAACAAAUAUAGCAUCAUUGCCACGCUUGGACUUUGGAAACCCAGUCACGAAGUCCAUUUCAAUGUGGUCAAACUUCCAUUCUGGAAUGGCAAGAGGUUGGAGGAGACCAGCUGGCCUUUGGUGUUCUGCCUUCACUAUUCUGCAGACAUCACAUUCAUUCACGAAUUGAGCGAUCUCGCGCUUCAUUCGAGUCCACCAAUAAGCUUGCUUGAGGUCCUGAUACAUCUUCGUACUCCCAGGGUGGAUGGAGAGGAGAGAAUUGUGAGCCUCGUUCAUGAUCACCUUACGAAGUUCACGUUUGGGCACAACAAUUCGAUCCUCGAAGAAGAGAGUGUCCUUGUCAUCAAGUCGGUAGCACUUGUACUUGGACUGACUCUUUGCAAUACCAAUCUUCACCUUCUUCACCAUAUCAUCAAGAAGCUGGGCUUGGCGAAUCUGGUCUUCCAAGGUAGGAGAAACUUGAAGGUUGGCGAGGAAACCUUGAGGAACAACUUGCAGAUUCAGCUUGCGGAAAGCUUCACAAAGCUCGGGUUGAUAAGGCUUGAGAAUCAGACUGUUGCAAUAUGCUUUUCUGCUCAAAGCGUCAGCAAUCACAUUAGCCUUGCCUGGAGUAUACUCGAUACUCGGAUUGUACUCUUGAAUCAUUUCGACCCAUCGAGUCUGCCUGAGGUUGAGAUUAGGCUGAGUGAAGAUGUACUUGAGACUCUUGUGAUCAGUGAAAAUAUCCACUUUCCUUCCCAAUAGAAGAUGUCUCCAAGUCAAAAGAGCAUGCACCACUGCCGCCAACUCGAGAUCAUGAGUGGGGUAGUUCUUCUCAUUAGGCUUCAACUGGCGAGAGGUAUAAGCGACAACUUUCUUCUCUUGCAUCAGUACAGCACCGAGACCUUGGAGAGAGGCAUCACAAAAGACCUCGUACGGCUUGGUUUCAUCAGGCGGAGUCAGAACUGGAGCAGUGAUCAAUUUCUCUUUCAAAGUGUUGAAAGCAAUAUCACACUCCGGAGACCAAACGUACUUGAUGUGCUUCUGAAGAAGAUUUGAGAGAGGCUUGGCGAUCUUAGAAAAGUUUUCAACGAAUCUUCUGCAAUAGCUUGCGAGACCGAGGAAACUGCGGAGUUGCUUUACGUUCUGAGGAGGUUCCCAAUUCACAAUUGCAGACACCUUCUCAGGAUUCACGGAAAUGCCCUUGGCAGAGAUGAUAUGACCAAGAUAAAGAACCUCAUCGAGCCAAAAUUCACACUUGGAGAACUUGGCGUAGAACUGAUGUUCCCUGAGCUUGUCANNNNNNNNNNNNNNNNNNNNNNNNNNNNNNNNNNNNNNNNNNNNNNNNNNNNNNNNNNNNNNNNNNNNNNNNNNNNNNNNNNNNNNNNNNNNNNNNNNNNGUGUUCGAGCGCUAUGUCGAGCAGGAUCACGACAUCGGCAUCCUCCUCGACAUUCACCAGGGCGAGUGCGGGCACGACGCCGCAUCGCGAUCCCUGGUGGCCAAGGCGUUCCGCCACGGUUUCUACUGGCCCACGGCCCUCGAAGACGCCGAGUCACUCGUCCUCAAGUGCGAGGGGUGCCAACACUUCAGCAAACGCAGCCACCAGCCGGCGUCAGCACUCCGCACCAUACUGAUCGUCUGGCCUUUUGCGGUCUGGGGACUCGACAUGGUGGGACCCUUCAAAACCGCUCGAGGCGGCAUGACGCACUUGCUGGUGGCAGUGGACAAGUUCAAAUUGGAUCGAGGCAAGACCUAUCAAGAAACUGGACGGGCCAACAACCGUCCGGUUCAUCAACUACAUAGCAGUGUGCUACGGCAUGCCGAACAGCAUCAUCACCGACAACCGCACCAACUUCGCCAAGGGCGCGCUCGAGCAAUACUACUCUGUCUCUGGCAUCCGCCUCGACCUGGCCUCCGUGGCACAUCCGCAGUCCAACGGGCAGGUCGAGCGGGCCAACAGACUCAUCAUGUCCGGCAUCAAGCCGCGACUCGUCGAGCCACUCAUCCGCUCACCCGGAAGUUGGCUUGACAAGUUGCCUGCAGUUCUCUGGAGUUUACCCACCACGCCGAACCGGUCGACCGGGUUCACCCCGUUCUUCCUCGUUUAUCUAUGAAUAAUAUUGGAAUCUUCUCUGAAUUCUUUUACGGUGUGUUUGUCGAGAUCCGAUGAAUUUUGGGUUUAUGAUCAAGUUUAUCUAUGAAUAAUAUUGGAAUCUUCUCUGAAUUCUUUUAUGUAUGAUUGAGUUAUCUUUGCAAGUCUCUUCGAAUUAUCAGUUUGGUUUGGCCUCCUAGAUUGAUCUUUCUUGCCAUGGGAGAAGUGUUUAGCUUUGGGCUCAAUCUUGCGGUGAUCUUACCCAGCGACAGAAAGGGUUGCAAGACACGUAUUGUAUUGUUGCCAUCGAGGAUAACAAGAUGGGGUUUAUAUCAUAUUGCAUGUGUUUAUCCCUCUACAUCAUGUCAUCUUGCUUAAUGCGUUGCUCUGUUCUUAUGAACUUAAUACUCUAGAUGCAGGCAGGAGUCGGUCGAUGUGUGGAGUAAUAGUAGUAGAUGCAGGCAGGAGUCGGUCUACUUGUUAUGGACGUGAUGCCUAAAUACAUGAUCAUGCCUAGAUAAUGUCAUAAUUAUUAACUUUUCUAUCAAUUGCUCGACAGUAAUUUGUUAAGCCCACUGUAAUAUUUAUGCUCUCGAGAGAAGCCUCUAGUGAAACCUAUGGCCCCCGGGUCUAAUCAUUUUUGCUUUCAAUCUCACAAAAUACCAAAAAUAUUAUUAUCUCUCUAUCAGAUAUCACUUUCGUAAGUGACUGUGAAGGGAUUGACAACCCCUUUAUUGCGUUGGUUGCGAGUUCUCAGUUUGUUUGUGUAGGUGCGUGGGACUUUUGAGGAGCCUCCUACUGGAUUGAUACCUUGGUUCUCAAAACUGAGGGAAUUAUUACGCUACACUUCGCUGCAUCACCCUCUCCUCUUCGGGGAAAACCAACGCUAACUCAAGACGUAGCAAGAAGGAUUUCUGGCGCCGUUGCCAGGGAGGUCUUCGCUCAAGUCGAGACAUACCAAGUACCCAUCACAAACUCAUCUCCCACGCAUUUACAUUAUUUGCCAUUUGCCUCUCGUUUUCCUCUCCCCCACUUCACCCUUGCCGUUUUGCUCGCCCUCUCUUUCCCAAUCUCCUCCUCUCUUUUCCGCUUGCUUUUUCUGUUUGCUUUUGUGUUGGAUUACUUGUUGCCAUGGCGCAAGAUAAUACCAAAUUGUGUGAUUUCUCGAAUACCAAUAAUAAUGAUUUCCUUAGUACUCCGAUUGCUCCUCUUAAUGAUGUUGAGUCUUGUGAAAUCAAUGCUGCUUUGCUGAAUCUUGUUAUGAAAGAUCAAUUCGUCGGCCUUCCUAGUGAAGGUGCCGCUACCCAUCUAAACAAUUUUGUUGAUUUGUGUUAUAUGCAAAAUAAGAAAGAUACGGAUAACAAUAUUGUCAAAUUGAAGUUAUUUUCGUUUUCACUUAGAGAUCGUGCUAAAGUUUGGUUUUCAUCUCUGCCUAAAAAUAGUAUUGAUUCUUGGAACAAGUGCAAAGAGCUUUUAUCUCUAAGUAUUUUGCUCCCACUAAGAUCAUCACUCUUAGGAACGAUAUUAUGAAUUUUAAACAACUUGAUCAUGAGCAUGUUGCCCAAUCUUGGGAAAGAAUGAAAAUGAUGCUUCGCAAUUGCCCUACUCAUGGUUUGAAUUUAUGGAUGAUCAUACAAAAAUUUUAUGCCGGUUUGAAUUUUGCUUCUAGAAAUCUCUUAGAUUCGGCCGCGGGAGGCACCUUUAUGGAAAUCACAUUAGGAGAUGCUACAAAACUUCUUGACAAUAUUAUGUCUAAUUAUUCUCAAUGGCACGCCGGAAGAUCUUCUAGUAAAAAAGUGCAUGCUAUAGAAGAAAUCAAUGUUUUGAGUGGAAAGAUGGAUGAACUUAUGAAGAUGUUUGCUACUAAAAAUACUCCUCUUGAUCCUAAUGAUAUGCCUUUGUCUUCCUUGAUAAGAAUAAUAAUGAAUCUAUGGAUGUGAAUUUUCUUGCUAGGAAUAGUUUUGGAAACAAUGCUUAAAGAGGAAAUUUUAAUGCUAGACCGUUCCCUAGUAAUUCCUCUAAUAAUUAUGGAAAUUCCUACAAUAAUUAUUAUGGUAAUUUUAAUAAGAUGGCCUCUGAUUUUGUGAAUAUUGUGAAAGAAUUUAUGAUUUCUCAAAAGAAUUUUAAUGCUUUGCUUGAAGAAAAAUUGCUCAAAGUUGAUGAUUUGGCUAGGAACGUUGAUAGACUUUCGCUUGAUGUUGAUUCUCUUAAACUUAGACCUUCUCCUCCUAAGCAUGAUAUCAAUGAGUCUCUCAAAAUAAUGAGAAUUUCCAUUGAUGAGUGCAAGGAAAGAACCGCUAGAUUNNNNNNNNNNNNNNNNNNNNNNNNNNNNNNNNNNNNNNNNNNNNNNNNNNNNNNNNNNNNNNNNNNNNNNNNNNNNNNNNNNNNNNNNNNNNNNNNNNNNGUGUUCGAGCGCUAUGUCGAGCAGGAUCACGACAUCGGCAUCCUCCUCGACAUUCACCAGGGCGAGUGCGGGCACGACGCCGCAUCGCGAUCCCUGGUGGCCAAGGCGUUCCGCCACGGUUUCUACUGGCCCACGGCCCUCGAAGACGCCGAGUCACUCGUCCUCAAGUGCGAGGGGUGCCAACACUUCAGCAAACGCAGCCACCAGCCGGCGUCAGCACUCCGCACCAUACUGAUCGUCUGGCCUUUUGCGGUCUGGGGACUCGACAUGGUGGGACCCUUCAAAACCGCUCGAGGCGGCAUGACGCACUUGCUGGUGGCAGUGGACAAGUUCAAAUUGGAUCGAGGCAAGACCUAUCAAGAAACUGGACGGGCCAACAACCGUCCGGUUCAUCAACUACAUAGCAGUGUGCUACGGCAUGCCGAACAGCAUCAUCACCGACAACCGCACCAACUUCGCCAAGGGCGCGCUCGAGCAAUACUACUCUGUCUCUGGCAUCCGCCUCGACCUGGCCUCCGUGGCACAUCCGCAGUCCAACGGGCAGGUCGAGCGGGCCAACAGACUCAUCAUGUCCGGCAUCAAGCCGCGACUCGUCGAGCCACUCAUCCGCUCACCCGGAAGUUGGCUUGACAAGUUGCCUGCAGUUCUCUGGAGUUUACCCACCACGCCGAACCGGUCGACCGGGUUCACCCCGUUCUUCCUCGUUUAUCUAUGAAUAAUAUUGGAAUCUUCUCUGAAUUCUUUUACGGUGUGUUUGUCGAGAUCCGAUGAAUUUUGGGUUUAUGAUCAAGUUUAUCUAUGAAUAAUAUUGGAAUCUUCUCUGAAUUCUUUUAUGUAUGAUUGAGUUAUCUUUGCAAGUCUCUUCGAAUUAUCAGUUUGGUUUGGCCUCCUAGAUUGAUCUUUCUUGCCAUGGGAGAAGUGUUUAGCUUUGGGCUCAAUCUUGCGGUGAUCUUACCCAGCGACAGAAAGGGUUGCAAGACACGUAUUGUAUUGUUGCCAUCGAGGAUAACAAGAUGGGGUUUAUAUCAUAUUGCAUGUGUUUAUCCCUCUACAUCAUGUCAUCUUGCUUAAUGCGUUGCUCUGUUCUUAUGAACUUAAUACUCUAGAUGCAGGCAGGAGUCGGUCGAUGUGUGGAGUAAUAGUAGUAGAUGCAGGCAGGAGUCGGUCUACUUGUUAUGGACGUGAUGCCUAAAUACAUGAUCAUGCCUAGAUAACGUCAUAAUUAUUAACUUUUCUAUCAAUUGCUCGACAGUAAUUUGUUAAGCCCACUGUAAUAUUUAUGCUCUCGAGAGAAGCCUCUAGUGAAACCUAUGGCCCCCGGGUCUAAUCAUUUUUGCUUUCAAUCUCACAAAAUACCAAAAAUAUUAUUAUCUCUCUAUCAGAUAUCACUUUCGUAAGUGACUGUAAAGGGAUUGACAACCCCUUUAUUGCGUUGGUUGCGAGUUCUCAGUUUGUUUGUGUAGGUGCGUGGGACUUUUGAGGAGCCUCCUACUGGAUUGAUACCUUGGUUCUCAAAACUGAGGGAAUUAUUACGCUACACUUCGCUGCAUCACCCUCUCCUCUUCGGGGAAAACCAACGCUAACUCAAGACGUAGCAAGAAGGAUUUCUGGCGCCGUUGCCAGGGAGGUCUUCGCUCAAGUCGAGACAUACCAAGUACCCAUCACAAACUCAUCUCCCACGCAUUUACAUUAUUUGCCAUUUGCCUCUCGUUUUCCUCUCCCCCACUUCACCCUUGCCGUUUUGCUCGCCCUCUCUUUCCCAAUCUCCUCCUCUCUUUUCCGCUUGCUUUUUCUGUUUGCUUUUGUGUUGGAUUACUUGUUGCCAUGGCGCAAGAUAAUACCAAAUUGUGUGAUUUCUCGAAUACCAAUAAUAAUGAUUUCCUUAGUACUCCGAUUGCUCCUCUUAAUGAUGUUGAGUCUUGUGAAAUCAAUGCUGCUUUGCUGAAUCUUGUUAUGAAAGAUCAAUUCGUCGGCCUUCCUAGUGAAGGUGCCGCUACCCAUCUAAACAAUUUUGUUGAUUUGUGUUAUAUGCAAAAUAAGAAAGAUACGGAUAACAAUAUUGUCAAAUUGAAGUUAUUUUCGUUUUCACUUAGAGAUCGUGCUAAAGUUUGGUUUUCAUCUCUGCCUAAAAAUAGUAUUGAUUCUUGGAACAAGUGCAAAGAGCUUUUAUCUCUAAGUAUUUUGCUCCCACUAAGAUCAUCACUCUUAGGAACGAUAUUAUGAAUUUUAAACAACUUGAUCAUGAGCAUGUUGCCCAAUCUUGGGAAAGAAUGAAAAUGAUGCUUCGCAAUUGCCCUACUCAUGGUUUGAAUUUAUGGAUGAUCAUACAAAAAUUUUAUGCCGGUUUGAAUUUUGCUUCUAGAAAUCUCUUAGAUUCGGCCGCGGGAGGCACCUUUAUGGAAAUCACAUUAGGAGAUGCUACAAAACUUCUUGACAAUAUUAUGUCUAAUUAUUCUCAAUGGCACGCCGGAAGAUCUUCUAGUAAAAAAGUGCAUGCUAUAGAAGAAAUCAAUGUUUUGAGUGGAAAGAUGGAUGAACUUAUGAAGAUGUUUGCUACUAAAAAUACUCCUCUUGAUCCUAAUGAUAUGCCUUUGUCUUCCUUGAUAAGAAUAAUAAUGAAUCUAUGGAUGUGAAUUUUCUUGCUAGGAAUAGUUUUGGAAACAAUGCUUAAAGAGGAAAUUUUAAUGCUAGACCGUUCCCUAGUAAUUCCUCUAAUAAUUAUGGAAAUUCCUACAAUAAUUAUUAUGGUAAUUUUAAUAAGAUGGCCUCUGAUUUUGUGAAUAUUGUGAAAGAAUUUAUGAUUUCUCAAAAGAAUUUUAAUGCUUUGCUUGAAGAAAAAUUGCUCAAAGUUGAUGAUUUGGCUAGGAACGUUGAUAGACUUUCGCUUGAUGUUGAUUCUCUUAAACUUAGACCUUCUCCUCCUAAGCAUGAUAUCAAUGAGUCUCUCAAAAUAAUGAGAAUUUCCAUUGAUGAGUGCAAGGAAAGAACCGCUAGAUUNNNNNNNNNNNNNNNNNNNNNNNNNNNNNNNNNNNNNNNNNNNNNNNNNNNNNNNNNNNNNNNNNNNNNNNNNNNNNNNNNNNNNNNNNNNNNNNNNNNNAUUAUAGUAUUUGAAAUAUAACAGCGCCAUUUGUGUCUAGCAGGAAGAGGAGCAGCGGGACUAUAUCCGGGGAUCCCGCCAAUCACGCCUCCACCAGUCGGGUUCCAGAAUCGGCUUCGAGGGCGGAGGCGGACACGAGGCCAGUUCCGCAUAGUUCUCCGACAGAGGAUGCGGAUAUGUUGUCGGCUACGAACUCCGAAGUGGAGAGCGCCAUGAAUCACCGGCGUCGGAGGGCCGUGCUUCGAAACAACAUCUUUUUCGAAGAGGCAUUUAAUGCCUUCAAUUCGGGGGAUGCAUAUAUCCGAGUAGCUCAAGGCGGGCUUGCCCAAGCGACGGACCAGUAUACCAAAGAUAUACGGGUAAGAAAUUUUGAUAAGCAUGUAUAACAGUAGCCCCUGAGACUUGAAAUGGUUGGAACAACUGUUUGAAGGAUCAAUUUAUGCACAGGUCCUUGUAGAUAAGAAUGAACAAUUGGCUCAGGAGCUGGAGGAAUGCAAGGCCCAGUUGAGGGACACGGCUGCCAAGUUAGAGGAAUCCCAAAAGGCCUCAUCUGGUAACAUUUGUCUCAAUUGUACGAAGAUGCACCAGUUAGUAAAUGGUUGGUAUAACAAGUCUAACAGAGAAGUCUGCAGACAAUCCCGGGCUGAAUCUGGAGGGCGUAAGGGAUGACGACUCGCAUCUCAAAAGGCAGCUAAAGGCUGGCGAGUGCAUUCUUACGCAAGUUAGGUAGGAGAAGAACAAUCUUCAAGAUGCCAAAGUCCAGCUGGACGUGGAGUUAAAAGACGUCCGUGCUCAGCUGGCGGACUCCGUGAAGGAGAACAAAAGGCUUCGACGCGACAUUUAUGGUAAGGGCAUAGACGAACUGUAGUAUAGUUCGGCGAGGAAGUAUAUUGAAAGAAUUUUGCUCGCAGGAAUGUUAACGGGUCACCCUGAAAAGGAUAUGCCCUCAUCUGCAAGUGAUUUACUACAAGACCUCUCGCAAUUGCACGAGCGAGCUCGACAAGUGAUGCAGGGUGUUGCUCAGGCCUUGUGGCCACCAAGCUUACUGCCGAAUGGCAUGGGGGAGCUUGUGGACAUGCUUCAAGGAGCACGGCGGCGCUUCCGAUUGUGGAAGAUGUCAGCUUGCCGGCAAGGUGCGAGAGAAGCCUGGGCUAUGGUGAAGACGCGCUACACCAAGCUAGACCCGAACCAUAUGGCCGAAGUAGGACUGGCGGGGCCCGAUGGGCAAGAAAUUCCUGUGAGUCUAGUAUAUGACCAGGUAGUGUUAGCCGCCAAGUAUUCUCAACAGGAUUGUAAGCUAGAUAGCCUGUUGGAUGGUAUAGAGGAGGAAUAUAGUCAGUCCAAGUGACUGUGUAAUUCAAUGGACGUAAUUAGUCCCUAGCCGGAUUAAAAUCAUUUGUCAUGGCGGACCUUUUCGCUUCAGCUCCCGGAUCCUAUAGUCUGGGGUGUGUCCGAAUACCCGCUCAGUUAUACAAAACCGGGGUAUGCAUGGAAACCAGGCAUAGGGGUCAUAAGUGCUUGAACUGACAAGUACCCAACUAGUUAUGUUAUAUUACAUGGAUAGUAAGAAACAUCUUCCAGGGAGAAUAGUUCCGUUAGGGGUUCCUUUCCCAGGGUACGCAUGCAACAAUGUACAUGUCCGGACUGUGAACGAUGGCGCAGGAUACAAGACUUCUGGGGAUUUACGUUGUAACAAACGAAUACAUCCUUUGUUCACCGACCGAAUAUUCUCUUAUAGAAACUAGCUUUCGACUUCACCUAGUCUGAGGUACACAUCCGGCUGAACCGGCAGUAACAGUCGCAGAGGUGCUCCCCUUAUGCCCUAGCCGAAUUAACGGGAACGUAGGCAUAAACACAAGAGCCAGGCAACCCAGCUUGGCCACAUCUUAAGUCAUAUCGAUGCAUAUAAUGGUGAAUAAAAGGCACAUAUGGAAAAAGAAAUGCAUAUGUGAUAGGAGAAAAGCCAUUAGAGUAUUUAUUGUUAGCUUCCAUAUAGGAAGCCCCCAGGUAUUGCUUACACACAUAGUGCGUCCGGAGUGAUCCGGAAGUCCGUAUUGUAUUAAAUACUUUGUGUGGAGAGGAAGAAAAAGUCGAGAAAGGAGAAGGGAUGGAGCAUAAAUAAAAGGGAGGGAGUAAGGAGACGAACAUUGUGUUCAACGUUAGGCGUAGAAUCUCUGGAGUCUGGCCGAGUUCCAUGGGUUCGGCUCGAGCCUGUUAUCGGAUGCAUUACGUAAGCGGUACGCUCCUCCGGUGAGAACUUUGUCGAUGACAAAGGGACCUUCCCACUUGGGUUUGAGCUUGUCCUUCUUCUUCUCCGGUAGGCGUAGAAUGAGUUCGCCAAUAUUGUAAGUUUUGGCCCGUACUUCUCUGCUUUGGUAUCGUCGAGCCUGCUAUUGAUAGAAUGCGGAGCGGGUCUUUGCGACGUCGCGCUCCUCCUCCAGGGCAUCCAAGUUAUCUUGCUGAUCUAGCUCGGCUUCCUUCUCUUCGUACAUGUGUACGCGUGGAGAAUCAUGUAUUAUGUCGCAUGGUAGUACUGUUUCCGCGCCGUACACCAUAAAAAAUGGUGUGUAUCCGGUGGUGCAAUUCGGCGUGGUCCGUAGCCCCCAGAGUACGGAGUCGAGCUCUUCGACCCAGUGCGUGUCCGACUCUGUCAAGGAUCGCACUAGCCUGGGUUUGAUGCCACUCAUGAUGAGACCGUUUGCCCGUUCGACCUGGCCGUUUGUUUGGGGAUGGUAGACGGAAGCAUAGUCGAGCUUAAUGCCCAUUUUGCCGCACCAAGUUUUUACUUCAUCGGCUGUGAAAUUGGAGCCAUUAUCAGUGAUGAUGCUGUGGGGGACACCGUAUUGGUGUACGACCCCGGAUAUGAAGUCUAUUACUGGUCUGGAUUCGGCCGUUUUGACUGGUUUGGCUUCUAUCCAUUUGGUGAACUUGUCCACCAUGACCAAUAAGUAUUUUUUUUCUUAUGGCUUCCCCCUUUAAGAGGUCCGACCAUAUCCANNNNNNNNNNNNNNNNNNNNNNNNNNNNNNNNNNNNNNNNNNNNNNNNNNNNNNNNNNNNNNNNNNNNNNNNNNNNNNNNNNNNNNNNNNNNNNNNNNNNUCCUUGGCCGCCACCCCUUGCUCCUAUAUAAGUAGAUCCAUCUAGUAGCUUUUCCUUGGGAUUUGUUUAGUUAAAAGUUAGCCAUUGCAACUUCGUGUACUUCGUUUGUGUCCAACGACCAGACCAAGACCGCUUCCGGAUCCCCACCAUUAUCAAUACCUCAUAUAUAUUUGCAAUAUUCAGAUUGCUUUAUCAUAUUCUUGCUCGUUCUUCGAUUGCUUGCAGGAAUAGACCUUCGUGGUCAGGCUGACCGUGCUUCCGGCGUCGUCAGUAACCUCAGGAGAUUGGUUUAGCGAUUGCUAAGGCGCAACGUCGUGCACGUUUGUAGUCGGAUUGUCAAAGUCGUCUCCACCAAAUCGAUAGUUAUCAUCUCAUCGAAAGAUCGGGACCCUCGCCUCUAUCAAGUGGUAUCAGUUUUCAGGUUGCUCGGUGAGAAUUUCCAGUUUUCCUAGAUUAAAUUUAUUUUCUUACCUAUUGUCCAAGAAAAAGCCACACAAAAAAAAAAGUUAGAUCUGUUCAUCCUUUAUCCAAGCCAGUCUGAGCCUUUGCAAUUUUCUAUUCAUUGCUUGCAUAGUUGAAUUAUCGGUUGCAUCGUCGUGUCAGUUGCUGGUCUUAGCGUCUAGCUCCUUUAGAAUUUCGAGUUCUGUUCACAUUAGUCACGCCGCCGCUGCAUCAUUAUCCCUUCCGCUGUCCACCAUCCCAUCUAUUAAUUUCCAUCACGUGCUACGCACUGUUCAUUGUCAUAAUCAUAGUUGAGGUCAUUCACAUCUUGGCCUGAUCCAAUAUGCAUCUUAUCUAGUUUGUCUUGGAAAGAAAAAAAAGAUAGAGAAAAAAAAAGAGAAAAAAGGAAAGAAAAAAAAAGAAAAAGAGAGAGAAGAAAAAGAAAAAAAGGGUGAGAAAAAAAAGAGAGAAGAAAAAAAAUUGGAUCUAUCUAGAAUCAAUCUCGUACCUGAAUUCGGAUUGGAAUCUGUUUUGCGCACUGUUCAGUAAAACAGGUGUAUCUUCCUCAUACGAAGUCCGUUUUGGCUCCGUGAGUACUCAAAUUGAAGCUAGCAACAAGCCGCAUCUAAAUAGUUGCAGAAGCUAGUUCAAUAUUUGACACCACAAAAUCGGCUUCUAAAUAGGUCUUUUUGCCCUCCGAAGUUCGUGAACACAACUUGUUCCAAUUUUUCAGGCCAGUUUUAGAAUUCUUUGACUCCUCAUAUCAACUCGGAAUUGAGUGAUUCUUUUUGCAUUGGAAAGCUUGAGUUACUAGCAUUCUUUGAAAGAAUUUAUCAGAAAAUUGUCUCAAACUUUUCAAGAGGAAAGUUGGAGAGAGAGUUGUUGUAUAUCCUGCUUGGCAGUUGUUGGCGAGUUCACCUUAUCUUCAAUAGCCUUAGCUCGGGCUCGUGUCAUGGGUCCAAGAGGUGUUGAGGGAGAUGUAGGCACGUCCAUGGGGAUGAGUGAGGGAUGCUCCGCAUCACAUGGGCCCUUGGCCCGCUCCCUGCGCAUAGGCAGGUGCCGGAUGUCCGGGCUGGGGGCUGGACGUCCGGCGGCUCGGGAAGAGCCGGAUGUCCGGGCCUCUGGCCGGAUGUCCGGGCUGACGGGGUUCAGCUUCGGGUGCGUUCUGUGAUGGGCGCCGGAUUUCCGGGGUCGGGCCGGAUGUCCGGGCUGGUCCGGAUGUCCGGGCUGGGGCCGGAAGUCCGGGGCCUGUAGUAGCUGGCUCUUCUUCCUUCUCCUCUUCAAUGCUUGGCCUUGGUCCUUUGAUUCUCCAUGGUCAUCUCGGUUGUACCUGAGUAUAGGCAAGGUCCAUGCAUGAGGUAGUAGCCAUGUCUCACAUGUGGAAAGUGAUGGUUCGAAGAGGAGUGAAUUCACCUUGUGUCCAAUGGCAUAUGUUUGAGGUCUCGUCAUAUGUCCUCUUGGGGCUUGGAGAGUAGUCAGAGUGUACAUGGGGAUGAACGUGGGACGCUCCGCAUCUGGGAGUAUAUAUAGUCUAAGGGGCGAAGGGGUACAUGGGACUCGGCCCAGAUGUGCUGCACGCAGGCAGGGGGGACGAAUGUCCGGGCGUCAGGCCGGAUGUCCGGGCCUUCUCGAGAUGCCGGAUGUCCGAGCUGGCGGGCCGGAUGUCCGGGCUGGAAUGGCCGAUUCUUCUGCUCUCUGGAUAACUUGAUGAGGACAUGACUACCUUGGAUAUGACCAAAAAUAUUGCAUAUAUGCAUAUUUGUCAGGUGAUUUCUAGUGCAAACUAUUCAAUAAUCUAUUUAUGUUAUCCAGAACAAAAAUACUUCACACACUUUUGUGUUUUGUCUAAUUGCAGGUGUAUGGGACAUUUGUACAAUCCACAUAUGAAGAUAAGGAAGAAAGAGAUGUUUAUUUGCUGUCCAAAAAGUUCUCUCACGUCACUUUUGGCCCAAGAGAAGAUAGAGUCCAAGUCUCUCACGUUCUGGAUUCAGAUUCGGACUGCACAGACAUACCUGACUCAAAACGCACACAAAUUUUUCAUACGGACUCGAAUUGGGUGAUUCUUUUUUUGUUGGAAACUAGAUUUCGUGCACUUUCCAACCCAAUUGGAAUCACCUUCAAAUUCGUCAGGAGCGUUGAGUUGUGGACGAAACAAUCUGAUGCUGCAGCAGAAUCCGAGUCAAACUACAAGUCCAAAGGUGUUACAUCACCUCCACUUGGGCCCAUUGGCCUUGUACGACCUAGAUUUAGUUUUAGGCUGCCUUGGGACGUCCUCCCACCUCCUUGGCCGCCACCCCUUGCUCCUAUAUAAGUAGAUCCAUCUAGUAGCUUUUCCUUGGGAUUUGUUUAGUUAAAAGUUAGCCAUUGCAACUUCGUGUACUUCGUUUGUGUCCAACGACCAGACCAAGACCGCUUCCGGAUCCCCACCAUUAUCAAUACUUCAUAUUUAUUUGCAAUAUUCAGAUUGCUUUAUCAUAUUCUUGCUCGUUCUUCGAUUGCUUGCAGGAAUAGACCUUCGUGGUCAGGCUGACCGUGCUUCCAGCAUCGUCAGUAACNNNNNNNNNNNNNNNNNNNNNNNNNNNNNNNNNNNNNNNNNNNNNNNNNNNNNNNNNNNNNNNNNNNNNNNNNNNNNNNNNNNNNNNNNNNNNNNNNNNNGCAUUCAGUUUGGAUAAAGUUCAUUUGAACCAAGGGUUCAAAUGCAACUCUAUAUUAAACCCUUUAAAAUGACAUUUAUGUGUUUUCGUAUAUUUAGUAGGUAUAGUUUGGUUUAUCAUGCAUGAAAAUGGUGCAGAUGGAUAGAUUUAUUUUUUCUGAUAAUUUUUCAUAUUUAAAUUAUUUCCAACUAAGGCACUGAUGAAUUCCUAUGAAUUUUUGAAUUUUUUUUAAAAUUUCUAGGAUUUCCUGAAUUAAAUUAAACCCAGAAAAACAAUUACUGUGUCAUGCUUGCAUCAGCAAGUCAAUAACGCUGACCAGGUCAAACCUCACAUGUGGGGUCCACACGUCAGUGACACAAGGUUUAAACAAGGGUUAUUUAGUCUAAUUAAAUGGUUAGUGGGCAUUGGGGCCCGCCGUCAACAUCACAGGGGGUGGAUUAGCACUAAUUAGGUACCUAACUGGUGGGGGCCAUAUUGGUCAGUGGCUUAGGCCGGCAGAGUGCGCUUUUCCGGCGACGAGGGCGGCGGCUGAGGGCACCGGGAUGUAGCUCGUGCUCUCCCGCAUCCUGUGGGGUAUGUGGGAGGCUGCGGGGUGAUACGUCUCCAAUGUAUCUAUGAUUUAUGAAGUAUUCAUGCUAUUAUAUUAUCUGUUUUGGAUGUUUAUGGGCUUUACUAUACACUUUUAUGUUUUUUUUGGGACUAACCUAUUAACCGAAGGCCCAGCCCAUAUUGCUAUUUUUUUUUGCUUAUUUCAGUGUUUCGAAGAAAAGGAAUAUCAAACGGAGUCCAAACGGAAUGAAACAUUCGGGACAGUUAUUUUUGGAACGGAAGCAAUCCAGGAGACUUGGAGUAGAUGUCAGGGAAGCUUAGAGGUGGCCAUGAGGGUCAAGGGCGCGCCCUACCCCCUGGGCACGCCCCCCACCCUCGUGGGUCCUUCAUGGCUCCCCUGACCGACUUCUUUCGCCUAUAUAUAUCCAUAUACCCUAAAAACAUCGGAGAGCACAAUAGAUCAGGGGUUCCGUCGCGGCAAGCCUCUGUAGCCACCAAAAACCAAUCAGGACCCUGUUCCGGCACCCUACCGGAGGGGGGAUCCCUCACCGGUGGCCAUCUUCAUCAUCCUGACACUCUCCAUGAUGAGGAGGGAGUAGUUCACCCUCGUGGCUGAGGGUAUGUACCAGUUGCUAUGUGUUUGAUCUCUCUCUCUCUCUCUCUCUCUCUCUCUCUCUCUCGUAUUCUUGAGGUGAUACGAUCUUGAUGUAUCGCGAGCUUUGCUAUUAUAGUUGGAUCUUAUGAUGGUUCUCCCCCUCUACUCUCUUGUAAUGGAUUGAGUUUUCCCUUGAAGUUAUCUUAUCAGAUUGAGUCUUUAAGGAUUUGAGAACACUUGAUGUAUGUCUUGCUGUGCUGAUCUGUGGUGACAAUGGGAUAUUCACGUGAUCUACUUGAUGUAUGUUUUGGUGAUCAACUUGCGGGUUCAGUGACCUUGUGAAUUUAUGCAUAGGGGUUGGCACACGUUUUCAUCUUGACUCUCCGGUAGAAACUUUGGGGCACUCUUUGAAGUACUUUGUGUUGGUUGAAUAGAUGAAUCUGAGAUUGUGGGAUGCAUAUCGUAUAAUCGUGCCCAUGGAUACUUGAGGUGACAUUGGAGUAACUAGGUGACAUUAGGGUUUUGGUGGAUUUGUGUCUUAAGGUGUUAUUCUAGUACGAACUCUAUGAUAGAUCGAACGGAAAGAAUAGCUUCGUGUUAUUUUACUACGGACUCUUGAAUAGAUCGAUCAGAAAGGAUAACUUUGAGGUGGUUUCGUACCCUAUAAUAAUCUCUUCGUUUGUUCUCCGCUAUUAGUGACUUUGGAGUGACUCUUUGUUGCAUGUUGAGGGAUAGUUAUAUCAUCCAGUUAUGUUAUUAUUGUUGAGAGAACUUGUACUAGUGAAAGUAUGAACCUUAGGCCUUGAUUCCUAGCAUUGCAAUACCGUUUGUGCUCACUUUUAUAAUUAGUUACCUUGCUGUUUUUAUAAUUUCAGAUUACAAAUACUCAUAUCUACCACCCAUAUUGCACUUGUAUCACCAUCUCUUCGCUGAACUAGUGCACCUAUACAAUUUACCAUUGUAUUGGGUGUGUUGGGGACACAAGAGACUCUUUGUUAUUUGGUUGCAGGGUUGCUUGAGAGAGACCAUCUUCAUCCUAUGCCUCCCAAGGAUUGAUAAACGUUAGGUCAUCCACUUGAGGGAAAUUUGCUACUGUCCUACAAACCUCUGCACUUGGAGGCCCAACAACGUCUACAAGGAGAAGGUUGUGUAGUAGACAUCAAGCUCUUUUCUGGUGCCAUUGCCGGGGAGGUGAGUGCUUGAAGGUAUAUCUUUGGAUCUUGCAAUCGAAUCUUUUAGUUUCUUGUUUUAUCACUAGUUUAGUCUAUAAAAGAAAACUACAAAAAAUGGAAUAGAGGGUGCCUCAUAUGCUUCAUCUUUUUAAUGUCUUCUCUGAAAAUAAGGAUUCCGACAAUUGUGCUCAAGUACUAGAAGAAGAAUUACAUAGAAUGCUUGGCAUAAAAUAUGUGAAUGUUGAGCAUGAUUGAAAUGUUGUUAGUAUGAAUUCUUUGAAUACCCAUGAUGCUAAUGAUAUGCCAAGCCACAAGCUUGGGGAUGCUAUGUUUGAUGAAUAUGAUAUUUUUUGUCCCCCAAGUUUUGAUGAGAAAAUUUAUUAUGAUGAAAGCAUGCCUCCUAUUUAUGAUGAUUAUUGUGAUGAUACAUAUGCCAUAAAGAAUAAACAUAACCAUGAAACUUGUCAUCAUGAUUUUAAUUUUCAAUUGGAUUAUGCUUCAUAUGAUAGUUAUUUUGUUGAGUUUGCUCCCACUACUAUUCAUGAGAAGAAGUUUGCUUAUGUGGAGAGUAGUAAAAUUUAUAUGCUUCUGCAUCAUGAAAAUAAUGCUUUAUGUGAUGGAUAUAUUGUUGAAUUCAUUCAUGAUGCUACUGAAAAUUAUUAUGAGGAAGGAACAUAUGCUNNNNNNNNNNNNNNNNNNNNNNNNNNNNNNNNNNNNNNNNNNNNNNNNNNNNNNNNNNNNNNNNNNNNNNNNNNNNNNNNNNNNNNNNNNNNNNNNNNNNGGGAGCAGUUCUUGCGUUCCCUACUUGUACUCUUGUAACUCUGACCAUGCAAUACAAUUGACUGUGGCUUGACUCAUCUCUCAGCUCUCACUAGUCCCAUUAUAUGUCUUAAAACGUUAAUUUCUUUUAUUACAUAACAGUACAUAUUUUACCAUCUCACUAGUCCCACUAAUAAUACAAUUCAGUUUCUUCAGAUGGAUGAUCAAGGCAGGAUGAUAGACUUUGGUAUUCAAGGCCAUGAGUUCAGUCAAAGGACUACAAUACCUUGUCCAAAUAUUGGUCACCAUCAGGACAAUGGUACAAUUUCUCUUAUUCUUAUUCAAUUUAAUAUGGUAAAAUUUAAUCAUGGAAACAAAAUUGCAUAAUGUUCAAUAUAUUCAAGGACUUGAUGACCUGGAGUUUACUCAAGGAGCUACAGGACAUCAAACAAAUAUUGGUCAGGACAAUGGUAUUGAUUCUCUUAUUCUUGGUUAAGUUAAUUUGGUGAAAUUAAUACGGAAGCACAAUUGCAUAAUAUUUUGUGUAUUUCAGGACUUGCUGAUUUGGAGUUCAGUCAAAGGAUCAUAGGACGCCGUCCUAAUUUUGGUACGCUGCAACGUUGUGAUGACCUCGACUUUGACCAAAGGAGUGCAAGGCAGCAUGAGGAUAGUGGUACAAGAUCUCUUAAUCUCAGUCUUGUUAAUGUGGUAAAUUACUGAAAUUUAAUCAUGUAUGCUAGAUUCGCAUCAUUAGAUUCGUUUUGAAAUGUACUUUAUAGGAAAAACUAGUAGCAUUUAUGGCACUAGAUUCGCAUCACUAGAUUCGUUUUGAAAUGUACUUUCAUAAUAUACCAAUUUGAUGUCAUGUAUGCUACUACUUUUUUCUAUAAAGUUUGUCAAAAUUAUAAAACUUUGACUUUGUACAAAAGGUAGAUGUACACUUAUUCACAGGGAACGAGUAUCUUAAAGCCAACAUUUCAGCACUAAAAGCAUUUCUAGCUUUUCCAUAAACUUAACUCCUCAAAUCACCUUCUAUAAUUAAUAUUUUUGGGACCGUUUAUUUAAUCGGUGCCUAAAAAAUGUUUUCAAGAGUCACUUUCUUUCCCGACCAUCAGAUCAAUAUCCAACGGCUUCAAUCAUCCUACGGACUGUUCAACUUCUUCCUCCCGACGACAAUUUCUCCUCCCCCGACAGCCUAUCUCGCCAGAUCCGCCUGCCUCCAUCCCCCGUGGUCGGCGGGCGCUACCGUACACCGCCUCGCCGCCCCACUCCCCCCCAACUCCCAUCCACCAUCGUUGCUGCCCCACCGCAUCGGCCAUCCUUCUAAGCCCCACACCACUGGUGAAAACUCGGGCGACUCCCUUCACCCCAUCCCUAAGAUAGAUAAUGGGGUUGUGACUCCCCUUGAAAUAGAUAGUGGGGCUAUGGCUUUCUCCGGCGAGCUCAGAAUGAACUAGAGAAAGUGACAUACGUGAAGAAAAUUUUCGGGCACCUGAGAUAUAGCAAAAUCGAACCUUUUUAAAUUUUGUGAAGCUAAACAUUCUUGCACCUAGCCCUUCUCCUAAUCUUUAGUCACUAUAUGUUCUACCUAUCUCAUCCAUCUUUCUACAUAGGCAUUUCCACACCAUUUCAUGUUUUCAACAAUAUUCUCAUUAGCACCACUACCACUAGUGUAACCACCAAAGAACCUCGACCUUGCCAAGAUCUCUCCAGGAACAAUUUACCAAUCUUGUCUCAUCCUUUCAUUCAUACUCGGUUAUUGGCACUACACUGGUCGGUGAGUUGUUCACUUGCUCAACACAAUCGGACCAUCAAUGUCACUGAUCUUGGAUGCUACUUCAGCGAUGAGCAGAGAUACCCAUGCGUGUGAUUGGAUGGAAUCAAAACAUUGUGUGAAUAUUAUUGCUCAAUCCUCCUCUAAAUUAUUUCCUUGGUUUGAUCGACUCCUCCAGCCCUGGCGUCAAGAGAGACAUGUUCAUUCAAGCAUUGCACAAAGUUAUGUCCUCCUCAACCUUGUAGUUCACUGACCUUGUUAGCUCUCUCUUCAUGGUAUGUGUGUGUGGUUACCCUCUAUUUCGACACUAUGUCUCUCUCCUUGGCUUUCAUCUGCCACAGAAAUGACAACAUCAUUGAGGUCAAUGGCGUUCCUUUCAUCCAGCGCCAUGAAUUUUUCCAGGUCACCCAACUCGUUUUGCAUAGUACGAUGUCAAAAACCAUCACCAAAUUUCAAUGUCACAUGAUCCAAGAUUUUGAGAAAAAAUAAUAAUACAAAAACACUUACCUAUCUCGCAUUGUGUCCAACACCUCGCGAGCAUAGGAUCAUUCUCAUCACAUGAACUACCAUAGAUCGUUUUGCAAAAUUAAACAAUCCAACAUUCUCGAUCACAACACACGAUUUUUGCACCAAUAAACAACCAAACACUUCUAAUGGGAGGGAUGACUGCAAAAACCAGAAGUGCUACUCAAACUAUACACUAAACAAUAACAAGAAGCUCUUCUCAAACUACAUGACCAAAGUAAACUAGGGAUACAAAUGCACUAUGACAAGUAGUGCUGAUCGCACAACCAUGGAACUAAACCUGAUAUACAAUCCAUAAGACAUCUAGUACGACAUCAUCGUGGAUCCUAGGUUGUCGUGACCUCCGUUCCUCGCGCAGACGACUCCCCCAGGGAAGACAAUCCACCUAGUCUCAGUGUCCAUACCUACAAGAGCCCUGAUCACCUCAAAUUGCUUCAUAAUGACUUUUUAUGAUAUGCAAUAUAUACUUAUGAAAAAUACUUAUACUCUGAUAUUCAGUUGUUGGGGCCAAUGUAUCUGAGCUAAAACCACAACAUUGUCGAACAAUGAUGUUUUCACGAUGGUGUGGUUAUGUGACGUGAUUGCAGCUAGGACACACUCUGUGAUGAAUGUGAAUGAUAACACAAAGGAAAAAAUUCCUCCAUACCUGCGACAGCGAUGUAACACUGCAACAUGCACUGACGCAGGUCUAGAUGAAUUUUUUCUUGAUGGGUGAAGGGNNNNNNNNNNNNNNNNNNNNNNNNNNNNNNNNNNNNNNNNNNNNNNNNNNNNNNNNNNNNNNNNNNNNNNNNNNNNNNNNNNNNNNNNNNNNNNNNNNNNAAAAACAAAAGAAUAAAUAUAACAGAAAAGAAAAAAGAAACUAUAUAGAAAACUACUCAGAAAUGAAUAGAAGCAAAAAAUAGUUGUGGUUAACUGUACUAAAAAAGGAGCAUAUAUCCUUAUUUUUAAUGGCUUAUUACAACUCAGAAAUAAAAAGAAAAAAAUAAAUAUAGCAGAAAAGAAAAAAAAUAUGAAAAACUACUUAGAAAUGAGCAUAGAUGCGCUUAUAGAGGAAAAUUAACUUAAAUUCAUAAUGAAUUUCAAACGAAAUCCAUAUGAAUUUAGGCGAAUUUCCCUAUAUAAGGGCAUCUAUUUUCAUUUUCAGAGGAGCUCAAUAUGGCAGAGAGGGAGGGGCUUAUAAACCGGUCCGAUUCCCCUUCGGUUGGCGAGGUGGGACUAAACUCUGGCCGCAACAAGGACCAACCCUUCGGUCCCGGUUCGUACCACCAACCGGGACCAAUGGUGGUGGGCCAGGAGCGGGGCGCAUUGGUCCCGGUUCGUCCCACCAACCGGGACCAAUAGGUCCAGCCGAACCGAAACCAAUGGCCCACGUGGCCCUGCCGGCCCCCGGGGCUCAAGAACCGGGUCCAAUGCCCCCAUUGGUCCCGGUUCUGGAUUGAACCGAGACUAAUGGGCUGGACCGGCCUGGACCAUUGCCCCCUUUUCUACUAGUGAUUCUCCCACUCACCUUUUUGAAAGAACCAUUCUCUUUAAAAGCAUACCGUUUCGUGACAAAACUAUUUGCCUUGGUAUAGUGAGGAAGGAGUACCCAAUGACUUGGGAUAACCUACAAAGUAGCACUUGUCUGAUUUGGAAUAGGUUUGUAACCUUUUACACAAGCCCCAUAUUCCAAAUGUUUAAGAAAAGAUAUAACAUGGUUGGGCGUACCAUACCAUGGUGUCAUUUCAACAGACCCGAUGGAGCUCUUUUCAGCGUAAAAGCCGCAGUAUCUAAAGCAUCACUCUUUAAAAGGGAUAAUGGCAAAUUUAUUGAUGUCAUCUUUGAUCUUACCAUGUCAUAAAUGGUUUGAUUACAUCUUCACAGACUUUCCACUUGCAGUGGUAUUCUGGGAAGUGCAAGUUAUGAAUCCCCUUUCACAACUCAUCAGACAUUCGCUAAACUUGUAACUCAAAUAUUCCUUUCUGCAAUCAAAUUGUAGAAACAUAAUUUUCUUGUUACAAUAACUUCUACUUCAUUUCUGAAAACCUUUCGAAUGAUUUCAAAAGAUCCAGACUUACGUCUCAUCAAGUAAAUAUCCAUAUAUCUACUUGAGCCAUUUCUGAAGAUAGAUAAAUCCACUACUUGCAACAUUUAUCGGACUACAUACAUCAAAUGUAUGAUCACCAAUAAGUUUGCUGUUCAUUCUUUAUUGCCUGUGAAUGGUAUUUCAGUCACUUCACCUUUCGGAGGAAAGUUGCAAGUGUCAGAUGAUUCAAAAUCAAAUGACUUCAAAAUCCAUCAUAAUGGAAUUUUCCAUGCGGGUUUCCCCAAAUGUGACCAAAUGUAGUGCCACACUUGUGUGGUAUUCUUUUAGUCUUGCGACAUUUAGCGUCAGUGUUAUGGAUGUAUCAUAUUACCAUCAAUAUUCAUAACAUACAUCCCAUCUUGGAUGGAAGCAUGGCCCUUCAUGUUAUUCAUAAUACUGAACAACAAUUGUUGUUUUUAUGAAUAACCUCUCUUGCAAAAACAUUGUGCAAUGGGCUAGAGUGUAUGAAACUCUAAAAUGAAUUAUGAAAAUAAACCUAGAGGUAAUGUAUUAUUAUCAAUAUUCAUAACAUACAUCUCAUUCAUAAUGAAAGUAUGGCCCUUAUGUUAUUCAUAACAUCGAACAUAAAAAGUUCUCUUAUGAACAACCUUCUUGCAAGAUACCUUAUGCAAUGGGCUAGAGUGUGAAACUCUAAAUGAAUUAUGAAAAUAAAUACAGACGGUAAUACACCGACAAAAAGUAUAGUAACAUUUACCAUGUUCCCUGUGUAUACCUAAACCUCAUUCCUGGCUAGUCUUUCAGGCCAUAGCAGUUCUUACAUCGAGUUGCAACAGAAUGCAAUCGAGUGGGUAUCUUUGUGAUUAACUCACAAUACCCAAAACUCAAUGAUUAACAUUUUAAUCAUAAUUCCCAAGAACUAUAUCUUUGACCAGCCUUCUAUACAUAAAAAACUUGUAUGACAUUCAUACAUGAGCUGGAUAUUCCAGUCUUCAUUCUUUUUGCCUUUAUACUUCUAACAGUUUAACUUUUAGUAUUUCUCCUACUCUCAGAAGAAGCACCCAACUUAAGAGUGGCUUUAGCCCUGGACUUCCUAGGCGUGAAAGUCUCACUAACACCCUUCGGACACUUCCUUUCUCUUUAAGUUGUUGUUUUAUUCACCUUUCAUCAUAUGACAGGCGUUCUUCUGGAUCCCUCUCUUAUCAGUCUAAUGGAUAGUAAACUCCUUUACUAAUAGUUUGCAAACAAACAUUUCUUUGGAUAUCUCAUAUCUUUUAGCCUUUGUCUGUCUCUGAAAAUGAUUUUCAGAUUCCAUGAAUAUCACAUAACUAUCCAAACUUUCGAAGUUCGGAUCUCAUGGAAGCAAACAUAUUGCACUUGACUAAAAUGGAAUUCUAGCUUUUGGAUCGAAAGACGGGAGUCACAUGAUCCAUAGCAUAAGCGAGAGAAUACCAAAAGUAUGCGAUAGGACAAAGUCCUUCUUGGCACUUUUGAGGACAAUCCUCACAUUACGUUACCAAUCGUAAAGUUUUAACCAGAUAUUUAACAGCUAUUCAAUUUUAACAGGGAAGGUGGAAAUGCGAGCCAUUAUUCUACAACUAUUUUGCAAGAAACACUUAGACAGUGUUCAUAAUUAAUUGCACUGAGAAUUAAACAUGUUAAUUCAACAGUGCGCACCCACACAAAUCAAUAUCUCUCAUAAUUAAUUUUGAGUGAUACAAGAUCCAGACUUCAAUUCAUCGCCAUAGAAUCAUCAUCUCAUAACGGGAAUUUUAAUCGGUAGGCCAACUUGNNNNNNNNNNNNNNNNNNNNNNNNNNNNNNNNNNNNNNNNNNNNNNNNNNNNNNNNNNNNNNNNNNNNNNNNNNNNNNNNNNNNNNNNNNNNNNNNNNNNAUUCCCAUCUGCCACAUAACCACGGGCACGGCUCUCAAAAGUUUAUAACCUGCAGGGGUGUGCCAACUUAGCCCAUCACAAGCUCUCACGGUCAACGAAGGAUAUUCAUUCUCCCAGGAAGACCCGAUCAGUCUUGGAAUCCUGGUUUACAAGACAUUUCAACAAUGGUAAAACAAGACCAGCAAAGCCGCCCGAUGUGCCGACAAUCCCGAUAGGAGCUACACAUAUCUCAUUCUCAGGGCAACACCGGAUGAGACUAGCUACGAGUAAAACCAGCCCUCAAGUUUCCCCGAGGUGGCCCCGCAGGAAGCUCGGUUUGGACCAGCACUUAGAGAAGCACUGUCCCGGAGGGGCUAAAAUAAAGAUGACCCUCGGGUUGGCCGACCCAAGGGAAAGGUAAUAGGUUGUUAGGCAAAUGUAAAACCAAGGUUGGGCCUUGUUGGAGGAGUUCUAUUCAAAGCAAACUGCCAAUGGGGACCCAUAAAUCACCCAACCGCGUAAGGAACGGAAGUCAAGGAACGUAACACCGGUAUGACGGAAACUAGGGCGGCAAGAGUGGAACAAAACACCUGGCAUAAGGCUGAGUCUUCCACCCUUUACCAAGUAUAUAGAUGCAUUAAUUAAAUAAGAGAUAUUGUGACAUCCCAACCAUAAUCCUGUCCACCAUGAAGCAAUCUUCAACUUCACCUGCAACUAACAACGCUAUAAGAGGGGCUGAGAAAAAUGCUAACAUAGCCAAACAACGGUUUGCUAGGAAGGUUGAAAAAGGUUAGAGGCUGACAUGGCAAAUUGGGAGGCUUGAAGAACAAGUGAUAGGUAGCACAGCAUAGCGAUAGAACAAAGGAACUAGCAUAGCAAUGAUAGUAAUGAGAUCCAAGGUGAUGGUCAUCUUGCCUAAAAUCCCGCUAGGAAGAAGAACGAGUCCAUGAAGAAGAUGAAGCCACGAAGACGAAUCAAGCGUAGAUGAACAAAUCCUCACGAUCGCAACGAAACGGGAACUAUCGAGAAGAAGCACACAACAUGGUAAACACACCACACAUAAACAUGACAAGAUGCUCAACCAAGCAUGAUGCAUGACAAAGGCUACAUGAAGCUACUCAUGGCAAGAAAUGAUGCAUACAAGAGCAACCCAUCAAGGCAAGUUUAAAUGAGGCCGGAAACAACAUAUAACAAUUCCGGUAAGUCCUCAUAUGCAAAUUUCGAAAUUGGUCCAGAUCUGAUUAGAACACAAUGUUGAAGUUUUUAGACAGCAAGUUAAGAUGCACCAAGAUGAUCUACACAAAAUUCUAAUCAAGUUACAUAUAAAAUUCAUUUAGUUCGGAGCUACGGCCUAGAAGAUAUGAGCAAAACAAGUGGAACAUUGCUUUGAUGCAAAAUACAUUCAAACAUCAAGAAAACACUAUCAAACCAUGGAUUCAACAUGGCAUGAUGAAACUACAUGCAAUUCUAAGCAAGUUUCAUAUAGAGCAUGCUCAAAACGGAGAAACGGUUAAACACAUACACUCCAAACAUAAUAUAACAACAAGCUGUCCAAAAACAGCAACUAGGCAUCUAGCAAGCAUCAAAACAAGAUGCUAAAGCACCUCAACAUGAAAUCAAAAGGCGUGGACAUGAUGUACAGGUAAAGCAUGACAAAACAUGAACAAUGAGUUAUCUCCAGAAAUCACUAGAACAUGCUAAAAAGGGCAUGGCAAGAUUGCAAAUAAUAACAGUUCACAGACUUAGCAGAAAUCACUGGACAUGGCAGAAAUAACACCAGGUUGCAAUGUUUAGAGCUAUCAAACAACAUGUUAACAGGAACUUAUCAUGGCAACCAAAGGCAUGGCAUGCUAAUACUAAAGACAAAGAACAAAACACCGUUAGUGAACUUAUUCCAAAGAUCAACAGAAAAGAUGGUAGCAUCCAUGCAAACAUGGCAAACGAUAUGAUAGAUUCAGACAUGGAAGGAACAACAAUAAGUAGGCAUGUUAGUGAGCUUGUAUAAAUCACCAUAGGCAAUACAUGGCAUGGCAUGGUGACCAACAGUAAGCAGACAUGCUUUUGAAGCUAGGAAUGGCAAGAGAAAGUUCAUAGGGUGCACAGAUCACUAGCAAAGCUCAUGGAAAAACGGAACUUAAUGUUAACAGGCUGACGGCAACAUUAUUUAGCAAUUUGAGAGUAAGAUUACGACAAGCUAUAGCAGGCUAUAAAUGCAACCAGGGGCAUGGAUGGAUAUAGCAUAACAAAACACCCUUAGUGAACAUCUCCAGAUUAUUCAUAGAAUGACUUGUAGCAGCAGGUUUACAUAGCAUCGUGAUAUAGCAGAAUCAGCCCAGCAAAACAGAAACAGCAAGUAUCCUACUUCACAAGCUUGAUGCACUCACCAAAAGGCACAAAAAAAUACAUGGAUUGCACCAUUGCAGAAAUAACAUGAUGUAGCUCAAAACUCAUUUAGACAUCAAGCUCAUAGGAUGCGCACACAAAAUGCAAUGAAAAAGACAAAUCACCAAGUUCUGUUAACAGACAACAGUUAACAUCAUAUAGCACUCUUGCAACGAUUAUUAGGGCAUAAAGAUCAACUCAAACAAGCAUGGCACAAUGGAACAAAAUUAGGAGCACCUCACAAUGAACAAUUUGACAUUUCAUUCAACUCAAACGGACAAGCAUGCAUAGAGUUAUAACCAUUCAAACAUGCAUACAUAAAGUUGAAAAUUCGGGACUUGGACAUAUUUCACCUCGCGAGAGACGGGAUCGGGCGGUCCAGCGGGAUGGAGGGAUCCGGGCGCGGGGCGCGGUUGGAUGGCCGGCCUGGUGGAUCUCGUCCACUCGUCCGGAUCCGGGGCCGGCGCGGGUCAGGGAGGCCUCCGGGGACGAGGAAGACGACGGGGCCUCCGAGCGGCGGCACAGAGGGCGGCGACCGACGGCGGGGUCGCGAGGCGGCGGCGGAGCUCCGGCGGGGAGCUCGCCGGACGGUGCGGUGGAACGGCGCGGAGGCCCGCGGGCGACGGGGUCGGAGCNNNNNNNNNNNNNNNNNNNNNNNNNNNNNNNNNNNNNNNNNNNNNNNNNNNNNNNNNNNNNNNNNNNNNNNNNNNNNNNNNNNNNNNNNNNNNNNNNNNNCCCCCCCCUUGGGCCCAUGCGCCUAGGGUUGGGGGGGGGGGAACCCUAGAGGGCGCGCCCCCUUGCUUGGGGGGCAAGUUCCCCCUCCCUGGCCGCCGCCCCCCCUCUAGAUCCCAUCUAGAGGGGCCGGCCCCCCUUGCCCCUUCCCCUAUAAAUAAAGGGGUGAGGGGAGGGCUGCAUACACAAGCCAAGGCGCAGCCCCUCCCCUCCCCAACACCUCUCCUCCUCCGUCACGAGCUUGGCGAAGCCCUGCCGGAGUACUGCUUCUCCACCAACACCACGCCAUCGUGCUGCCGUGGGAGCUGUCUUCCUCAACCUCUCCUUCCUCCUUGCUGGAUCAAGACGGAGGAGACGUCGUCCGUUCCGUAUGUGUGUUGAACGCGGAGGUGCUGUUCGUUCGGCACUUGGUCAUCGGUGAUCUGAAUCACGUCGAGUACGACUCCAUCAUCAUCGUUCCCUCGAACGCUUCCGCAUGCGAUCUACAAGUGGUAUGUAGAUGCAAACUCACUCCCUUGACUCGUUGCUUAGAUGAACUCAUAGAUGGAUCUUGGUGAAACCGUAGGAAAAAUUUUAAUUUUCUGCAACGUUCCCCAACAAUAUAUACCCUGUACAAGGGUGGUUUACAAAAAGAGGCAGUUGUCAAAGAGACAACCGACAUAGCAGGGAUUAACAUAUUAAUUAACUUAAUUAAUUAAUUCCUAACACUCCCCCUAAUCAAUGCUUGUCCUUGUGAGUAUGCAUCAUCUUGAUAAAUAAUACUCCUUGUAUGUCUUUGCCUUUGAGAAUGCUCAUCAUCUUCAUCUUGAGAAAUCCAUGUAUAAUCUUUAAAGUCUCCUCCAAAAACCCUAUGGGAAAAAUAUGAGGAGACUAGUGUAGAUAUGUUGCUAAAACUCCUUUAAACCCAGUGGGAAAAAUAAUAAGGAGAGAUGCAACAUAUAAUGAUUAUUGUCUCUUCAUAACUCAUAUGAGGAAAACCUUUGAAGAAGGAGAAAACUCAUUGGUGAGUUUAGAGAACAAUAAAUAUGCUUUCUAUACUUUCCUUUAAAAAUCCGAUGGGAAAAAAACUUGAAAGUAUAGCAUAUAACCUUAAAAAGAUAUUACCUCAUUAAAUUCCAUUAUGAGAAACUUUGAGAGAAAACUCAUAGAGGAAAAGAGUGCGAUCUGAUAUGUCAUUGAAAACUCCUUUAAAACCCAACGGGGAAAUAUAAGGAGAAAAUGAUGUGACAUAUGUAAACACUUGUAUCAAUAUUGUCUCAUUAAAAACCUUUUAUGAGAAACCAUGAGGGAAAACUCAUGAAGGGAAAAAGAGUACAAUAUAUGCAAUCUGAUGAUUGUUAACAGGUUAUAGUUUGGGAGAUUACUCCCCCUGAACUUUGCAAAUCUCGAGGAUGUCUCAUACCAAUUGCAUUGACAUGAUAAUGCCAUUGUGAAUAAUCUGUUGGAUUUUCACAGUAUUUUCUUUGAAAAUUGUUUCCUCACUUUUCUAUAAUUCAUGAGGAUAAGUGAUCUUCGAGCAAUGUGAUUUAUGAUAUUGCUCUUCAUAUAACCUGUAGGUAUUGAGUAACACAAGUGGUAGCAUCUUGAUAAAAUCAAGUUAUGUGAUUGUUAUGAAUCUCAACCACAUGAUUUUGAGUGUGGUUAAUCAUUCUACCGAGACAUGCAUAUUAUGCGAUUCUUUUAGAUAAAGCAAUUAUGUCAGAAUGAUAAGUGGAAAUAGUCAUCAAAGUUUAUUUGGAUGACUUUCAUGAAAAGACUAUUUAUAGUGAAUCCAGUCAUUGAGAUGGCAUUAUUGGGAUCAAAUAAAGAGCCAAUAUCAUUACAUCAUAUCAUGGUCAUAUCUUGAUUUCGUGAUGGAAAUGCCCAAGAUGUAUUGUGAGCAUGAGAUAUAAGUUCUUAUUUCUUAUAUCUACCAUAUACCUUUUGUUGGGGGGUUGCACUCUGGACAAAGAUAGCAAAUAUAGUGUCAGGCUUGACGUAAUAUGCAAUUAUAUGAGUACGUUGGUGUUAGUGAGACGUAGAACUUUAGGUUCUGAUAUCACUACAUUAUCACCCCUAGGUAUGAAUGGAUUUGUAGCCUAUUAGGGGUAGUAUGACCAUAUUGCAUGUCUUUUAUUGGUAUGAUAUAUCCACAUUAAACUUCUCGUAUAUGUAUUGGAUAUAUGGAGACUGAUAUGUAUUCUUGAGAGAAUGCUCAAGUUGUAAACUUAAGUUAAAUUUGGUUGAAUCAAAAUUUUCCUUCUUGAGAUGAUUUUGUGUAUGUUUAGGUCUUGUAUAGACAUUGAUGAUGAGGUCAUCAAUAUACACUGAGGUGAUGAAAGGAAAUCAAAUUUGAGAUUCCUUUAUUAAACAUGUAACUAAUCAUCAUUAUCGAGUAAUCCUUUUGAAGAAGGAACUCAUCUCGUCCGUAGUACCAUAUGAUUUCUGACUAUUUCAAGUCAUAGAGUGACUUAUGAAGUUUUACACAAAACUUGUUGCGAUUUGCUUUUGGAUUCGGAAGUAUAAACCCUUGAGGGACUUCAAUAGAGAUUUCUUAAAUGAGUGACUCAUAUGAGUAUGUAGCCACUUCAUCCAUCAACUGCAUGGAUAAUAUUAUCAUUUUUAUUGCCAAUGAUAUUUAGUAUUGAAACAUAAUUCCACUCAUACCAAGAGGUUAUGUUACAUCAUAAUCGAUGUCGGGUCUCUGCGUGAACCCUUUUUGCUACAAGCCUCGCUUUCGCACCACCUCAUUGACUUUGUCUAUGAAUGAGAAGUUUUUAGUAUUCCAUAUGGAAGAUCCUUAGAGGGUAUCUUUGGUGAACCUAGGUGUAUCCUUCAAUACAAACGGUACAACACUUUCUCAACAAAUUCGCCCUCCGACCUAUUUGGUUCGACUAUCAAAUCUGUCACCGGUGUGAGUCGCCGCCCCGCGCUCACCAUUCCACACCAAAAUUGAUCACUGAGACGGACUUGAUAUUGUUGCUGAUGUGAUCCUCCUGCCGAUCAACAUGGCGUGCCUCNNNNNNNNNNNNNNNNNNNNNNNNNNNNNNNNNNNNNNNNNNNNNNNNNNNNNNNNNNNNNNNNNNNNNNNNNNNNNNNNNNNNNNNNNNNNNNNNNNNNUGCGCUUGAAUGUCUUAUAAAUUUUAGGCAGAGUCAUACAUACUUGCAAAUAAUUUUGUUUUUACACUCUUUGUGCAGACAAGCAUUUUGGUGAAACAUCCACCAACCCACUCGAGGAGCGUGAUCUAGAAGGGAGUCACCACGAGCGCUAUAUGCUGGCGCAUCAUAACCUCAUCCUCAGCUUGUUGAAUGGUCUCGCUGACACUCGGCGUGAGCUUGCUCUUGCACGUGGGAUCCCAUCCCCGGUAACAAGCACGGACACACCGGCACUGGCAGAGGCUGUGCUGUCGCUACGACUUCCUGAACCACUGUUUAGACAUGGGUGCAUUCUCCCAGCACCACGUACCAAGAGGGAAAUCGCUGCAAGGAUGGCUGCUCUCCGGUUUUACUGCUCCAUUGCUAGGCCUGAGCAUCCAUUGGACUCCGAGGUGAGGGAUCUCGAGGAGGCUUCCUAAUCUAAGGAGGAGGACCUCGAGGAGUCUUCUGUCGUGCCUUCCACCCCUACAUCCUGCAGCGACUCAGGAGAGGCAUCGGAACCAGGCCAGAAGCGACCAGAGCGCAAGAGGAAACCGAGCAAGUGGUUGGACUGAAAAACAUGGGCCAAAUAGCGCUCUUUCCCUUUAUCUCUCCCGGCUGGCGCUUGUGUAUGGGUGUGUUGCUACUCCAAUCUUUCUUCCUUCCCCUUCGUCCUGCUACUCCAAUCCCAAAUUCUACCGAUCUACUCAUAGUCAUAUGGACUCCAAAUUCGAGUGAGAUAUCUGAGGAUUGGCUUAUGUGAUGAAAUUUGAGCACAACAUAUUUGUUGAUGGCUUGCGUGAUGGCGUAACAUAUAUGUACUUAUAGUCAUAUGUUCGUGCGUUUGUGCACAACAUAAUUUGAGCACCUCUAUGUACUCAUACUCAUAUGUUCGUGCACAACAUAAUUUGAGCACCUAUAUGUACUCAUACUCAUAUGUUCGAGCACAACAUAUUUUUAGAUGGCUUAAGUGCUGAAAUAUAAGCUGGAUUGCUAGUUCACAACCCAAAAGAUUUGGAUACUGCCGUUUCUCUGACGUAUUUGCAGGAAGAAGCUCUCAAAAUAACCAAACGGCAUGAGCCCAUGCGGUGUGGACACCAAUUAAGGCUCCCGGAAUCAUCUAAGGAGGGCCAUGCAUCUUCCUCCUCCUGGGCGCCCUCAAACACCAAUAGUGCUUGGCCUCGAGAAGCUUGGCGGACAUAUCACCCGUGACGCACCCUCAACUGAAGACCGCCAGGGGGUUAUCCUAUGUCUGCAGCGAGAAGUGGACGCGGGAUCACAAGUGCGCUACUUCUGUUCAACUUCAUGUGGUGAACUACACAACAUAAAAAUCAUUUUUUCCUUUUCUGCAAGACGUGGUAUAUUUGUUUUUUACAUGACAUAAUGUUUCUUUUGAUUAAAUCUUCUGAUCAUUUUUCUCAUUUCCUUUCGGGAACAACUUAUGUAUUCCCAGGUCUUGACUCCUUGUUACAAGAAAUGUGUUAUGUUUUCUUCACAUAAUCCAGAAGAGCCAAAUUAACAUGGUAUUAGCAUGCUUUUCUAUUUGCAAAACAAUUACCCAGGUUCUUUCUCCCUUGUGUAACAUUUUGCUUGAAUUGACAUAUGCGGAUUUCUUUUUGUGUCUUCACAUAAUCAAGAAACUGACUAUGUUUCACAAAAAAUGUUCAAACCCUGAAGAUGAGUGGAAAAAAUUCCUUGAAAGUUUGGGCAGAAGAACUGAGGAGAAGGUGCGUGAGGAUGAUACAUUAGAAAAUGAGCUUGUCUUCAUGCGAUAGCUGACAUGAAGUUUACAUAUGUUGUCUCAUGCCAGCAGUAUGGAAUCCAGAAACGUUCUGGUGAUCCUUGUGCACAUGAUAUUUUGGGACUAUGACAACGUAAGUUUCGUGUUUACACUCGGAAGUCCUGGAUAUAUGUUGCUUUCAGUGGAAUAUAAGUCUUACUUUAAUUUGGUCCAUUUGUCUUUGUCAUCUAUACGCUAAAACAAACAUGCAUGCAUUCCAUGUAGCAGUGCCUUUGCAUGUCUGUGUGUGAGAAGUGUUAGUUGGGCUAGAAGAAUGGCAGUUUGUUGAUAUUCUUAAUAAUUAUUUACCAGUAUUAAAAACUGUAAGUUUUAUUUAUUUACUGAACUGGUAUCUAUCCUAGUCAGUAAUUAGUGCAUCGUGAUGUUCCAUAUCUUUCUGUCUAUCAAACUACAUUAUAAUUCAAAACCAAUGCUUUGAAUGCUAGAUACAUACAUUUAUGAGGACACAUUAUUCAUAAUAGUUUCAUUAUUUUUAUUUUAGAUGUCACAUACUUGUACACAAAUAUAUGCCAUAUAUGUGUAUAUGUAUAUACAUAUAUGAUGGCACUGAAAUAAUAGAAAUAUGUUUGCUGGGCAGAUAUCCAUCUUUUCGUGUUGCCUAUAUUGAUAAAGCUGAAGCACCUAGACAAGAUAGAAAUAAGUAGAUUGACAAAGUUUACAACUCAGUUUUGGUGAAGGCCGCUGUUACAAAAUCAGAUGAUCCUGGACAGAGUCUUUACCAGGUACUGCAAAAUGCUCUGUUAAUUCAGUACCUUGGUUAAAUUUUCUGUAAGUUAUGUUUACUGCGUUUCUCUUUGUUUAAGAGUUCUUUUACAGUACAUCAAAUUACUGUGGGCCCUUUAUUUUCAUCAGUACAAUGGAUAAGAUCCAUCCAUACUACCACAUAAACUUUGUAGUAUUUUUUGACCGGGAGGAACACAUAAGGGCAAUAUGGACAUAUCUCCCUGCACACCUCCCCCGUACUCACGCAACUCCGAUGGCACAACACUCCGCCAUGGCGACAGAGAUAAAGCGUGCACACGGCCGGGCUCAAAAGAUCGCCGCGCCAAUAGAGACUAUUGAUGCCGGCAUGAAUGCCUGUAGCACCUAUGACAAAAACAAAUCACGAGCACCAAUAGCCGUGUCUUGCAAGAGCGGCCAUAAUGCGGCUCCAUUCCUUGAUAACACAUCAGUGACUGCUNNNNNNNNNNNNNNNNNNNNNNNNNNNNNNNNNNNNNNNNNNNNNNNNNNNNNNNNNNNNNNNNNNNNNNNNNNNNNNNNNNNNNNNNNNNNNNNNNNNNAACAAUGACGAAGCCAUAGAGACAUGCAGUUGUUGUGAGGGUGGAGUAGUGAGUAGGUCCAAAUAAGUCCAUGUGUAACAGCUCGAAGGGUUGAGAUGUUGUCAUGAUUGUCUUCGAGGGGUGCUUUGCCCUUGUCAUCUUUCCAGCUUCACAGGCACCACACAGAUGAUUCUUCUUGAACUUGACAUCCUCGAUGCCAAUGACAUGCUUCUUAUUGACGAGUGAGUGUAAGUUCCUCAUGCCAGCAUGUCCUAGCCUUCGAUGCCAGAGCCAGCAUUCUGAAGCUUUUGUGAGAAGACAUACGGCAAGCUGUGGACCUGCUGAGAAAUCUACCAUGUAUAGAUCAUCUUUUCGAUACCCUUCAAAGACUAGAGAUUUGUCAGAUUCCAUUAGUACAAGGCAACGUUAUUUUCCAAAUAUCACAAUCAUGUUCAAGUCACAAAGCAUUGAGACAGACAUUAAGUUGAAACCAAGGGAUUCAACAAGCAUCACUUUAUCCAUGUGUUGAUCCUUUGAGAUUGCAACUCUACCUAGACCCAAUACCUUGCUUUUACCAGUGUCAGGAAAUGUAAUGUGACUCUUGUCGGAUGGACAUAAGGUUGAGUCCAUGAGAAGACUUCGAUCACCAGUCAUAUGAUUGGUGCAUCCACUGUCCAUAAUCCAUUCUGAAGCUUUUGGUGAUGUACCCUAUAGUGCAGUUAGGAGGAUAGGCUUCACAAGAGUGUUGUGAAGCAUAAGCAUUUGACACGUACAGGGACAGUCACAGCUUAUAUCAAAGUUAGGACAUAGUAUGACUGAUAAGAGAUUCAGAUGUGAAGUAUACAGAAUGACAUUUUGUCGUGCGUCCUAAAUGGGUUUUAGGUCCCCAGCAAUAGUAUCGGACGCCAUUGAUUGCUGGGCUGGAGACCGUUUUCUGCAAAAGAGAGUUAGUUCUUCUUUGCCACCCACAUCUUCAGUGGUGGCUUAGAAGCAAUGAGUCUAAGUGCAGCAUCUGAGAAUUUUGGCUUUGAAGCCCUAGCAAAUAACCUUGCAGGAGAUGAAUGAUACUCAUAUGAAUAAGCAGAAAAGUUCUUAGUCCUAUGAACAUAGCGGUUUGAAGAUACACGCUCAUAUUCAUAAGUCUGAGCAUGAUUUCCCUGCAAAACAUUGGCGUUAGGGUGACUCAUGUGAGUCCUGUGUCUGUAUGAAGCCUUUGGGCCACAUGAAGCUAUAGGUCUGGGGUUUGUCUUCUUCCUUGGUGGUGUCAUGACGACAUUCACAAGAAGAUUCUCAAUGUACUGCUUAGGUACCCAGAUCUUCUUCAUAGGUGGUCCAUUCCUGCAGUUAGUACCAAUGUACCUGGCAAACACUCCACCAUUCUGAUUUUUGAACAUCUUAUAGUUUGCAUCAAAGGAUUCAUCAAUGAUAAUAGGAUUAGCACAGGUAAAGCCAGAUAAAGUGGAUGGAUCUACUGAAGGUUCCUUUGCAGCAACCCAUGUGGUUUUGGGGUACUGCUCAGGCUUCCAGUACGAGCCAUCAACAUUCAUUUUCCUUUCGAACCCAACACCCUCCUUCCUAGGGUUUCGGUUCAGAAUCUGCUUUUUGAGGACAUUGCAGAGAGUCUGAUGUCCCUUCAAACUUUUGUACAUCCCUGUUUCAAGCAAUGACUUUAACAUAGCAUUUUCAUCAGCAACAGCGGUGGUAUCCUCCGCAGAGGGGUUAGUAACCACAUUAGUAGGUGAAGACAAUGAAACAGUAGCAGCAGUGGAACAUUCAGCAACAGAUGUAGCGUUAUCACGCUCAAUGCAUUUUAGACAUGGUGGUUCAAAUCCAUCCUGAGCGGAACUGAUCUGUUGAGCGCGAAGUGACCCAUUCACCUUUUGAAGAUCUUCAUGAGCCGCUCUCAAUUUCUCAAGCUCUUGUUUCCUUUGAAGAUAAUCAUAGGAGAGCCUUGAGAGCGAUUCAUGACGACCUUCAAGUUCUUGGUACUUAGCAUGAAGAUUUUUUAUGUCAUCAACUAAGGACUAUGAAUGUGUCAUUUCAGCGUCCAACAGGUCAUCGCUUUUGUCUAAUAGUUUUUGAGUAUGUUCCAUAGCCUUUUGUUGUUCAGUUGCAAUUUUAGCAAGUGUUUUGUAGCUGGGUUUGGAUUCACAAUCAGGGUCAUCUUCACUUGAAGUUUGAAAGUAAGCAUCGCGUGAGUUUACCUUGGCACCACGUGCCAUGAAGCAGUAGGUGGGAGUAGGAUCGUCUUUGUCAUUAGCUUCAGCGUUGGUGUGGAAGUCAUUGUCUUCAGUGUUGAAGAUGGACUUGGCGACAUAGGCUGUGGCUAGAGCCAGACUUGCAACGCCAGGGUCAGACUCCUCUCCAGACUCCACCUCCACCUCCUCAGAAGCAGACUCCUCCUCUGAAUCCAUUUCCUUGCCAACAAAAGCACGAGCCUUGCCAGAUGAGCUCUUCUUGUAUGAUGAAGACUUGGAAGAAGACUUAGAAGACUUUGAGGAUUUCUUCUUCUUCUUGUCAUCAGAAUCAUAUUCCUGGCUUUUCUUCUUCUUCUUCUCAUUGUCCCACUAUGGACACUCAGAUAUGUAGUGACCAGGUUUCUUGCACUUGUGGCAGGUUCUCUUUUUGUGGUCAUGGGUGGAAGCUUCAACAUUCCUUGAGCUGGAUCGUGAAGACUUUCUGAAGCCUUUCUUCUUAGUGAACUUCUGGAACUUCUUCACAAGCAUAGCAAGUUCCUUUCCAAUGUCUUCAGGAUCUUUAGAACUGCAGUCAGAUUCUUCUUCAGAUGAGGAAACAACUUUUGCCUUCAAGGCGCGAGUUCGGUCAUAGUUUGGGCCAUAGAUAUCUCUUUUCUCAGAUAGCUGGAACUCAUGUGUGUUGAGCCUCUCAAGUAUAUCAGACGGAUCGAGUGACUUGAAGUCAGGACGUUCUUGUAUCAUGAGGGCAAGGGUGUCAAAGGAGCUGUCAAGUGAUCUCAGCAAUGUCUUGACGAUUUCAUGCUUGGUAAUCUCAGUUGCNNNNNNNNNNNNNNNNNNNNNNNNNNNNNNNNNNNNNNNNNNNNNNNNNNNNNNNNNNNNNNNNNNNNNNNNNNNNNNNNNNNNNNNNNNNNNNNNNNNNGUCGUGGUAGGCGCGACCAUGAUAUGGGCUGCUGGCAGCCCUUGGAUCUGAGAUCGAACAGUCGCAUGCUAAGUUGCUGAAACUUUGAAGAAUAACCCUCCAGGAUAGGAUAUUCACCCAUAGGUCUAGAAUCACGCCAUGCAACCGUUCGAUCUUAUAUCCAAGGGCUCUCGGAAGCCCGUAUCAUGGGGGAGCAUGGAAAGCCCCUCCGUUCGCACGCUCCACUCAACAUUUUUACAAUCAGAAAACCGCUAGCAGUUUGCUCCUACUCGUCCCCGGCCUCCCUUUAACAUUACGACAAUUUGCUCCUACUCGUCCCCGGCCACCUUUAACAUUACGGCAGUUUGCUAUUAGUCGUCCCGUCCUUUCACAUUACAACAAUUCCAAUAAUCCUAACCCUCCUCCCAAAUACAUGGCAUCCCAUCUCCAUGAUCGGCGGUGAGUACAAAGUUAGAACCAUCACCGGCAAUAAGUUCGACGUCAUCUAUACUCGUUCUUCCACGAUGUUGAAAGGAUGCCUUGCUCGCUUCAGACGCAUGUUCAAAAACUCAAAGGCAGAGUGGGUCGCUGGACUAGAUGUUGAGUACACCACAGUCCUAGACAAAGAGAAGAAACUAAAGGAGGAAGAGAAGAAUAAGCCCGCCGUGAUCCAGGUUUGCAUGCAUAACUUGUGCUUGGUCUACCACAUAUGCCAUGCCGAUGUUGAGUGCGAGGAAUUUAAGAACUUCCUCGCAGACGGCCUAGUCAAAUCCGUUUCUAUAGACUUUACGAAUGACAACGAAGUCCUAGGUCGGAUAGGCCUCGUUGAGGCUAGCCCUCGACCUCCAGAGGAAUGUUCUAGUGUCCUCCCGUGAGCCUUCAAUGCUGACCCUGGCAGCAACCAUCCUUUGUACGGUAAACUGACGAAACCUCUGUACAAGUUUCAUCGUGUAUGGGAGUGGAAUGUACUAGAUAGAGAGCACAUCAAUUACGCUGCAAUGGAUGCCUAGCUUUGUUUCAAUAUCUACAAGAGUUGGAUGAAGAGCGAGAGUUAAGUGUGCGGUUCAAGCAAAGAAGUAUCAGCCAAGAGGAAGAGGGACAAGGACGAAGUCGAGCAUGUGGACGAGGAGUCGGAGUAAGGUGGCAGUGUCGUUGCUCAUGGUGGUUAUAAUGCAGUGUCUACCGGAUUAGUUGCUUAGUUUAAUUUCAGGGUGCUUCAUUUUAUUUUAGGGGUGUGUUGUGCAGAGCCCCUAGCAGAACUAUGUUAUGUUCCUUCUCAUUACUUUAACUCUUUAGUACGUACGUACUAGUAUUUCUUACAGUUCAUCUUUUAGUUGGUAUAGUACUACCACUCGUUUCUUCACAUUAUCUACAUACAAUAUAUAUGGCCAACAUCAUAUAGCCAGCAGUUUGGUUGUCAAACAAUUUUAGGGUGCUUAGUUUUACUUGAGGGGUGCGUUGUGCUGGACACCAUUAUUGUGACUCAAAUCGCUUUUGCCAUGUUAUAAUGACAUAAAUACCUAUGGAUCAACAUGCCAACUCUCCCUCUAUCUCACUAUAGUACAAUAGAGUGUGGGGCCUACUUGAUCCCAACAUCUUUCUUAUUUUCCUGUAAAAUUAUUCGCUUGGUUACUCCUGACAAGUGGGGCCACACUUAUCAUUGUGAGAAUCGGCUUAUUUUUGUCAUAUAACAUGGUCAACGGGUUUGAGGUGAAAAUAACAAUGUCUAAUGGCAUUUUGAGCAAACAUCUAAUGGAACGAUGACAUUUUUGAGAUAUCUAAUUGCAUUUUGAGCAAGCAUCUCACGGAUCGAUGGCACUUUUGAGUAGUUGUAACUUCUAAUGGAAAAACUGAGUAGUGGUACACAACCAGUGGCAUAAAUAAUAAGAACCCAAGAAUUAAAUAGGUAUGCUAAUUUUUUAAUAGAAUUUAGCACCCCAUUUAAGCACGUACUAGCUUUUUCAAUAGUACUAUAUGCAUAAUUUGGCGAUGAGCGCUCUCUAUAUGUACUGCCUUUUUUCUUUAAUUUCAUCUUGUUAGUUUUGCUACAUGAUGCAAUCCAUCGGUACUACUACUGUACAAAAGUAUAAUUUUUUUAAAAGGCUAGAGGGCGGGGCAGUCUUGCUUGGUCGGUUUCACGAGAGGCGAGGGCCUUUGUGAUUUGAUGGCUCAUUACUGCUGGAAGGCGGGGCCUUGUGAUUUUACUGCUCAUAUAAAUGUUACCAAUGACCUGAGGAGGAGCAAAGAACCAUGCGAUAUACUCAAGUUUUCCACUGGAGUACUAGUACGAUGGAAGAGCACGAAACAUGGCAGCCUAGUGCGAUAUGGCGAUAAAAAUGAUCUAAAUUGCUAAUCAUCGAUCCCAUGGCACCGCUCAUCGUUAGCAUUGUUCUAUUCAUUCCUCGCAGAGAACAUGACACGUAUGGCGAAACACCCGAAGCAAAAUAAGAAACACAUGAGCAAAAGAAGAAGGAAGAUUAUCACCCCCAAAACAGAAGGAAGACGCACACACAAGUCUGGGGCGCUGCUCUCUACUAGUACAUGAAGGGUUGCUGGCCGUGGAGUCAUAACUGCUUCUUCAUCGCCUCCACGACCUCCAUCUCCUUGCGCGUCUCCUCCGCCAUCUUCUUCAUUCUGUCCCUGACACAGGAUUUCUCGACGCGAGUCUUCAUCAUCUGUUCCACGGCCGCAUUACGUACCUUGACAGUAGCCGAGUGCUCGAUGAAGAGAUUUGCCAACUCUUCCUUCUGUUCCAUGACAAGGGCCUACAACAUCUUCAUCGAGGAACUACUCUUCUCAUGCAACUUCUUCCAGCCAGUGUUCUCCUCCUUCAGCAGGUUGAACUCGUGGCAGAGCUUCACUUUGUCCUCUUGAAGUUGCAGGAUUUUGCUAGUCGCCUUCUUAUCUGACGCAAUGCUCUUCUUCAGCAGCAUCACCAAGCUGGCGGUCAACUCCCCCUGCUCAUUGAGCUCAGUGGGCAUGUCAUCAAGGCUCCCCUUCAGCAGCUCCACCAAGCCNNNNNNNNNNNNNNNNNNNNNNNNNNNNNNNNNNNNNNNNNNNNNNNNNNNNNNNNNNNNNNNNNNNNNNNNNNNNNNNNNNNNNNNNNNNNNNNNNNNNAGGUGGACGGUAGAGCAAGAGGAGCAGCUAAAGGUGUAUUCACGGAAGCAAGGUGAUGCUUCUCAUAGGUGGCAGAAGGUGAAUGAGGAGCGUAAUCCUCAAGUAUAUUCAAGACGACAGCAUCAUGUUCAGGGGGAGCAGCCAACACAGAUGCAGGGGGAGCAACAAGGCAGCAAUGCAAGCUCAGUUGACACAGAGGACUUGCCAAUUGCUUUGAGAAAAGGUACUCGAGAAAAAGCAGGGAUACCCGGGCCAAAGUAUGGGUUCGAUGCCAAUGAUAUUGGAAAUUAUGUUUCCUAUGAAGCAUUAUCUCCAGCCCACAAAUCAUUUGUUGCAUCUCUUCAGCUGUUGUCUCUUCCAACUGAUUGGAAGGCAGCAAAAGUGGAUCCAAAGUGGCGAGCAGCUAUGAUAGAGGAGAUGGAGGCAUUAAGUAAGAACAAGACAUGGGUACUAACACCUCUUCCAAGAGGAAAGAAGGCAGUUAGCUGCAAGUGGGUAUACACCGUGAAGCAGAAUGCAGAAGGGAAGAUUGAAAGGUACAAAGCAAGGCUUGUGGCGAGGGGGUACAGCCAGACCUACGGCAUUGACUAUGAUGAGACCUUUGCUCCAGUAGCAAAGAUGAACACUGUGAGGAUUCUGAUCUCCUGUGCAGCAAAUUUCGGGUGGCCUUUACACCAACUUGAUGUGAAGAAUGCCUUCUUGCAUGGGGACUUGAAGGAGGAGGUAUACAUGGAUAUUCCACCUGGGUUCUCAACUUCUGAGACUGCUGGUAAGGUAUGCAGGCUAAAGAAAGCUCUUUAUGGACUGAAACAGUCUCCAGGAGCUUGGUUUGACAGAUUUAGACGGGCUGUGCGUGGCAUGGGGUAUGGACAAUGCAAUGGUGACCAUACAUUGUUUUAUAGACACUCUAAAGGAAAAAUGACCAUCCUUGCAGUUUAUGUUGAUGAUAUCAUUAUCACCGGCGAUGAUGACAUAGAGAUAGCAAGGUUAAAGGGGUGUCUGAGUAAGGCAUUCGAAGUUAAAGAUCUUGGUCGACUCAAGUACUUCCUUGGUAUAGAAGUGGCAAGGUCUGGAAAAGGAAUAGCUCUUUCUCAAAGAAAGUAUACCCUGGAUCUCCUCUGUAAUGUUGGCAUGUUGGGUUGUCGAGCUGCUGCAACCCCAAUUGAUCAAAAUCAUAAAGUGACCGCCCAAUCAGGUGAUCUGGUGAAUAAAGAAAAAUAUCAACGAUUGGUGGGAAGAUUAUUGUACUUGUGUCAUACACGACCAGACAUUGCAUUUGCAGUAAGUGUUGUGAGCAGAUAUAUGCAUGAGCCUAGGAGUGAACAUCUCGAGGCAGUAUAUAGAAUCCUGAGAUACUUGAAGGGUUCUCCUGGGAAAGGAUUGAUAUACAAGAGUCAUGGACAUCUUGUCGUGGAUGGUUAUUGUGAUGCUAAUUGGGCCAGCUGUCUGGAUGACAGGAGAUCAACCUCAGGCCAUUGUGUUUUCGUAGGAGGAAAUCUAGUGUCUUGGAGAAGCAAGAAACAACCCGUUGUUUCCAAAUCAACCGCAGAGGCUGAAUAUAGAGCCAUGUCUCAGGGAUUGAGUGAGUUGUUAUGGACAAGAAAUCUAUUAGGAGAGUUGAAGAUAUUGAAGACCAGUUGUAUGAAUGUAUGGUGCGACAACAAGUCGGCAAUUAGCAUAGCAAACAACCCAAUUCAACAUGAUAGAACCAAACAUGUGGAGAUUGACAGAUUCUUUAUCAAAGAAAAACUGGAUGCUGGGAUUAUCAAGAUAGAGUAUGUGAGUUCAGGACAACAAAUUGCAGAUUGCUUGACUAAAGGACUGGGAACUAGAGAAUGCAGUUCAGCAUGUGACAAGAUGGGAAUGAUAGAUAUCUACCACCCAUCUUGAGGGGGAGUGUUGACCGGUAUGAAGGCCUGGCCCAUCUUCACUGUUAGUAUAGGGCCCAAGCCCAUGUGUGUGACCUAGAUGAGAGCAACCAGAGUUAUAUGCGUGUGUGACACACGGGAGUAGGAGUCAGCCGCCAGACACACCAAACCACAUGUAUGCGGGUAUGCCUCUCUCGUUCUACAAUAGAAAAUUUAGAGAAACUCAAACACUUUGCAAUGGUUUGUAUGACAACAAGUUAUAUUUCUAAAUGCAAGAGGUACUAUUUCUAUGUUGACUGAUUACUUUUUAUAAAUAAAUUUGCAUCAAAAAUGUUAUAUACUCAAUCAAUCCACAACGGGUAGAUGCACUAUAUGCAAAGCUGGGUCGGUGUAUACAUUUUUGUAGAGCCUCGUGAUGUGCAAGUCGCCUCAUUAAGAAAUUGCAAUUUCUGAAGCGGCAAAGAACAAAAUUUUGUUUGACAUAUAAUUUCUUAUUUAUGUCUGCAUGCACAAUAUUAAUUAUCUUGUAUUUCAAGCUUUUAUAUCGUAUUUCAAGCUUGCAACAAUACGUACACCCGGAACUUUCUGUUCAGGAUAUACUCUCGGGCGUGUUAAAUUGGCGUACACCUUUUUUUUUAACCAUGUACACAUUCUCUUAGCAAAUGUGUUUUCCUCCAUUUCCGCCUUUCUUUAUUGUUUAUAGAUGAAACAUUUUGUAUAUCUCAGGUGCUAAUAUUAGCGCACUCCCUUUUAUCUGGGCUCUGCCCUGUAUGCAUUGCCAUCAAGGAUUACGAGUCGACGAGUCGUUGAGUCGUUCCGAGGUUGAGACUCAUAGACUAAUCGAACUAGUCUUAGACUAGUGCUAGACUAGUCGACAAAGUACUGUAGUAGUCAACUACUAAUACCUAGUAGCAGUAUGUAGUAAACUGUACAGCACAUUACAGUAUAUACAAUAAAACCAACAGUGCUAGCCAACGCUCGCCAGGCCCAGCCCAGUGCAGCUCAGCACGCCACCCCCACCUGGCCCAUUUGGGCCCAAGUAGCCAGCCUACAUCCCAUCCCAUCCCAUCCCUCCCUCCCUCCCUCCCCUCCCCUCCCUCCCUCCCUCCCUCUCCCUUUCUCUCUCUCNNNNNNNNNNNNNNNNNNNNNNNNNNNNNNNNNNNNNNNNNNNNNNNNNNNNNNNNNNNNNNNNNNNNNNNNNNNNNNNNNNNNNNNNNNNNNNNNNNNNAGAGAUUGAUCAUCAACUACAACUAGAAACUCGUCUUCAGUGAAAACCAUAUUUGCUGUUAUGGAAGGCAAUAAAGCAGAAGAGAAUAGAAAUGUAUUGUAAGAGCUUGUCCCAAGUUUGUCCCUCGAAUGGAUAUAUCUAACACUAACUUGGUGCUAGAUACAUCCAUUUGAGGGACAAGGUUUUUCGGACGGAGGGAGUAGAUAAUAAACAUCACCAUUUGAUAACUAUUCUACAUGCAGGUAUAUAGGGAGCAGAGUAAACAACAGACCAACCUAAGGUGCCAUCUUACAGCAUUGGUAUGCAGUGGGCAGAUCAGAGAAUGCAGGUUGUGUCUCUUCAUGAUUCAUGAGUUGAUCAUACCAUAUUCCAGACUAGCAUGAGAAAGGGGCAUCUAUAACAGAGACCAAGUGGUGAUGGAGAGAUUCCACAAGAGUAGAGUGAUGCACGCUGUUUGUGUCAGAAAUAAUUGAUUAGCAAAAAAGAACACUGUUGACUAGCAUUGCAGAUCGAAAUAAACAAAGAGGGGUAUUCGAUAUUUACCAGAGAAUCUACACCAUGACGAGCUGAAUAAAGAAACGAGCAGCAAUAGAAUCAAGCAUUGUCGUCGUCGUCAGAAAUGCAGGAGCAAAAAUCAUCUUCAGAAUCUUGGAUGCUACAACAACACCAACAACGACAGGCGAGCAAGAGCAUGUGUUCAGUUGUGCUAAGUGGAUAUAGGACAUCAUUAGUUCAGAGAGAAAUUAGCUAACCUGUCGCUUCCCGUCCUCACGGCCACCACCUGUGAGGAGGAGCUUUCUCCUGCUGCUGCAGGGUCGUUAUGGAUACAUGAUUCCUCCUGCUCCGUCGCUUCCUCCUCCGCUUGUACUGCAGUAGUGGAACCUUCGGCGACGUCACCCAGGUCGUGGCGGUUCCGGUCCCACAGCAGUCGCAGAACGGGAUGGUUGGGGUGUCCAUCCACUUCACGUUGCAGCAUACCAAGCCUUGCCACUUUACCAUCCCAACCAAGUAAAAUCUCCUUGAGACUUGGAAGGUGAUUGAUACCAUUAAUCCCUGAUUUCAAACUGCAGCAGAGAAUUUCUAUCUUUUCCAAUAGGGGCGAGGUGCCCACCUCAAAUGUCAACUCUGUCAGUUGCUCCAGGCUCCAAAUAUCAAGUCUCCUGAGAUUUGGGAAUGUUUCUGCUCUGAAAACCAGUUUCUCCCCAACAUAAGAAUCAAAAUAAAGACGAAGGAGCAUCAGCUUGGGCAGUGUGCCUAGUAGUUUCAUGCUUUUAUCUCCAUCCUUCAGAUUGCUAUACCAUAACUCAAUCUUCACCAAAUGUACCAGACCCCCAAACCACUCAGGCAUCUCCCCGAGAUCUCCUUGCAAAUUCAGCUUCCUCAGGAGAGGGGGAGGGGAGGAAAUAGACUGCAACAACCACUUGAGUGAUACACUAUUUCCCUGAUAAAUACCGUCCGCACAAAGACAAAGAGAUGUGAGGGAAGUGAGCUUCUCAAGGGAUGUGCAGAAUAUCUUGCUCUUUUGCUUGCUUGCCCAUACUGUGGCACUUAACUUUCUUAGCUUUAUAAGCUCCCCGAGCUCUUUAACUGCUUUCCUACUUGUCCGCUCAAUAUCCACGACCUCUAGUAUAUAUCUCUAACUCCUUUAGGUUGCUGAUUCCUUUGGGCACUUGCAUACCCCGAGAGUUGGUCAGUCGACCAGUCCAGGCCAUGUGAAUGAACAUCAUAAUCUCUCGACGCCGUUCUAAACUAACCAAAGGAGUGAAUAGAAUAGGCAUACAGAAUGUGGACAUGAACCAGGUCAUGGGGUAAAGUAAGUAUAAAUCAGCAUCUGUACUCUCUUUGCUGCAACGGAGGAUACGAAGGCUUUGUAGUUUAGUGAUCUCAGUUGGUAGUGAUGCUACAGCACUAUUUCUCAUGUCCAAAGUUUGCAAGCCUUGUAUGUUCCCUAUGGUUCUUGGGAGCGUGUAAAUAUAACUUUCACCUUUAUAUGAAGACAAAACAUGGACAUAUUUCAAAUGACGUAACGACCCUAUGCUGCUGAUAUCUUUUUGUUCUAUUACAAACUGGGCAUCAUGUAGAUCCGAGACUCUGAGCAUCCUAAAGUCGGGCGAACAUAGUGAAAGUGCCGGCUUCAUGGGUCUCUCGCCAAACACAGUCAAUGAUCGGACAUGGUUCCAAUCCAGGCCUUUAUUUGGGCACCAACUGCCUUGCAGUGCUAUAUGACGGAAGUUAUCCCUUCCUAUGCCCAUUACUUUAUCUGAUGUAGACCAUGCAAAAUUUUCAUCUCUAGAAAUCGAGAUCAUGACAUCCCGAACAAUAUCAUGAACUCGACAACUCUUGAUAAUUCCUUCAAUGUUCACUCUUGAUGGCUGAAUCAAGCUUCGGUUGAUUAGGUCAUUAAAGUAACUAUUCCCAACAUCCUCAACACUCACCCCACUCCUGGCAAUAAUAAACCCCUCGGCUAUCCAUCUUUCCACCAUACGCCUCCUUUUGAUUUCAAAAUCCUCAGGAAAUAUGCUUAAAUAUAGAAAACAUGACUUAAGAUGAGAAGGCAAGUGAUUGUAACUCAGAGUAACCAUCCUCCUCAUUGCUUCAAGGCUCCCAUUUCUCUCUAGCUCUGAGGGGAGCUGUUUAUAAAUAUUCUCCCACUCAUCAACCCCUCUAGUGGCAAGCAUGCCUCCUAUUGUGAGUAUAGCUAGGGGUAGCUGUCCAGACUUUUUGACUAUCUUAGUAACUAUUUUCCUCAUAUCCCCAUCUUUUUUCAUUUCUUCCUCAUUUUUCCUAGUCUUCCUUAGUAGCAGAUUUAUGGCAUCAUUUGUUUCUAGGGGUUCAUGGCGGUAGAUAAGUGAGCUAGAAGGUCCCAAAGUGCAGUUCUCAGCUAAGCCAAGAUCUCGUGUUGUUACCAUUAUCCGGCUACCAUUGUUGUUGAUACUAGGAAAAACAAAAGUUUCCAUCCAAUUCCAAUCAUCUAUGUUCCACAAAUCAUCAAGGACNNNNNNNNNNNNNNNNNNNNNNNNNNNNNNNNNNNNNNNNNNNNNNNNNNNNNNNNNNNNNNNNNNNNNNNNNNNNNNNNNNNNNNNNNNNNNNNNNNNNGGAGGAGGGGAAUUUAUUUCUGCCUCCAACUCCAUGUAAUUCGAACUAACACUUUCUACGCUCAUAGCCGGCCCAUUUACCGAAUUUGGGUAUGACGACUCUGGGUCAAAUUCCACAAGCAUUCCGUCCAUUGAACCCGGGAAAACAAAAGGAUCCAUCGUGACUCCCCAUCUUUUUCAGCUCUGCUCCCAAACAAAAGAGAAAGGGAGACUUAGUUUUAGAUCGGCGUUGGUUUUUCCAACGAAAAACAAGAACAUUCUUUCACGAACUUCCAUGACAAAAUGCUAGUUGCCUCGUAACGCAUACACUGGAGCGUUUGUCCCAUCGACGAAGACUACUUACUAUACGCGUUUUCGAGUUGCAUUUAGUGCUCUUUUUCGUCGCCAGCUAAAUCAAUCAAUUUGACAAGAUCUUGCAUCAAUCACCUCGUCCGCUAGGGAAAUGCACUCCUGAAUAGACUCGAUUCCCCGCCCCGCAUCAGUGAAAUGUCUAAGACGCAACGGAAUAGCAACGUUUCUUUCUAUAUGAUAAUAUGCACCGAGGGGAGGAGUAGUUUCAAAUAGAAGUCAAGUAAACAGAUUCAAGUUAGCCCAGUUUGGUUCCUUGGAAAAGCUAUUCAAAGCAAAGGGUUGACGGGUGGUGGAGUCCCAUCCCAGGUUUAGUAUAUAGCCCCUGUUUUCCAAUCCGUAAACGGUGGAUUGACUUGCUCUUUAUCAAAUCCACAUUAAAAAGGGGUUUUGUCGUUCAAUGCUUUGAUCCGCGCACCUUAUUUCUGAUUGAACCACUUCCUCGAAAGGACAUCGUAUCGGUGCCAGAAUAUGGGCUAGCGGUACACCAACCUCCCCACCAACUGCUACGCCCCGCGGGGCUUCUUCCUAGCGCUAUUGAAAUGAUAUUCCUAUUAUUGGUCCUAGCAAUAUCCCUGGACCAGGGCACGGCACCUAUCCAACUAUGUCUUGUUUCGGUUUCCGGAUCCGAAUCUUUUGUUAUACUUAUGUAUGGAUGAUUGUACACAACAGGUGUGGAAAGUGCGAUAGAGCUCGAAAAUGGAUGCCCCUAUUUCAAUUUCAUAAGUGCUUGUGCAACGGCUUGAAAGUGACAGACUGAGUCAAGUGACCUGUUUUUGUCACAUGAUCCAGAAUUGCACGAGAACCUACAAGUCCUGUUAUCGUUCUUAAUUCGAUAGCCACGGGACAGCCGUUUUCUCGUCUCUCAGCCUUUCUUAUACCUGCACUGACCUCAACGGUAUCCAACCUGCAAAAAAUAUCUAUACCCAUUAGCUCAUCACGCCAACAGUUCUCUUGGGUUGACUGAACCUACCUAUCCGAAAUCCCUGUUGCCAACUUCUUACUGCACAGAAGCAAUGGAACAGUAUCGUAAAGUGAAGUGAAGCAAACAAACCACUCCUUUGGAAUUGAUGGACUUGACACACAGCCGACGACUGAGAUGUGCCAUUGUCAUCGUCAAGAUCGUCCAUCACGAGUACCUUCUUUUCUGCAUCCGUCAGUUCAAGUUUUCCCAGCAUGUUUUAUUACUUGCCUCGAUCGAUACCAUCCACUUAUUUCUCUUUCUCACGGGACACAUAAAGAUACCAGCGCUUGUGCGAACAGUUGAUGCUUGUUAAGCCAUAGCUAUCACUUCUCGCGCCAAAGCGCUCCCACCAACUACAAAAUACCUUAUAGGAGGGGCCCUUGUCUUCAGCUAAAAAGAAGCAGAUAUUGCCGUAAGCAGGAGAUGGAAAAGCCCACGAUCCAUAACUUACUCACUCAGAUAUUUACUAGAGCUUGGCAGUGAAUGAAGGCAGUACAGGAGACUCCGAAUCCUAUUCAGAUUGCCAAUGAUCCAGUCAAGCAUGAACUAACCAAGCAUAUUGGUUUCGAUCACGUCUAUCCGAAGUCAAUAGAGCAAUUUAGAGCGUAGCGGUAUCUUUUGCUAAUGAAAUGAGAUUGGAUAUGAAUGUGGAAUUCAUUGAGUGGAGAGAUGAACUAAUCUAUACUCUGCCUGUCUUCCAUUUCUCUGAAGAUUUCGUUUACAACACAACAUCAAACUCCAAUUUCAUGAAUUGAUAGGUAAGGAUCGCUGUCGAACAGCUCUUCUUCAUUUCUUCCGGAAUUCUUUCUUCUAAGGUAGUAGGUAUCGGGUUUCCCUGUUCAUACUCCGAACAUGAGUUAAUAUACUCUUGUAGAGCAGAUCACUUAGGGCUUUAUACUGGUUCGACGACUGGGUUCUUGUUCCUUUCUCUUCUUUGUCUGUCCACUCCCUUUGUUUUCAACAGUCUUUGGAGCUUCUGGUACCACUGGUGUGAUCUCAUUCUUGAAUGCUAACACCCUGGUGUCUCCUAACGCUACGCUUUCUAAGCAACCUGAGUGUUCUCUGAACUAGGUGAACAAUCCAGGGCGAUAGCGUGAAAGGGCCUCGUCAUUGCUCAUCCAGUUUCACUACAUUAGCCUCCUCGUGUUCCUAAGGGCUACCACCAACUAAUGCUUUUCGACUUCUGGCUAGAGCUACUAACCUACCUCGAACAAGAGCUGCAUCCCGGUAGCGCUUUGAAUCAUCAUUUUACUAUUCCUAGGUUCGAUUCCUGCUGUCUUUACUUUCUGUCUUGCCUCUAUGCCUUCCUGGUGGGUGACUGUGACCUGGAGAUGGUUCGAUGGUUGGUGACUCUAAGCCAGAGUGAUGCUUUCUUAGUUUCAUAAAUGCCUUUCUAAGCCCUUUCCAAUCAAUGGAGAAUGGUUACUAGAGCUAGCGCCUGUCCCACUUUAGAACACUAAGAACGUAAUAAGCCUAGCCGGGACAAAUGCACUCAGUGUUAGUCCGAUCACCUCGGCUAAAAUCAUCUUCCCUUUAUUAAUGACCAAGGGUAUCCAUAUCAUGAUAUGUAGAUACAAGAGGGCAGAGGCAUUGAUGCGGGUAGGAUGCGUGUCUGCUUUCCUGUUGUUUGAAGGAGUAGAUACAUUCAUUUCCUUUUGCCAGAGUGAGAGUGAGAGUUGUGUGGGNNNNNNNNNNNNNNNNNNNNNNNNNNNNNNNNNNNNNNNNNNNNNNNNNNNNNNNNNNNNNNNNNNNNNNNNNNNNNNNNNNNNNNNNNNNNNNNNNNNNGGAGGAGGGGAAUUUAUUUCUGCCUCCAACUCCAUGUAAUUCGAACUAACACUUUCUACGCUCAUAGCCGGCCCAUUUACCGAAUUUGGGUAUGACGACUCUGGGUCAAAUUCCACAAGCAUUCCGUCCAUUGAACCCGGGAAAACAAAAGGAUCCAUCGUGACUCCCCAUCUUUUUCAGCUCUGCUCCCAAACAAAAGAGAAAGGGAGACUUAGUUUUAGAUCGGCGUUGGUUUUUCCAACGAAAAACAAGAACAUUCUUUCACGAACUUCCAUGACAAAAUGCUAGUUGCCUCGUAACGCAUACACUGGAGCGUUUGUCCCAUCGACGAAGACUACUUACUAUACGCGUUUUCGAGUUGCAUUUAGUGCUCUUUUUCGUCGCCAGCUAAAUCAAUCAAUUUGACAAGAUCUUGCAUCAAUCACCUCGUCCGCUAGGGAAAUGCACUCCUGAAUAGACUCGAUUCCCCGCCCCGCAUCAGUGAAAUGUCUAAGACGCAACGGAAUAGCAACGUUUCUUUCUAUAUGAUAAUAUGCACCGAGGGGAGGAGUAGUUUCAAAUAGAAGUCAAGUAAACAGAUUCAAGUUAGCCCAGUUUGGUUCCUUGGAAAAGCUGUUCAAAGCAAAGGGUUGACGGGGGGUGGAGUCCCAUCCCAGGUUUAGUAUAUAGCCCCUGUUUUCCAAUCCGUAAACGGUGGAUUGACUUGCUCUUUAUCAAAUCCACAUUAAAAAGGGGUUUUGUCGUUCAAUGCUUUGAUCCGCGCACCUUAUUUCUGAUUGAACCACUUCCUCGAAAGGACAUCGUAUCGGUGCCAGAAUAUGGGCUAGCGGUACACCAACCUCCCCACCAACUGCUACGCCCCGCGGGGCUUCUUCCUAGCGCUAUUGAAAUGAUAUUCCUAUUAUUGGUCCUAGCAAUAUCCCUGGACCAGGGCAUGGCACCUAUCCAACUAUGUCUUGUUUCGGUUUCCGGAUCCGAAUCUUUUGUUAUACUUAUGUAUGGAUGAUUGUACACAACAGGUGUGGAAAGUGCGAUAGAGCUCGAAAAUGGAUGCCCCUAUUUCAAUUUCAUAAGUGCUUGUGCAACGGCUUGAAAGUGACAGACUGAGUCAAGUGACCUGUUUUUGUCACAUGAUCCAGAAUUGCACGAGAACCUACAAGUCCUGUUAUCGUUCUUAAUUCGAUAGCCACGGGACAGCCGUUUUCUCGUCUCUCAGCCUUUCUUAUACCUGCACUGACCUCAACGGUAUCCAACCUGCAAAAAAUAUCUAUACCCAUUAGCUCAUCACGCCAACAGUUCUCUUGGGUUGACUGAACCUACCUAUCCGAAAUCCCUGUUGCCAACUUCUUACUGCACAGAAGCAAUGGAACAGUAUCGUAAAGUGAAGUGAAGCAAACAAACCACUCCUUUGGAAUUGAUGGACUUGACACACAGCCGACGACUGAGAUGUGCCAUUGUCAUCGUCAAGAUCGUCCAUCACGAGUACCUUCUUUUCUGCAUCCGUCAGUUCAAGUUUUCCCAGCAUGUUUUAUUACUUGCCUCGAUCGAUACCAUCCACUUAUUUCUCUUUCUCACGGGACACAUAAAGAUACCAGCGCUUGUGCGAACAGUUGAUGCUUGUUAAGCCAUAGCUAUCACUUCUCGCGCCAAAGCGCUCCCACCAACUACAAAAUACCUUAUAGGAGGGGCCCUUGUCUUCAGCUAAAAAGAAGCAGAUAUUGCCGUAAGCAGGAGAUGGAAAAGCCCACGAUCCAUAACUUACUCACUCAGAUAUUUACUAGAGCUUGGCAGUGAAUGAAGGCAGUACAGGAGACUCCGAAUCCUAUUCAGAUUGCCAAUGAUCCAGUCAAGCAUGAACUAACCAAGCAUAUUGGUUUCGAUCACGUCUAUCCGAAGUCAAUAGAGCAAUUUAGAGCGUAGCGGUAUCUUUUGCUAAUGAAAUGAGAUUGGAUAUGAAUGUGGAAUUCAUUGAGUGGAGAGAUGAACUAAUCUAUACUCUGCCUGUCUUCCAUUUCUCUGAAGAUUUCGUUUACAACACAACAUCAAACUCCAAUUUCAUGAAUUGAUAGGUAAGGAUCGCUGUCGAACAGCUCUUCUUCAUUUCUUCCGGAAUUCUUUCUUCUAAGGUAGUAGGUAUCGGGUUUCCCUGUUCAUACUCCGAACAUGAGUUAAUAUACUCUUGUAGAGCAGAUCACUUAGGGCUUUAUACUGGUUCGACGACUGGGUUCUUGUUCCUUUCUCUUCUUUGUCUGUCCACUCCCUUUGUUUUCAACAGUCUUUGGAGCUUCUGGUACCACUGGUGUGAUCUCAUUCUUGAAUGCUAACACCCUGGUGUCUCCUAACGCUACGCUUUCUAAGCAACCUGAGUGUUCUCUGAACUAGGUGAACAAUCCAGGGCGAUAGCGUGAAAGGGCCUCGUCAUUGCUCAUCCAGUUUCACUACAUUAGCCUCCUCGUGUUCCUAAGGGCUACCACCAACUAAUGCUUUUCGACUUCUGGCUAGAGCUACUAACCUACCUCGAACAAGAGCUGCAUCCCGGUAGCGCUUUGAAUCAUCAUUUUACUAUUCCUAGGUUCGAUUCCUGCUGUCUUUACUUUCUGUCUUGCCUCUAUGCCUUCCUGGUGGGUGACUGUGACCUGGAGAUGGUUCGAUGGUUGGUGACUCUAAGCCAGAGUGAUGCUUUCUUAGUUUCAUAAAUGCCUUUCUAAGCCCUUUCCAAUCAAUGGAGAAUGGUUACUAGAGCUAGCGCCUGUCCCACUUUAGAACACUAAGAACGUAAUAAGCCUAGCCGGGACAAAUGCACUCAGUGUUAGUCCGAUCACCUCGGCUAAAAUCAUCUUCCCUUUAUUAAUGACCAAGGGUAUCCAUAUCAUGAUAUGUAGAUACAAGAGGGCAGAGGCAUUGAUGCGGGUAGGAUGCGUGUCUGCUUUCCUGUUGUUUGAAGGAGUAGAUACAUUCAUUUCCUUUUGCCAGAGUGAGAGUGAGAGUUGUGUGGGNNNNNNNNNNNNNNNNNNNNNNNNNNNNNNNNNNNNNNNNNNNNNNNNNNNNNNNNNNNNNNNNNNNNNNNNNNNNNNNNNNNNNNNNNNNNNNNNNNNNUGCUCAAAUCAUCUGUGAAGGUCAGAAAAUAAUGAUACUUGUCGCGAGCCUUAAUAUUCAUCGGACCACAUACAUCAGUAUGUAUGAUUUCCAACAAAUCUGUUGCUCGCUCCAUUGUUUCGGAGAAGGACGUUUUAGUCAUCUUGCCCAUGAGGCAUGGUUCGCAAGCAUCAAGUGAUUCAUAAUCAAGUGAUUCCAAAAUUCAAUCUGCAUGGAGUUUCUUUAUGCGCUUUACACCAAUAUGACUUAAACAGUAGUGCCACAAACAAGUUGCACUAUCAUUAUUAACUUUGCAUCCUUUUGGCUUCAAUAUUAUGAAUAUGUGUAUCACUACGAUCGAGAUUCAACGAACCAUUUCGUUGGUGUGUAUAACCAUAGAAGGUUUUAUUCAUAUAAACAGAACAACAAUUGUUCUCUAACUUAAAUGAAUAAUUGUAUUGCAAUAAACAUGAUCAAAUCAUAUUCAUGCUCAACGCAAACACCAAAUAACACUUAUUUAGUUUUAACACUAAUCCCGAAAGUAUAGGGAGAGUGUGAUGAUGAUCAUAUCAAUCUUGGAACCACUUCCAACACACAUCGUCACUUCACCCUUAACUAGUCUCUGUUUAUUCUGCAACUCCCGUUUCGAGUUACUACUCUUAGCAACUGAACCAGUAUCAAAUACUGAGGGGUUGCUAUAAACACUAGUAAAGUACACAUCAAUAAUCAUGUAUAUCAAAUAUACUUAUGUUCACUUUGCCAUCCUUCUUAUCCGCCAAUCACUUGGGGUAGUUCCGCUUCCAGUGACCAGUCCCUUUGCAGUAGAAGCACUUAGUCUCAGGCUUAGGACCAGACUUGAGCUUCUUCACUUGAGCAGCAACUCGCUUGCCGUUCUUCUUGAAGUUCCUCUUCUUCCCUUUGCCCUUUUCUUCUAGUGGUCUCGUUAACCAUCAACACUUGAUGUUUUUCUUGAUUUCUACCUUCAUCGAUUUCAUCAUCAUGAAAAGCUCGGGAGUCGUUUUCGUCAUCCCUUGCAUACUAUAGUUCAUCACGAAGUUCUACUAACUUGGUGAUGGUGACUAGAGAAUUCUGUCAAUCACUAUCUUAUCUGGAAGAUUAACUCCCACUUGAUUCAAGCGAUUGUAGUACCCAGACAAUCUGAGUACAUGCUCACUAGUUGAGCGAUUCUCCUCCAUCUUUUAGCUAUAGAACUUGUUGGAGACUUCAUAUCUCUCAACUCGGGUAUUUGCUUGAAAUAUUAACUUCAACUCCUGGAACAUCUCAUAUGGUCCAUGACGUUCAAAACGUCAUUGAAGUCCCGAUUCUAAGCCGUUAAGCAUGGUGCACUAAACUAUCAUGUAGUCAUCAUAUUGAGCUAGCCAAACGUUCAUAACGUCUGCGUCCGCUCCUGCAAUAGGUCCGUCACCUAGCGGUGCAUCAAGGACAUAAUUCUUCUGUGCAGCAAUGAGGAUAAACCUAAGAUCACGGAUCCAAUCCGCAUCAUUGCUACUAACAUCUUUCAACACAAUUUUCUCUAGGAUCAUAUCAAAAUAAACACAUGAAAGCAACAACGCGAGCUAUUGAUCUACAACAUAGAUAUGCUAAUACUACCAGGACUAAGUUCAUGAUAAAUUAAAGUUCAAUUAAUCAUAUUACUUAAGAACUCCCACUUAGAUAGACAUCCCUCUAAUCCUCUAAGUGAUCACGUGAUCCAAAUCAAACUAAGCCAUAACCGAUCAUCACGUGAAAUGGAUUAGUUCUCAAUGGUGAACAUCAUCAUGUUGAUCAUAUCUACUAUAUGAUUCACGCUCGACCUUUCGGUCUCCGUGUUCCGAGGCCAUAUCUGCAUAUGCUAGGCUCGUCAAGUAUAACCCGAGUAUUCUGCGUGUGCAAAACUGGCUUGCACCCGUUGUAGAUGGACGUAGAGCUUAUCACACCCGAUCAUCACGUGGUGUCUGGGCACGACGAACUUUGGCAACGGUGCGUACUCGGGGAGAACACUUCUUGAUAAUUUAGUGAGAGAUCAUCUUAUAAUGCUACCGUCAAUCAAAGCAAGAUAAGAUGCAUAAAAAGAUAAACAUCACAUGCAAAUCAAUAUAAGUGAUAUGAUAUGGUCAUCAUCAUCUUGUGCUUCAUGAUCUCCAUCUCUGCAGCACCAUCAUGAUCACCAUCGUCACCGGCGCGACACCUUGAUCUCCAUCGUAGCAUCGUUGUCGUCUCGCCAAUCCUAUGCUUCUACGACUAUCGCUACCGCCUAGUGAUAAAGUAAAGCAUUACAAGGCGAUUGCAUUGCAUACAAUAAAGCGACAACCAUAUGGCUCCUGCCAGUUGCCGAUAACUCGGUUACAAAACAUGAUCAUCUCAUACAAUAAAAUUUAGCAUCAUGUCUUGACCAUAUCACAUCACAACAUGCCCUGCAAAAACAAGUUAGACGUCCUCUACUUUGUUUUGUUGCAAGUUUUACAUGGCUGCUACGGGCUUAAGCAAGAACUAAUCUUACCUACGCAUCAAAACCACAACGAUAGUUCGUCAAAUAGACUCCGUUUUAACCUUCUCAAGGACCGGACGUAGCCACACUUGGUUCAACUAAAGUUGGUGAGAUGUCUCCCGCAAGCCAUCUGUGUGCAAAGCACGUCGAGGGAACCGGUCUCGCGUAAGCGUACGCGUAAGGUUGGUCCGGGUCAUCUCAUCCAACAAUACCGCUGAACCAAAGUAUGACAUGCUGGUAGGCAGUAUGACUUGUAUCGUCCACAACUCACUUGUGUUCUACUCGUGCAUAUAACAUCAAACCAUAAAAACCUAGGCUCGGAUGCCACUGUUGGGGAACGUAGUAAUUUCAAAAAAAUUCCUACGCACACGCAAGAUCAUGGUGAUGCAUAGCAACGAGGGGGAGAGUGUUGUCUACAUACCCUUGUAGACCUGAAGCGGAAGCGAUCACAACGUAGAGGAAGUAGUCGUACGUUCUCCUCGCGAUCCAACCGAUCCCGGCGCCGUUACUCCGGCGCCCCCGAGUUCUUNNNNNNNNNNNNNNNNNNNNNNNNNNNNNNNNNNNNNNNNNNNNNNNNNNNNNNNNNNNNNNNNNNNNNNNNNNNNNNNNNNNNNNNNNNNNNNNNNNNNAGUGUCCUCUGACAGUAUAACUGCAAGACGCGACCUCGACGAUGGCAAUGACCGUGUCGCGAUGACGCUCGACAAGUUCUACAAUCCUACAAACAUGCCAAUUUUUUUGCUAAUCAAAAUAGGCAAACUAGCAUGUGCCACUGAACGAGCCCCAUGCAACCAAAUGUGUUGGAAGUCAUCCAAUAUGGACAAUCAGAGUUGUCGCAAGUAAUGCAGCCAGUCUUCAUUUGUACAUAGAUACUGCUUUCACUUUGUAUAUAAACAACCCAUCUUCAUCAAAGCAAACAACAAACUCAACCAUCUCACUUAUCCAUAUUUUAUGCUUCAUUAGUACAAACCCUUCAUUUUUAGUAUCUUCGUAGUGAAUGGUGGUGGCAAUCCACUCAAGAAGAAGAAAUAAUAGAGUGAAAACUGAACCAGUAUAUGCAGUUGAUGAUGUGCAGGAAUAAGAGACAUGGGGAAAGAACCAGCUAACAGAUAGUUUUUUUUAAGGAGGAUAACCCCCGACCUCUGCAUCAGCAUAAUGCAUGCAGCCAUUUUAUUAAAACGAAAUAAAGUAUAGUCAGGUCAGCAGUUCAAUACAACUCGCAAAAGGAGCAAAAAUCAGCCACAAAACUAAAAGGAGCAAGCCACAACCGGCAAAUCAUAGGACUCGGUGACUAAACACCUAUCAUAUUAGUGGACCGUCAUCCAAACCGAUUGAAGAUAUCCCGUGCUAACAUCUCCCACCGGUUGUACCCAGUAACCAAAAGCUCCUUGCAGUCUAUAUGAGUGAGUAACGACCACGUACGGAUCCAAGCAGUAGCUGUGAAGAUGACCUGCAGAAAGUUAAUGAAGUUUUCCCUAUUAAAGAUCAUAUCAUUACUGCAGUUCCAUAUAACCCGGAGUAAUGCAUAUAUUCCUAUCUGAAUACGUCCCACAGUAAUUGCAUCCACACCAGUUAGCCAUGUCCCAAACAACAUUGCAAUGCUAGUUGGAUGGUUAAUAUUAAAGGCUAUAUGAAUCGAGCGCCAUAGGAUCUUGGCUAGGAGACAAUCAAGGAAGAAUUACCGUUCUGAAACCAGGCAGAUACUUUCAAAGUUCUGAUGUGUACGCAUGUCGUAAUUGAUGUUCAGAUUUAUUUAACUUUUUACCAUACUUUGCGUAGUAGAUAGCAGGAAAACACCGUAAAGGAAAGAAGCAUCAGAUAUCCUCUGGCCCGCUAGCCAAGCCAAGUGUUGAAAUGUUUUCUUGUUCCCGUCCUCAACACUUUAAAUGGAUUAGUUAUAAUAACGAACAUUUAAAUGGACUAGUUAACACAAAAAUCGUUUUAAAUCCUAAUACAAAAUUAAUUUAGUGGCACAUGAUUGCAUCAUCAAAUCGAUGCCGCAAGAAACAUAGGGAGGUGGGGAUUCAAAGGCCAAAUAUGAACCGAGCAACAAAAAAGAUCCAGAAACAUUAGCACAAAUGAGAACCGAUUUUUUUGUGUCACUCACUUCAUUAUUAACGGUAGAAAAAUAAUCCUAAAGUUACAAUAAAAAACAAAAAUAUAUGUUACGGAAAUACUUUGCUACCCAUCAUUGUGGUAGCUAUACAUGGCCCCAAUUUUUAUCUCUAAUUAUGUUGGUAAAUUGUUUUGGACCAUGAAAAAUAACUCUAUAAAAGAAUAUCAUGACUUUGGACCAGCUAGGCAAGCAAAAAUGCACUUGUGCCAAAAAAGACAAGCAAAAAGACUGAGAGAAGUGAGAAAAGACCCUUUCCACAGAAUGGAAAGGCACUUGUGUCAAAAAGGUAAAAAAGACAAAAGAAGUGAGAAAAAGUCAUUUCUAUACAACAAAAAUGCACUUGUGCCAAUGCCAUAAUAAACUCGACGUCUCAUAUAUGUUAUUCUCAGAUAUAAUGAGUUAAGGGCAUUGGUAUUAUUUUCACACAAGAAAGGUGCAUUGGUAAUAUCCUAAAAGAAGAAAAAUAAUACAGAAAGAAACUUAGAGAAAAUGGUUUCAAAAACUUGAAUUAUCAUCCCAGAUGCAACAAGUGUCUUUGCCAUGCCUAUAUUUUUUUAACCACCGUGCAACCACCGGGAGGAAGACCUAAACUUUUCCUUGAUAAUAACAUGUCAUAAAGACAAUGUAAGUGCCAAUCGCAUAGACGAACAACAAUUUAAUGAUCAGCGUCUUUUCUCGUAGAUUACUCAUUAAGUAUUUAAUAAUGUGAAAACAUACUUUCUGUUUGAUGCUAAUCACACAACUGACAGUCAUCUGGUACAAAAUUGUAGUAUUACACUAUGACUAGAUGGCUACAUUUACAUCCUUAAGUCGUGACCAAUCUAUCAUCCUAUGAAAAUUCGUAGUAUGACUGGAUGGCUCUAAAGAUCCAUAUCCUUACGCCAGGACCAAUCUACUCAGCUUCUUUUAUAAACCUGACACUUUUUUAAUGGAAAACCAGCAUACUUGGGGAUGGUUUGACCCUAACUUCAUUUGAAUUUUAGCAUUCGAUUCUCAUUCUCUUGCUAAAAACAUACCUAAGUAGAUGUAAAUUCGUAAAUGGAGAUGCAUUCUUUCGUUUCUUACUAGUUCUUUUUUAGAUUAGAUAUAGGGAAAUCUCUCACCUCUCCACAUCUCAAGGAAGUAGUCAAGUCCAUCCAAUAUAUAUGCACGAGGUAGUGUGAAUCAUGCAAGCUAGAAGCGUGCAAGUCACACUUAAUGCAAGUUAUGAUAGGCGGCGGGAUUAUAUCUGAGAAACAAUUUAUGACAUGAAAAUGCUAUAGUCCCACGCACCAUCCCUCAAACAUGCUUAUAAUAUCGUGUAUGCUUGCAUAUAUGUAUAUCGACACACCAUUGUUGAACACUCAAGUGUGAGAAAGACCAACCAACAUACUCACAUGCAUACAUACACUGUUGUUAUUACUCAAGCAGAUCAUAAGGGCAGAACUAAAAACGUUGAGGUAGUGUCCUCAUUAGCUCGAAGGAUCAAAACAACAUACAAGAGAAGCCAUUAGAAACCUGCUUUUGGGAAUANNNNNNNNNNNNNNNNNNNNNNNNNNNNNNNNNNNNNNNNNNNNNNNNNNNNNNNNNNNNNNNNNNNNNNNNNNNNNNNNNNNNNNNNNNNNNNNNNNNNCCCUUCACCCAUCAAGAAAAAAUUCAUCUAGACCUGCGUCAGUGCAUGUUGCAGUGUUACAUCGCUGUCGCAGGUAUGGAGGAAUUUUUUCCUUUGUGUUAUCAUUCACAUUCAUCACAGAGUGUGUCCUAGCUGCAAUCACGUCACAUAACCACACCAUCGUGAAAACAUCAUUGUUCGACAAUGUUGUGGUUUUAGCUCAGAUACAUUGGCCCCAACAACUGAAUAUCAGAGUAUAAGUAUUUUUCAUAAGUAUAUAUUGCAUAUCAUAAAAAGUCAUUAUGAAGCAAUUUGAGGUGAUCAGGGCUCUUGUAGGUAUGGACACUGAGACUAGGUGGAUUGUCUUCCCUGGGGGAGUCGUCUGCGCGAGGAACGGAGGUCACGACAACCUAGGAUCCACGAUGAUGUCGUACUAGAUGUCUUAUGGAUUGUAUAUCAGGUUUAGUUCCAUGGUUGUGCGAUCAGCACUACUUGUCAUAGUGCAUUUGUAUCCCUAGUUUACUUUGGUCAUGUAGUUUGAGAAGAGCUUCUUGUUAUUGUUUAGUGUAUAGUUUGAGUAGCACUUCUGGUUUUUGCAGUCAUCCCUCCCAUUAGAAGUGUUUGGUUGUUUAUUGGUGCAAAAAUCGUGUGUUGUGAUCGAGAAUGUUGGAUUGUUUAAUUUUGCAAAACGAUCUAUGGUAGUUCAUGUGAUGAGAAUGAUCCUAUGCUCGCGAGGUGUUGGACACAAUGCGAGAUAGGUAAGUGUUUUUGUAUUAUUAUUUUUUCUCAAAAUCUUGGAUCAUGUGACAUUGAAAUUUGGUGAUGGUUUUUGACAUCGUACUAUGCAAAACGAGUUGGGUGACCUGGAAAAAUUCAUGGCGCUGGAUGAAAGGAACGCCAUUGACCUCAAUGAUGUUGUCAUUUCUGUGGCAGAUGAAAGCCAAGGAGAGAGACAUAGUGUCGAAAUAGAGGGUAACCACACACACAUACCAUGAAGAGAGAGCUAACAAGGUCAGUGAACUACAAGGUUGAGGAGGACAUAACUUUGUGCAAUGCUUGAAUGAACAUGUCUCUCUUGACGCCAGGGCUGGAGGAGUCGAUCAAACCAAGGAAAUAAUUUAGAGGAGGAUUGAGCAAUAAUAUUCACACAAUGUUUUGAUUCCAUCCAAUCACACGCAUGGGUAUCUCUGCUCAUCGCUGAAGUAGCAUCCAAGAUCAGUGACAUUGAUGGUCCGAUUGUGUUGAGCAAGUGAACAACUCACCGACCAGUGUAGUGCCAAUAACCGAGUAUGAAUGAAAGGAUGAGACAAGAUUGGUAAAUUGUUCCUGGAGAGAUCUUGGCAAGGUCGAGGUUCUUUGGUGGUUACACUAGUGGUAGUGGUGCUAAUGAGAAUAUUGUUGAAAACUUGAAAUGGUGUGGAAAUGCCUAUGUAGAAAGAUGGAUGAGAUAGGUAGAACAUAUAGUGACUAAAGAUUAGGAGAAGGGCUAGGUGCAAGAAUGUUUAGCUUCACAAAAUUUAAAAAGGUUCGAUUUUGCUAUAUCUCAGGUGCCCGAAAAUUUUCUUCACGUAUGUCACUUUCUCUAGUUCAUUCUGAGCUCGCCGGAGAAAGCCAUAGCCCCACUAUCUAUUUCAAGGGGAGUCACAACCCCAUUAUCUAUCUUAGGGAUGGGGUGAAGGGAGUCGCCCGAAUUUUCACCAGUGGUGUGGGGCUUAGAAGGAUGGCCGAUGCGGUGGGGCAGCAACGAUGGUGGAUGGGAGUUGGGGGGGAGUGGGGCGGCGAGGCGGUGUACGGUAGCGCCCGCCGACCACGGGGGAUGGAGGCAGGCGGAUCUGGCGAGAUAGGCUGUCGGGGGAGGAGAAAUUGUCGUCGGGAGGAAGAAGUUGAACAGUCCGUAGGAUGAUUGAAGCCGUUGGAUAUUGAUCUGAUGGUCGGGAAAGAAAGUGACUCUUGAAAACAUUUUUUAGGCACCGAUUAAAUAAACGGUCCCAAAAAUAUUAAUUAUAGAAGGUGAUUUGAGGAGUUAAGUUUAUGGAAAAGCUAGAAAUGCUUUUAGUGCUGAAAUGUUGGCUUUAAGAUACUCGUUCCCUGUGAAUAAGUGUACAUCUACCUUUUGUACAAAGUCAAAGUUUUAUAAUUUUGACAAACUUUAUAGAAAAAAGUAGUAGCAUACAUGACAUCAAAUUGGUAUAUUAUGAAAGUACAUUUCAAAACGAAUCUAGUGAUGCGAAUCUAGUGCCAUAAAUGCUACUAGUUUUUCCUAUAAAGUACAUUUCAAAACGAAUCUAAUGAUGCGAAUCUAGCAUACAUGAUUAAAUUUCAGUAAUUUACCACAUUAACAAGACUGAGAUUAAGAGAUCUUGUACCACUAUCCUCAUGCUGCCUUGCACUCCUUUGGUCAAAGUCGAGGUCAUCACAACGUUGCAGCGUACCAAAAUUAGGACGGCGUCCUAUGAUCCUUUGACUGAACUCCAAAUCAGCAAGUCCUGAAAUACACAAAAUAUUAUGCAAUUGUGCUUCCGUAUUAAUUUCACCAAAUUAACUUAACCAAGAAUAAGAGAAUCAAUACCAUUGUCCUGACCAAUAUUUGUUUGAUGUCCUGUAGCUCCUUGAGUAAACUCCAGGUCAUCAAGUCCUUGAAUAUAUUGAACAUUAUGCAAUUUUGUUUCCAUGAUUAAAUUUUACCAUAUUAAAUUGAAUAAGAAUAAGAGAAAUUGUACCAUUGUCCUGAUGGUGACCAAUAUUUGGACAAGGUAUUGUAGUCCUUUGACUGAACUCAUGGCCUUGAAUACCAAAGUCUAUCAUCCUGCCUUGAUCAUCCAUCUGAAGAAACUGAAUUGUAUUAUUAGUGGGACUAGUGAGAUGGUAAAAUAUGUACUGUUAUGUAAUAAAAGAAAUUAACGUUUUAAGACAUAUAAUGGGACUAGUGAGAGCUGAGAGAUGAGUCAAGCCACAGUCAAUUGUAUUGCAUGGUCAGAGUUACAAGAGUACAAGUAGGGAACGCAAGAACUGCUCCCNNNNNNNNNNNNNNNNNNNNNNNNNNNNNNNNNNNNNNNNNNNNNNNNNNNNNNNNNNNNNNNNNNNNNNNNNNNNNNNNNNNNNNNNNNNNNNNNNNNNGGGGGGGGGAAUAUGCAACUAACAAUUUUUAGCUUUUCUUUACCAAUUUAAACUUUGCAUCAAAGUAGGUUGUCUAGAUAUGCAACUAGGUGAGCAACCUAUAUGAUGCAACAACAAUAAGUAAACAAGCGAGCAAGGGAAGUAACACAAGAUAAGCUUGCACGAGUAAAGGGAUGAGAUAACCAAGAGUGGAGUCGGUGAAGACGAGGAUGUGUUGCCGAAGUUCCUUCCCUUUGAGAGGAAGUACGCCUCCGUUGGAGUGGUGUGGAGGCACAAUGCUCCUCAAGAAGCCACUAGGGCCACCGUAUUCUCCUCACGCCCUCACACAAUGCGAGAUGCUGCGAUUCCACUAUUGGUGCCCUUGAAGGCGGUGACUGAACCUUUACAAACAAGGUUGAGGCAAUCUCCACAACUUAAUUGGAGGCUCCCAACAACACCACGAAGCUUCACCAUAAUGGAGUAUGGCUCCGUGGUGACCUCACCCAUCUAGGGUGCUCAAACACCCAAGAGUAACAAGAUCCGCGAGGGAUUAGUGGGAGGAAUCAAAUAUCUCUUGGUGGAUGUGUAGAUCUAGGCCUUCUCAACCAAUCCCUAGGAGAUCAACAAGUUUGAUUGGAUAGGGAGAGAAAUCGGGCGAAAAUGGAGCUUAGAGCAACAAUGGAGCUUAGAGGUAGAAUAGGUGAUCAACUCGGAGAAGAAAACUCCCCUUAUAUAGUGGAAGAACAAAUCCAACCGUUAUCCACCAACUCAGCCUGCGAAGCAUGGUACUACCGCACCGGAGGCGUGGUACUACCGCUAGGGCACACGGUACUACCACAAGUCAUUAUAGUACUACCACCCAUACAGCAGAAUCCAAAGCAGCCCUGAUGCGAUGAAGCAGAGGGCAGUAGAACCGCUGGCGCGGUACUACCGCUCCCCCUUGCGAUACUACCACAAGGCAGGGAUAGUCCAGACUUGGGAAGGAAAGGACACAUAAAAAUACAUUCGUGGCUACUUUCACUGAGUUGGGAUCUGUGCAAAAAUCUGGCACGGUAGUGCCGCAUGCCUGGAGCGGUACUACCGCAUAGGGCGCGGAUGUAAAAAAUUACAUCCGCCCCUACUUCCGCUCAUGUUGUUGUGCCAGGCCAGGGCUCACGGUACUACCGCACCCAUGGGGCGGUACUACCGCGUAGGGCGUGGAUGUAAAAAAUUACAUCCGCCCCUACAACCGCUCGAGCAGCUGAGCCUGGCUAGAGGCCACGGUACUACCGCUCCAGAGGAGCGGUACUAUCAUGAGUACCCAUGGUACUACCGCGCCUAUGGUCGGUACUACCGCAAGGCCCUGCGGUACUACCGCUCCGAAGAGUAGUACUACUGCAUGCCCCAGAACAGCAACACUAGGAGUCCUUCAUUUUGCAAAGACGCAGAGAGACGGAGGAUGCUCCCAAGAGAUAAAGGAAAGGUGGUGCAAAAAGGAGCAGACGUGUACGUGUUGAUUCCACCCAAACCUUUCCAACGUGGACCCCCUCUUAAUAGUACGGCUUUCCUACGACUCAAGUCCACCGAAAAGAAACAUAGAGAAAUGCCGUCUUUGAUAACUCCGAGGGGUACCAAAUCGUCUUGUGCUUAGACACGGUAUAUCUGAAAUGCUCAUUGCACAUGAUUAGUCCGCAAAAGCAUUGUCAUCAAUCACCAAAACUACUAAGGGAUAAACAUGCUCUUACAUCCAUCAUCAUGAUCUCCAUCAUCGUGUCUUCAUGAAGUUGUCUCGCCAACUAUUACUUCUACUACUACGGCUAACGGUUAGCGAUAAAGUAAAGUAAUUACAUGGCGUUUUCAUUGACACGCAAGUCAUACAAUAAAUUAAGACAACUCCUAUGGCUCCUGCCGGUUGUCAUACUCAUCAACAUGCAAGUCGUGAUUCCUAUUACAAGAACAUGAUCAAUCUCAUACAUCACAUAUAUCAUUCAUCGCAUCCUUUUGGCCAUAUCACAUCACAUAGCAUACCUGCAAAAACAAGUUAGACGUCCUCUAAUUGUUGUUGCAUGUUUUACGUGGCUGCUAUGGGUUUCUAGCAAGAAUGUUUAUUACCUACGCAAACCACAAUGGUGAUAUGCUAAUUGCUAUUUACCCUUCAUAAGGACCCUUUUCAUCAAAUCCGGUCCGACUAAAGUGGGAGAGACAGACACCCGCUGGCCACCUUAUGCAUCAAGUGCAUGUUAGUCGGUGGAACCAGUCUCACGUAAGCGUAUGUGUAAGGUCGGUCCGGGCCGCUUCAUCCCACAAUGCCCCCGAAUCAAGAUAAGACUAGUAACGGUAAGCAAAUUGAACAAAUCAUCACCCACAACUACUUUGUGUUCUACUCGUGCAUAGAAUCUACGCAUAGACCUAGCUCAUGAUGCCACUGUAGGGUAACGUAGCAAUAAUUCAAAAUUUUCCUACGUGUCACCAAGAUCAAUCUAGGAGAUGAUAGCAACGAGAGAGAGGGAGUGCAUCUUCAUACCCUUGAAGAUCGCUAAGCGGAAGCGUUACAAGGAACGCGGAUGAUGGAGUCAUACUCGCGGCGAUUCAAAUCGCGGAAGAUCCGAUCCAGUGCCGAACAGACGAUGCCUCCGCAUUCAACACACGUAUAGCCCAGGAACGUCCCCUCCUUCUUGAUCCAGCAAGGGGAGAGGAGAAGCUGAGGGAGAGGGAGGGCUUCGUCAGGGCUUCGUCAGGGCUCCGACAGCACGACGGUGUGGUGGUGAUGGAGCUCGUGGUUCUCCGGCAGGGCUUCGUCAAGCACUAUGGAGGAGGAGGAGGUGUUGGGGAGGGGGAGGGGCUGCGCCAGGGGAAGGGUGUGGCAGCCCUCCCAUCCCCACUAUUUAUAGGGGGAAGAGGAGAGGGGGCCACCCCCUAGAUUCCAUCCACAAGGGGGCGACGGCCAAGGGGGAAUUUGUCCCCCAAGUCAGGUGGGAGGCGCCCCCACCCCCCUAGGGUUUCUAACCCUAGGCGCCUUGGGCCCCCUUGGGGGGGGNNNNNNNNNNNNNNNNNNNNNNNNNNNNNNNNNNNNNNNNNNNNNNNNNNNNNNNNNNNNNNNNNNNNNNNNNNNNNNNNNNNNNNNNNNNNNNNNNNNNCAAUGUAUGUCCAGUUGCAGCAACUGUUGUUAUUUGAUUUUAGGAGUUGAACUUGAGCAUGAAGUCACACGUUUCACCGUUUAAGCUUGAAACUAUUAUUCUAAAAAAAUUAUUUAGUAACACUAAAAUUUAUUCAAUAAGUAGUUUGACUAAAAUUAUUUAGUAACACUAAAAUUUAAAAAGAUUGAGGACAACUUUUUUCCUUUCAGAAUCUAAGGAUUCUAAAAAUGUGCAAAACGGCCUACGGUAGCCGAAAUCGGUUCCAGAGGGCCUUUAGUCCCCAUUCUGGAACCGGGACAAAACAGAUGGGACUAAUGCCCAAAAAUUUAGUCCCGGUUGGCUUACGAACCGGGACAAAAGGAGGUCCACGUGGCCGCUGUGGGGCGCCCAGGCAGGAGGACCUUUAAUCCCGAUUUGUAACACCAAUCGGGACUAUAAGGUUUGACGAGAGGCUUCCCGUGCUCAUAUCUGAAGAUCUCUACUACCUCUAACGUUUCAAACUCUACAUCAUCGCUUAGGUAAUAACCAAGAUUGCUACCGGGCAGUAGCCCCGGAUGAUUAGCGACAGUAUCGCUAGACACCUUGAGUGGGGGGCACGAUUGCUUCGCCUGUUCGCCGAGCUAGGGAAUUGUUUUCCCACUUUUUCGUUUUGCUAAUCUUGCAUCACUCGAAGUAUUUCCCGACCACCGCGCUUCAUCAUAUAUCUUUGCAAUACAACGGUGAUAGUUGGAUUGUGGCGGAGGCGGUGGUGGUCUCUUAAGGGCAUCCAUAGUGUGCUUCACUUUCACCGGAUCUGCCAUUUCCUUCAGAGGUGGAGGUUUCCGUUCAAAAUGGGCCUUCACUUCAGCAGCACUGAUGUCCGCAUUUUCCUCUUCAGUCCUCUCAUAUAGUAACUUUGGAAGAGGCUUCAUGCUUGGACCAAAUUUGUAUUUCUUGAAGGAAAUAUGCCCUAGAGGCAAUAAUAAAGUUGUUAUUUUAUAUUUCCUUAUUCAUGAUAAAGGUUUAUUAUUCAUGCUAGAAUUUUAUUGAUCGGAAACCUUAAUACAUGUGUGAAUACUAAUGGUGCAUCACUGGUGCGCCAUUAGUAUCAGGCCACUAGUAUUUAUUACCAAUGGUGCACCACCACUAGUGCACCAUUAGUAUCUGGUAUACUAAUGGCGCACCACCCAGUGCACCAUUAGUAUGCCUCCCAGGGGCCAUAUUUAACCAUGUGCUUUGGCACACUAAUGGCGCACUGCGGAUGGAUGCGCCAUUAGUAUACUUUGGUGCAAUGUUUGGUGAUGCACCAUUAGUAUACUUUGGCAUACUAAUGGCGCACUCUCUAGUGAUGCGCCAUUAGUAUGAAUAUUAGAUUUUAUUUUUUUUUACUUUACUGAUUUUUGCACAGGUUACAAAAUAUAUUAUUUGACAGAAUAUAGACAGUAGCACACAGCAACAACAGAUUCAUCGAAUACAAUAGAAGAUUAGUCUCCGAAUACAAUUCAUCAUAUUAGUCUCCGAAUUCAAAAGACCGAACAAAGAUAAAACAUUACAAGUCUCGAGACCGCGAGUAUCGAGUUUGUCUUCACAUUACAAGUCAAUAUCGAUCAUCUAAACUACCAUCACAUAGAAGAGAGCUGCGAUCAUCACGAUGAGCAUCAUCGCGAUGAAACUGGUCUUCAUCCGGUUCCUCCAACGCUCCCUCCUCUCUCCCGCUAGAUAGCGGGCGUAUCUAGAUUCCGCCUCCACCCGAGUGGUGUACCCUUUGUAACUGUUACCGCUGAAAAGGUGAACCUGCCUCCGACACUCCUCCCAGUCAUCGUAGACUUCGGGAACCUUACCCUAGUACACAACACACGACGGCAUCUCUAUGCACAAGCCAAACAACAUACAAUACAUACAUAAGCAAUAUAUAAGUAUGCAACAAAAGGAUCGGAAGAGAAAAGCAAGACAUGACAUUAAUAGCACGAUUCAUGGUCCUACUAAUAAAUAGCAUCGAUUACAUCUAAGUUGAACGACUGUCCAAACCUAAGAGACAUACAAGUUCAUUAAAGUUUAAUUACAACAUGAGCCAAUCAAUGUUUCAGAACUACACAUAGCAUCACUACUAUCGACUCGACUCAUGGGACCGGAGCGUGGAUGAAGCCGCCGUCUGUCGUGAUGGUCAUGAAAUCACGGGCGUUGUCAGCCUGCAUUUGUAGCGUUCCGUCUAUCUCCUUGUUGGACGGUUGAUAUCUGAGGUAGAACUGCCCCGAGGUAUGAAGGACAUCUUGAUGGAUGAUGUUUGCAAACUCCGACUGGAUGCAAAAGAAUUCUUGUCUGAUGUCCGCAUCCUGGAUUGCCGACAAGCUCGCGGCCCAAUCUUUGACAUUAUUUGGUAGCAGAAGGUGAUGAUGGUCCCUUAUGAUCGCCCGCAUGUGAUGGAGGGCGUAGUAGGCAUCCUUCUGACCGCCAGGCGCCUGCUUGAUGCAGCAAAACGUCGUAUUGUGGGAGAACACGUGCUUGCCGUACUUACGAACUAACCUGGUGAAGGUGCCUCCAGAUUUGGCGUAGCCGGGGAGAACAUCAUCAAGAACUUGCUUGAUAUUUGUGUAGUCUAUCUUGGAGUUACGGUUCGGGUCGAAAUACGUGGCCAUGGAAUAUUUCGGGCUUAAGAGGAUGAGUGUGCAAUGUGUGUCACUGCACAGAACACGGAAUGUUAGAAGAAAAAAAGAACGAUCGAAAUCUAAGAAAUCAUAUGUUACGGGGCGGUUAAGGGAUGACUUACUCGGGAAAGUAAGGCACCAGGAAGUUAUCCUUAUCUGGGUUUGCCAGAAUGACGUCUUCGAGGUGUGAACUCGCGACUUGGCGGUCCCCAGCGCUGCUCAAGAGCUUGGCACACAUGUAGAAGGGGUCGACGAUCACGAUGUCCGGGGUCUUGUCUCUAAUGAUCCGCAUCUCCAUACUCAGCGAAAACAGCCGAACGAAGGUGUAGUGCAGCGGAUGAAGGUUAAACAUAGCAAAGAUGUCAUCAAACNNNNNNNNNNNNNNNNNNNNNNNNNNNNNNNNNNNNNNNNNNNNNNNNNNNNNNNNNNNNNNNNNNNNNNNNNNNNNNNNNNNNNNNNNNNNNNNNNNNNAUUCCCAUCUGCCACAUAACCACGGGCACGGCUCUCAAAAGUUUAUAACCUGCAGGGGUGUGCCAACUUAGCCCAUCACAAGCUCUCACGGUCAACGAAGGAUAUUCAUUCUCCCAGGAAGACCCGAUCAGUCUUGGAAUCCUGGUUUACAAGACAUUUCAACAAUGGUAAAACAAGACCAGCAAAGCCGCCCGAUGUGCCGACAAUCCCGAUAGGAGCUACACAUAUCUCAUUCUCAGGGCAACACCGGAUGAGACUAGCUACGAGUAAAACCAGCCCUCAAGUUUCCCCGAGGUGGCCCCGCAGGAAGCUCGGUUUGGACCAGCACUUAGAGAAGCACUGUCCCGGAGGGGCUAAAAUAAAGAUGACCCUCGGGUUGGCCGACCCAAGGGAAAGGUAAUAGGUUGUUAGGCAAAUGUAAAACCAAGGUUGGGCCUUGUUGGAGGAGUUCUAUUCAAAGCAAACUGCCAAUGGGGACCCAUAAAUCACCCAACCGCGUAAGGAACGGAAGUCAAGGAACGUAACACCGGUAUGACGGAAACUAGGGCGGCAAGAGUGGAACAAAACACCUGGCAUAAGGCUGAGUCUUCCACCCUUUACCAAGUAUAUAGAUGCAUUAAUUAAAUAAGAGAUAUUGUGACAUCCCAACCAUAAUCCUGUCCACCAUGAAGCAAUCUUCAACUUCACCUGCAACUAACAACGCUAUAAGAGGGGCUGAGAAAAAUGCUAACAUAGCCAAACAACGGUUUGCUAGGAAGGUUGAAAAAGGUUAGAGGCUGACAUGGCAAAUUGGGAGGCUUGAAGAACAAGUGAUAGGUAGCACAGCAUAGCGAUAGAACAAAGGAACUAGCAUAGCAAUGAUAGUAAUGAGAUCCAAGGUGAUGGUCAUCUUGCCUAAAAUCCCGCUAGGAAGAAGAACGAGUCCAUGAAGAAGAUGAAGCCACGAAGACGAAUCAAGCGUAGAUGAACAAAUCCUCACGAUCGCAACGAAACGGGAACUAUCGAGAAGAAGCACACAACAUGGUAAACACACCACACAUAAACAUGACAAGAUGCUCAACCAAGCAUGAUGCAUGACAAAGGCUACAUGAAGCUACUCAUGGCAAGAAAUGAUGCAUACAAGAGCAACCCAUCAAGGCAAGUUUAAAUGAGGCCGGAAACAACAUAUAACAAUUCCGGUAAGUCCUCAUAUGCAAAUUUCGAAAUUGGUCCAGAUCUGAUUAGAACACAAUGUUGAAGUUUUUAGACAGCAAGUUAAGAUGCACCAAGAUGAUCUACACAAAAUUCUAAUCAAGUUACAUAUAAAAUUCAUUUAGUUCGGAGCUACGGCCUAGAAGAUAUGAGCAAAACAAGUGGAACAUUGCUUUGAUGCAAAAUACAUUCAAACAUCAAGAAAACACUAUCAAACCAUGGAUUCAACAUGGCAUGAUGAAACUACAUGCAAUUCUAAGCAAGUUUCAUAUAGAGCAUGCUCAAAACGGAGAAACGGUUAAACACAUACACUCCAAACAUAAUAUAACAACAAGCUGUCCAAAAACAGCAACUAGGCAUCUAGCAAGCAUCAAAACAAGAUGCUAAAGCACCUCAACAUGAAAUCAAAAGGCGUGGACAUGAUGUACAGGUAAAGCAUGACAAAACAUGAACAAUGAGUUAUCUCCAGAAAUCACUAGAACAUGCUAAAAAGGGCAUGGCAAGAUUGCAAAUAAUAACAGUUCACAGACUUAGCAGAAAUCACUGGACAUGGCAGAAAUAACACCAGGUUGCAAUGUUUAGAGCUAUCAAACAACAUGUUAACAGGAACUUAUCAUGGCAACCAAAGGCAUGGCAUGCUAAUACUAAAGACAAAGAACAAAACACCGUUAGUGAACUUAUUCCAAAGAUCAACAGAAAAGAUGGUAGCAUCCAUGCAAACAUGGCAAACGAUAUGAUAGAUUCAGACAUGGAAGGAACAACAAUAAGUAGGCAUGUUAGUGAGCUUGUAUAAAUCACCAUAGGCAAUACAUGGCAUGGCAUGGUGACCAACAGUAAGCAGACAUGCUUUUGAAGCUAGGAAUGGCAAGAGAAAGUUCAUAGGGUGCACAGAUCACUAGCAAAGCUCAUGGAAAAACGGAACUUAAUGUUAACAGGCUGACGGCAACAUUAUUUAGCAAUUUGAGAGUAAGAUUACGACAAGCUAUAGCAGGCUAUAAAUGCAACCAGGGGCAUGGAUGGAUAUAGCAUAACAAAACACCCUUAGUGAACAUCUCCAGAUUAUUCAUAGAAUGACUUGUAGCAGCAGGUUUACAUAGCAUCAUGAUAUAGCAGAAUCAGCCCAGCAAAACAGAAACAGCAAGUAUCCUACUUCACAAGCUUGAUGCACUCACCAAAAGGCACAAAAAAUACAUGGAUUGCACCAUUGCAGAAAUAACAUGAUGUAGCUCAAAACUCAUUUAGACAUCAAGCUCAUAGGAUGCGCACACAAAAUGCAAUGAAAAAGACAAAUCACCAAGUUCUGUUAACAGACAACAGUUAACAUCAUAUAGCACUCUUGCAACGAUUAUUAGGGCAUAAAGAUCAACUCAAACAAGCAUGGCACAAUGGAACAAAAUUAGGAGCACCUCACAAUGAACAAUUUGACAUUUCAUUCAACUCAAACGGACAAGCAUGCAUAGAGUUAUAACCAUUCAAACAUGCAUACAUAAAGUUGAAAAUUCGGGACUUGGACAUAUUUCACCUCGCGAGAGACGGGAUCGGGCGGUCCAGCGGGAUGGAGGGAUCCGGGCGCGGGGCGCGGUUGGAUGGCCGGCCUGGUGGAUCUCGUCCACUCGUCCGGAUCCGGGGCCGGCGCGGGUCAGGGAGGCCUCCGGGGACGAGGAAGACGACGGGGCCUCCGAGCGGCGGCACAGAGGGCGGCGACCGACGGCGGGGUCGCGAGGCGGCGGCGGAGCUCCGGCGGGGAGCUCGCCGGACGGUGCGGUGGAACGGCGCGGAGGCCCGCGGGCGACGGGGUCGGAGCNNNNNNNNNNNNNNNNNNNNNNNNNNNNNNNNNNNNNNNNNNNNNNNNNNNNNNNNNNNNNNNNNNNNNNNNNNNNNNNNNNNNNNNNNNNNNNNNNNNNCAGGCAGGGUCACCUAGGAUGGAAGGAGGUGAAGCAGCAGCAAGCCCAGCCAUCUUGGACUGUUGAGGUUGGAAGGCGUGGUUGUAGCGCUGGCCGCACUCCUAGGCGUAAUGCCUAGGGCCACGGCAAAGCUGGCAUUGAACAUGGUUGUCAGCACGGUCACCGUAGUCGCCGCGCUCGCCACGCGGUUGGCACCAAGGUCACCUUGGUGACGUGUGCCGCCGCCACCGCGAUUCCCGCGGUCACCACCGCGAGAAUUGUUGUUGU
This 127606-nucleotide long non-coding RNA is filed under the name Triticum aestivum (bread wheat). RNAcentral's name for it is "long non-coding RNA (TAES_LNC019020)". The stretch from base 30528 to 30614 matches the Rfam family "MIR1120/MIR1122 microRNA precursor family". Lineage: Eukaryota; Viridiplantae; Streptophyta; Magnoliopsida; Poales; Poaceae. The record is from RNAcentral.